GAAAGUUGAUUGACCCCAGAAGGUAUGCUCCUAAAAAGAUUCCCGGUUAGAAGUAAUUGUCGCAGAGAUGAUAGGUGGCAAAUUUCAGUGGGGAUUCCUCCUUCAUCUAUACUGCAGAAAGAUAGAUCUAACACUUCCAACGAGUACAAGCAGCAAAUAUCACUCAGGAUUUCUCCUUGUAUUAGCUUUGACCCAGUUAGAAUUAAAUUCUUUAAGGAGCAUAAACCCGACAAAGAAAGCAAUUGGCAACAUGUUGAAUUUAAGCCACAAGCACGGAGAUGCUUCAAGCUUUGCAGCCUCCCUAGGUUUUGUGGCAAUUUGUGGAGUUUUGAACAGUAACUGACAUUGAGAACUUCAAGAAAGCAUAAAUUACAAAUGCUUUCUGGAAGAGUCACAAGGUUUUCGCAGCGGUCCAGAUUCAAAACUUCAAGCCUAUUCAAAUGUUCGAUUGAUGAUGGUAGCUCUUUUAUAGCCGUUUCGUUCAAGUGAAGCUCCCUUAAGUUUUCCAUAUUCUCCAAGAUUUCUGGAAAGUACUGUAAUUGUGAACAGUGAGAGCAAAAGAGAGAUUUUAGGGAUUUGAACUCCCAAAUGCUUGUUGGCAGACUCUCAAGGUUUUUGCACUCUCGCAAACAUAAGGUAUCAAAUUCAGAGGCAUGCUCAAUGGGUAGUAGGCUGAUUGUCUGACCCUUUAAACAAAGCUUUCGGUGUUCCACGUUCCUCUGACAAUCCAAGCAUCUAGCAUCCACAUCCUCAGUCUGUACUACUAUUGGAUCUUGGGAGUAUAUAGGUUGGAGCCCACACUUGAGCACCUUAAAAUGACUCUGAGGGUCCUUAAAUGUAGCCGCAAGAUACAUGAAUGGAUUGGUGGGACCGCUCUCCAGAAUAGCAGCCUUGGGAUAGAAUAUCACCCACAUUUGUUCUGAUACACCUCCAUUAUGGUAGCAUUUACAAGUAGAGCGAAAACUGAGAUGUCGCACACACAGGGAAGAAGAUCCAUAUCCUUCACUCAAUGACAGUUGACAUUGUAACUCAGUGGAGAUUGAAGAUUCAGCUUCAAGUAAAUCAUCAGAUUCAUUCUCCAAUGUAUGUGCAAAAUCAUUUUCUGGUAUAUCCUCACAUUCAUCGAGUGGAGCAUAAACACAGCAUAUAGCAAUCCCCAAGAAGUCAUCAUUUUCAUAACAAUUCUGAGGAAGCUCCAUUGUGAUUCGAUAUCCCUCUCUCUGAUUCCUUAUCCACUUGGGAAUUCCACUGCUUCCCGGAACAACAAUACAGAUUCCAUCGCCAAUGUAGUCGGAAUUAGGGAGAAAUACUCCAUUUGAACUCUUCUCGUGUUUCAAAUCCUGCACAAAUGGACAAUGUAAAUCUAGUGGGUCUGUGUCAUUAUGUGAGUUUUUAUGAGAGAGUUUGUUAUCAGUUUUCGAUAAAUUGAUUCCCAGUUUUAACUUUCUUUGAUCUAUGCUCCUGAAUCUACUUAAUAUCCCUUUUAGAUGAUGGAUAAUCAAUGAACAUGAAAGUGAGUGACAAGAUUAAGUGUGAAAACUGGAAGUGAGGGGAAACUGAAACUGGAAAGUGAGUAGAAUAAGCAGAUCUCUUCUUCACUUGCAGUAGCUCCUUCUCCAUUCAGAUUCAGAGAUCUUAGAAUUGUAGCUUCAACUUAACUCUCAGAAUCUUAAAGACAAAGUUCGCUCAAGUUUCAAAAACUCAUAGAAAAAUUUCGCCUCAUGUUUCUCUUAAUCCCAUGAGGCGAGAGACAUGCAGCACAUGCUUAUUGGCUUUUUUCCAUGCAAGUUUCAAGGUGGAGCAUCUAAUGAACUAAAACAUUCCUUCAAAUCCUAGUGGAAAUUCACACUAGAAAUUUCAGAAUUUGCUAAAGAAAGGUUUAAUUCAUUUUAUCCAUGAAUAAAAAAUCAUGUGAGGGCAUUUUAACUUCCUAAUAAUUAUUAUAUUAAACUAUAAUUCUCAUUAUUUAAACUCGUGAUCUGUAACUUUAUCAUCACAUUUUGAAGAGACUUUCGUCAUCUCUUCCAUGAAUUAAUUGAUGUUUAAGGAGGUAUAAUAAACUUUUAAUUGAAUUUAACAUUAUUUCUAUCCUUAUACUCAUCUUAAACUCUAAUUUUUUUUUUUUACUCUUAUCAAAAAAAAUAAAAACUUAACAGAAAAAAAAAAUUUCAAUUACUCCGUGUUCACGAGGAAAAAUGGCUGAAUGUUAUGAAAAUCAUACCUCAAUUGUUGAUUUAAAGCAUUUGAACAGAGAAACACCAAGUAGACUUGAUGGACUUGAUAAAGUUUCCAAGCAUGUGCAACUGUGGACAUCUAGAACUCGUAAACUUGGCGUAAGCUCUGGAACUUGUAGAGGCCCCUGGCAGUGACUCAAUUCAACGACUCUCAGUUUAGAAAGUUGAAUGAUGCCUGCAAGUAUGCUACUAAAACAGUCCAUGCUUAGAUUUAGACCUGAAGCAUGCAAACACUCUAAACAUUGCAAACUCCUCAGGUUCUUGGGAAAUUCCUCAAGUUUUGUACAGAAACUGACAUCUAGAAUUUUAAGAGAACUCAAAUUACAAAUGGUCUCUGGAAGACUCACAAGGUUGGUGCAAUCUGCAAGAUUCAAACAUUGAAGCCCUCUUAAAUAUUGAAUUGAUGCUGGUAGUUCUUUUAUAGCAGUUCCAUCUAAAUGAAGAUUUCUUAAAUUUUCCACAUCCUCAAGGAUUUCUGGAAAGCUCCUUAAUCGUGAACAGCCUGAGCAGUUGAGAGUUGUAAGGGAUUUCAACUCACAAAUGCUACUGGGAAGACGCUCAAGGUUUUUGCAUUCUCGCAAACAUAAGCUAUCAAAUUCUAAGGGACACUCAAUAGUGGGUAGUUCAUUGAUGGCACUUCCCUUUAAACAAAGCUUCCGUCGGGAUUGCACAUCCGCUUGACAUUUCCGGCAAAUGGUGGGUAUCAUUGCUUUACCAUUGUUCUUUUCAUGAUCAUGGGCAUAUAUAAGAUGGAUCCCACACUCUUCCACUUUCAUUGCUUUACCAUGUGAGAAGCCACAAAAUGAAGCCGUCAACUGCCUCCAUUUAUUUGAGUGAUACUUCUUCUCAAUCACCACCUUUGCAUAAUAAAUCAUCCACAUUUUUGGUACAACAUCAUAGCAGCGAAACGAUGGAUAAAACUGGAGUUCAUCCACAAACUGAGAUUCAUGAGCACGCAAAGUCAAAGAACACUUGAGGUAAGCUGCAUCAUUCUCCAGUGUCUCCUCAGAUUCAUUAUCAAGUGGAUCAUAAAGAGAGUACAAAACAAAACCCAACAAGUCGUUAUUUUUAUACCAAUUUUCAGGAAGCUUUGCUACCACUUUAGCUCCCUUUUUGUGAUGGCUUAUCCAUUUUGGAAUUCCACAACUUCCUGAAAUAAUAAGAUUUACUCGGGCAAAAAGGCUGUCUCUAGGAUAAAUCCUGCAUUCAAAAUCCUGCACAAAAUUUAAUUAACACGUAAAUCCCCAUGUCUCCAUAGAAAAAGUUUUGUUCUAUGAAUAUCAUACCUGAAUCAAUGAUUUGAAGCAGUUGAAUAGAGAAGACCAGAGUAGACCCGAAGAAGUUUCCAGCCAUGGGCACUCAUGUACAUCUAAGACACGCAAACUGGAUGGAAGCGCUGGAAUUUGUCGAAGCUCUUGACAGUGACCCAAGUUAAGGAUUCUCAGCAUAGAAAGUUGAUUGACCCCAGAAGGUAUGCUCCUAAAAAGAUUCCCACUUAGAUGUAAAUGUUGCAGAGAUGAUAGGUGGCAAAUUUCAGUGGGGAUUCCUCCUUCAUCUAUUCUGCAGAAAGAUAGAUCUAACACUUCCAACGAGUACAAGCAGCAAAUAUCACUCAGGACUACUCCUUGCAUUAGCUUUGACCCAGGUAGAAUUAAAUUCUUUAAGGAGCAUAAACCCAACAAAGAAACCAAUUGGCAACAUGUUGAAUUUAAGCCACAAGCACAGAGAUGCUUCAAGCUUUGCAGCCUCCCCAGGUUUUGUGGCAAUUUGUGGAGUUUUGAACAGUAACUGACAUCGAGAACUUCAAGAAAGCAUAAAUUACAAAUGCUUUCUGGAAGAGUCACAAGUUUUUUGCAGCCCUCCAGAUUCAAAACUUCAAGCCUAUUCAAAUGUUCGAUUGAUGAUGGUAGCUCUUUUAUAGCCGUUUCAUUCAAGUGAAGCUCCCUUAAGUUUUCCAUAUUCUCCAAGAUUUCUGGAAAGUACUGUAAUUGUGAACAGUGAGAGCAAAAGAGAGAUUUUAGGGAUUUGAACUCCCAAAUGCUUGUUGGCAGACUCUCAAGGUUUUUGCACUCUCGCAAACAUAAGGUAUCAAAUUCAGAGGCAUGCUCAAUGGGUAGUAGGCUGAUUGGCUGACCCUUUAAACAAAGCUUUCGGUGUUCCACGUUCCUCUGACAUUCCAAGCAGCUAGCAUCCACAUCCUCAGUCUGUACUAUUGGGUCUUGGGAGUAUAUAGGUUGGAGCCCACACUUGAGCACCUUAAAAUGAUUGCGAGAGUCUAUAAAUACAGCAUUAAGAUGCAUGAAUCGAUUGGUGUGACAGCUCUCCAGAAUAGCAGCCUUGGGAUAGAAUAUCACCCACAUUUGUCCUGAUACACCUCCAUUAUGGUAGCAUUUACAAGUAGAGCAAAAACUGAGAUGUCGCACACACAGGGAAGAAGAUCCAUAUCCUUCACUCAAUGACAGUUGACAUUGUAACUUAGUGGAGAUUGAAGAUUCAGCUUCAAGUAAAUCAUCAUCUUCAUUUAGGACUUCGUCACCAGAUGGAUUCUCCAAUGUAUGUGCAAAAUAAUUUUCAGGUGUGUCCUCACAUUCAUAGAUUGGAGCAUAAACAGAGCAUAUAGCAAUUCCCAAGAAGUCAUCAUUUUCAUAACAAUUCUGAGGAAGGCCCAUUGUGAUAUGAUAUCCCUCUGUCUGAUUCCUUAUCCACUUGGGAAUUCCACUGCUUCCCGGAACAACAAUACAGAUUCCAUCGCUAAUGUAGUCGGAAUUAGGGAGAAAUACUCCAUUUGAACUCUUCUCGUGUUUCAAAUCCUGCACAAAUGGACAAUGUAAAUCUAGUGGGUCUGUGUCAUUAUGUGAGUUUUUAUGAGAGAGUUUGUUAUCGGUUUUUGAUAAAUUGAUUCCCAGUUUUAACUUUCUUUGAUCUAUGCUCCUGAAUCUACUUAAUAUCCCUUUUAGAUGACGGAUAAUCAAUGAACAUGAAAGUGAGUGACAAGAUUAAGUGUGAAAACUGGAAGUGAGGGGAAACUGAAACUGAAAGUGAGUAGAAUAAGCAGAUCUCUUCUUCACUUGCAGUAGCUUCUUCUCCAUUCAGAUUCAGAGAUCUUAGAAUUGUAGCUUCAACUUAACUCUCAGAAUCUUAAAGACAAAGUUCGCUCAAGUUUCAAAAACUCACAGAAAAAUUUCGCCUCUUGUUUCUCUUAAUCCCAUGAGGCGAGAGACAUGUAGCACACGCUUAUUGGCUUUUUUCCAUGCAAGUUUCAAGGUGGAGCAUCUAAUGAACUAAAACAUUCCUUCAAAUCCUAGUGGAAAUUCACACUAGAAAUUUCAGAAUUUGCUAAAGAAAGGUUGAAUUCAUUUUAUCCAUGAAUAAAAAAGCAUGUGAGGGCAUUUUAACUUCCUAAUAAUUAUUAUAUUAAACUAUAAUUCUCAUUAUUUAAACUGAUGAUCUUUCACUUCAUCACGACAUUUUGACGAGACUUUUGUCAUCUCUUCCAUGAAUUAAUUGAUGUUUAAGGAGGUACAAUAUUUUUUAAUUGAAUUUAACAUUAUUUCUAUCCUUAUACUCAUUUUAAACUAUUAUAUUUUUUUUUUAUAGUUUUAUCAAAAUAAAUAAAAACUUAACAAAAAAUAAAUAAAGAUUUCAAAACAAACUUUAUAGAGUUAUCAACACUUAUUUACAUCAUUCUUUAAAAAAAAUUAUAAUUAACAAAAAUGUGAUAUAAAAAUUAUAAAGAAUAAAAUUUUUUGAAAAAUGUACUAGUUAUUUGAAAUCAAAAUUCCUAGUCAAUGAAUCGUCAAAAAACUGCAAUAGCUAUGCAAAUGAGAAAAAUAAAUAAAUUAAAAGUAAAAAAAGAAAUUAUCAAUGUCAAGAAUGAGAAACCAUUUAUUUCCUUUUUUUUUUGUAAACUUUUUUUUAUUCUGAUUGUAUGUAUUCAUUACAAUUUUUAAAUUAAUAAAUAAUGUUUUUAUCACAAAAUUUAAAAAUGGCAUCUAUCAAAAUUUAUAUAUUGUUAUUAGAUUUUUAUAAAUUUCAUUUAUAUCUUCAAAAUUACAAACUCCUUUCCAUUAUUAUUUCUUAUUUUUCUUAUUGAAAAUGCAUCUUUAUUCAUCAUUUGAAAGCAUAACACUUUGAAUCUUAGGAUGUACUUCUUUCUUCCUAGGCAUUGCACUCUCAUAGGACCCAUUAAAUCCAUAUGCAACAUCUCUAAGAUCCUAGAAGAAGAGAGAAUCAGUUUUCUCUCUCAUUCAUGCGAAUUCAUUUUCUUAGAUGGGACAGAUUUUAGGAUUUUUAGGUUUUCCUAAAUGGGAAGUGCUUUAACUAGUUCUUUAAUUGUAAUCCUAGACAAAUCAUUAGAGUUUAAAUGCGCUACCAUACAAUGCUACUGUCUUUGGAUGUAAAUUUCACAUUUUACAACUAUGUGCACUAGAUGAUAAGGAAGAAGUAGAGAGGUGCACAAAGGCAUAACAAAAAUUACCAAAAAUUUGAUUUCAUACCAACACACAUCCUUGAAUAGACACUGAUUUGGAGUAAAAUGAACAAAGCAUAUACAAUCACAAAUUUAAGUUGCAUUAAUUAAGUUUGCUUUCAAUCCAAUAUAUAGUAACUCCUCGAGUAUAGGUAAAUUUGGACCUUCUAUGGUACCUUUCACUUUCGAGUUGGUUAUAUGUAAUACAACCAUCCCUAAAUACAACCAAGCUUCCCUUUAAGGUUCAAACGUGGAGAAAAACCAUAAGUUCAUUAUUUCUUUAACCAUUCCCAAAUACAACCAAACUCCUUUUAUGAGUUCAAAAGUCGAGAGAGAUCCAAGUUCUCUGUCAUACAACUAGAGUAGCCACUCUCAAAAUCCACAACGUGUUUUUCUCUAGCUCUUAGACCCUAUGGUCAACUAAGGCUUUUUGGUUCUCCUUAACCUAGAUUUUCUUUCCAACAGACAAUUUAAAUCCUAUUUAAGAAUUGUUUUUAAAAUUAAUUUCUCAGUUCUUAAAAAUAGAAACCUAUUUUGUAGACUAAAACCAUGUUUGGCAACUUUUUGACAUAUUAUAGUUUUUUGAGAACUUGUUCUGAAAAUAAGGUUUCUCCUAAUAACAUAUUUUAAUUGCUUUCAAUUGUUUUCAUUUAUUUUGUAAGGUUGUUUUAAAAAAAUAAUGGUACAUAUAUAAAGAAUGAUGAAAAAUAAAGAACUAAAAGUAAAAGUUAUUUUUAAUAAAUAUUUGGAAAUACAAAAAAUAUAUUAAAAACAUUCUAAGUUUGUAAAUAGACUUUUAUUCUAGAAAACAUCAGACCAACUAUUUUUGAAUCAUGCAAAUUGGGCACACAUUUUCUAUGCCUAGUUUUCUGCCCAAGGCCCUGUAAAUGAACACAACCUCAAUUUUAAGGAGUUUCAAAACGAUGGUUGCUUUCUCGAAGGGGAGAGGAGUUUCGAAGGGUGGUAAGAGUUUGUUUGCAAUGGAAUCAAAGACAUUCGAAAUCCCCAUUGAAGGGAUUCGAGGCAACAGAUGGGAUUAUUCCGAAAAGGAACAAAGGCUUCUCCUCAUAGAUAAAAUUUGGUGAAAAGAGCUUCAGUUUUCUGUUGGAAGGGGUGGAAGACUAGUGCAGAGGAGAGUCAAGCUCGAGGCACCUUAAAGUUUAGGAAGAAGAAGGAAGAAAAUAUAGGUUGGAGUGUCGUUCAAAUGAAGCCGAUAGGUAUCUACUAUGCUCGAUGAGGGAUUUGGAAGCUAAGAGGUUUUGUCUAGUGUUUCCAGAAGGUAAAGGCUUAGUAGGAGGGUGGUUUCUGUUGGCUUAGAAGUUAAGGGCCCUUGGAGUUUCUACUCCAGCCUUGAGUAAAGGUGAUCUGGGUACUUCCAACUCUGAAAAGAAUGGUUAUAUGGCCAAAGGAAAAGAUAAAGGGAAAGGAGUGUAUGCAGAAGUCGUGAGAAAGGAGGUAGGGGAAUUAGGGGAUGCAUUGUGAGUGCAUGUUGGGGAUCGUGACCUGCUCAGUAGGGAAGAACAGCUUAGCCAUUGUUUAGUAGGAUGUUUUGGUGAUAGUGUAGAGGUCGUCCCUUCUUUGUCCUUAUUGAAGGAGUGGGCGUGUGAAAAGUGGUAUCUCAAGGGAGGUUUAUAAAUCUCCAAUUUGGGUGGAGCCCUUGUGUUGUUCGAAGUUGAAGAUAAAAGUUGAAGUGGAUUUGGUGCUUUUAAGGGGUAGUAGAUGUCUUAAGAAGAGAGAGUUUUUCCUGCAGAAAUGGGGACUUGAAGUUGGGUGUUUUAGAAAUGGGAGCCACCCUAAGGAAGUGUGGGUGAAAGUUGUCGGACUUCCACUUCACCUUUGGAGUAGAGAGGUGUUCAAGAGUAUUGGAGAAAGAUGUGGUGUUUCAUAGCUGUGGAUAAGGAAACUGCUUUCUCCUCCGAGUUGAUGUGGGCUCGUAUCUUGCUGAGAGCCUUUGGGAAGUUUAGACCAGGAACUUCACAAGUGGCAGUCGGGAAUUUUUGUUGGACGGUGAGUCUAUGGUGGAAAACUCCCCCAUGGUUCUCAAAGGUAGUGGCAAGGUUCGCCUAGUUUGAAAAUGAGAGACGAGAGAUCAGGGAUGAGGUUGGGGGUGAAACACGUGCCGAAGUUAGCGUGCAAUAUGUUCAAAAUUUUCAAAUUGAUAUGCAGUCUUGGGGGACAGGGGCGCAGGUUGUGUGUGGCAGAAGGAAAAGAAAGGAAGUAGUUGUAAUGGUUGCAAAGGGUAAGCUGCCUAGUGUAGCUGAUAUGGACUCUUCUUGCAGUGGGUCUGGGCCCAUAAAAGAAAAUGGGAAGGCUUUCAAAGGGAAUGGUUGUUUGGGCUUUAGUGGUGAAGUGGUUUGGGCCAAAGGCCCAUUGUCCGUUAGCCUUGAAGAGGCGAGCUUAGGUAAGUCUCCUAAGCCCACUUUUAAUAAGGCUGGCACAAGCUUUUUGGAGCGUCCCUCCUCAGCUAGGGCUCCAUCUAUUCCCGCAGGGGGUGUUGGGGGACGGAUGCGAAGCUCUUGGCUGUUGAAGUUGCAGUCACCGCGGAGUUGCUGCCACAUCGUCGGAGCGUCACUGACAAGGCUCUGAUGGAGGAGGCUUCCAGGUAUUAAGCUAUUCCCAAUUUUUCUUUGUUUUUAGGGCUUCGGGAAUCCUCUUCUUCUUCUCUCUGGGGCCACACCGAAGUUGUAGGGGUGUCGAAGGGGUUUGCUUAUGGAACGGAAUGGGAGUUGGGUCGGUUUCCACCGAGUGUGGUGCGGAAUAGAGCUGAGUCGACUUUAUGAGGCUGGAGUGAGCCUUCUUGGGACUCGGUUGACGCUAAGAGAGUGAAUGGGUUAGCACUUGUCCCGAUGAGGUCGGACUUUACGCGCCUUUUUGAGAAAAGGAGUGUCUGUCACCUAGAAGAAGGGGGAUGUGAUGAAGGGUAAGGGGGAUGUGAUGAAGGGUGGAGUUCAAGCCGUCUUGCGGUGUUCAGUCGCUGCUUGGGUAUGCCAACGAAAGGCUUCGAAAAGGAAAUUUUGUACUUCUUAAGGAGAAUGACAGGGAAAAUUGAGUAAAAGGGUAAGAGAGGGGUGACUAGGAAGACAAGUUUAAAAUCUUCAAAAUCCAACAAGGAACUCAAGAAGCUGGAGUGGACUGUUAAAGAGGCUAAUGAUAGGGGUAAAAGGAAGAUUAUCAAGUCAGUCAUUAAAUCCCAAAGAGUGGACCUGGUUUGUUUACAGGAAACUAAAAUUAAAGAAAUGACUACAGGGCUUGUUCGUAGUCUAGGGGUGGGAAGAAAUCUAAAAUGGAGAGCAGUCAAUCCUAGGGGAGCAGCUAGUGGUAUUCUGUUGUUCUGGGACAAUAGACUGGUGGAGCUGGUUGGCUAGGAAGAAGGGGUUUUCUCAAUUUGGCGUUGGUUUAAAAAUUGCAUGGAUGGUGUAGUGUGGGUGUUCACUGGAGUGUAUGGGCCAGUAUGCAAUAGAGAUAGAGAGGAUUUCUGGAAGGAACUAGGGUCAAUUAAAGGGUUAUGGAGUGACCCUUGGUGUGUAGGAGGGGAUUUCAAUUUGGUAAGGUUUCCAAAAGAGCGUAGUAGGAGAGGUGGGCUUAUUGCUUCAAUGAGGAGAUUCUCAAAAGUGAUAGAAGAUUUGGAGUUGAGGGAUUUUCCUUUGACGGGGGGCUCAUUUACUUGGAGAGGAGGCUUGAAUAACCAGGCCCAGUCUAGGCUUGACUGGUUCUUAUUGACGAACAACUGGGAUAAUCUGUUCAAUGGGGCCAUGCAGGGAAUUCUCCCCAGACCUGUCUCAGAUCAUUUCCCGAUCCUCCUAGGAGGAGGGUUGACGAAGGGACCUUCCCCUUUCAGAUUUGAGAAUAUGUGGUUGGAGGAGGAGGGUUUCAAAGACAAGAUGAAGACAUGGUGGGGGAGUUUAAAAUUUACGGGGACAUCCAACUACAUUUUAAAUGCUAAAUUGGGGACUCUUAAAAAUAUUCUGAAGAUUUGGAAUAAAGAAGAGUUUGGGCUCUAUUGGGAUGAAAAGAAGAAAUGUGCAGCUUUAAAUAUAAAAGAGUGUGAAGCAAGAAAUGGAGCAAGAGUCCUACAAGUCUUGGGUGACGAGAGAAGAGAUUUUUUGGAGACAAAAGUCUAGGAAGUUGUGGCUGAAGCGGGAGGGGGGACAAUAAUACUAGAUUUUUUCAUAGGUUGGCGAAUGCUCAUAAUAAAAGAAUCUAGUUGUCCAAGUUGAAAGUUAAUGGCUAUUGACACUCAGAGGAAAAUAAUUUAAAAAAGUGUGGUGGGGGCGUUUCAAAAACCAUACUCAAAAGAAGAGGGGUGGCGCCCUAGUAUCGACAGGUCGUCCUUUAUAGGUUAGAUAGAAGUGAGGCUGAGGGGUUGGAGAAUCCUUUCUCGGAGGAAGUGGUGUUUGCAGCUCUUUCAGAUCUAAGCAAAUACAAAGCCCUAGGGCCGCAUGGUUUUACCAUGGCAUUUUGGUUUUUUUGGUGGGAUGUGGUGAAGGUUGAGAUUAUAGGCUUUUUUAGAGAAUUUCAUGAAAGGGGUAGAUUUGUAAAAUCUCUAAAUGUCACCAUCUUGGGUUUAGUCCGUAAGAAGGGAGGUGCUCAAGAUUUGAAGGAUUUCAGACCGAUUAGCCUUGUGGAGCCUUUACAAGUUGUUGGCCAAGUGUUGCCAAAUAGAAUCAAGAAGGUAAUGGGAAAAGUGAUUUCGGAACCCAAAAUGCCUUUGUGAAGGGUAGAUAAAUACUUGAUGCAGUUUUGAUUGCAAAUGAGGCUACGAAUUCUAGGUUGAAAAGCAGUCAAGGGGGUAUGAUGUGCAAAUUGGAUAUAGAGAAGGCCUAUGAUCAUGUCUGCUAAAAGUUCGUGUUGGCAAUGCUAAAAAAAAUAGGCUUUGGUGAGAGAUGGAUUAAGUGGAUGGAGUGGUGUAUCUCUAUUAUAAGAUUCUCUGUUCUUAUAGAUGGUUCUCCCUCCGGGUUUUUCCAAAGUUCAAGGGGUUUGAGACAAAGAGACCCCUUAUCCCCUUAUCUGUUUGUGAUAGUUAUUGAGGUAUUUAGUUGCUUAUUGAGAAGGGCCAUUAGUGGGGGCUUUAUAUUAGGGUGGAGGAUAAGAGGCAGGGUGGAGAGGGGAUUCUGAUAUCUCACUUGCUUUUUGCGGAUGACACCUUGGUGUUUUGUGAGGAGUCUCAGGAUCAAUUGACGCAUCUAAGCUGGCUUCCCAUGUGGUUUGAGGCUUGCUCAUGGUUGAGAGCUAACUUGGAGAAGAGUGAGCUUAUUCCGAUGGGGAGGGUAAAAGAUAUAGAAUAUUUGGCUUUGGAAUUGGGCUAUAAAGUGGGUGGUCUGCCUUCCUGUUAUUUGGGUCUGCCUUUAGGGGCACCCUUCAAAUCAGAGGUGGUAUGGGAUAGUGUUGAAGAGAGGUUUCGAAAAAGGCUAACUAUAUGGAAGAGACAACAUAUAUCAAAAGGGGGAAGACUCACCCUAAUAUGAAGCACUCUCUAGUUUGCCAGUUUACUUCAUGUCUCUCUUCUUUUUGCCCAAAAAAGUAAGGCUAAGGUUGGAGAAGAUUCAGAGGGACUUCCUGUGGGGAAGAGGAGCUCUUGAACAAAGGUCACAUCUUGUUAGGUGGAACUUGGUUUGUCUGGAAAGAAAGAAAAGUGAUUUGGGUGUGAGAAAUUUAGCUUUGAUGAAUAAAGCUCUCUUGGGUAAGUGGAAUUGGCGCUUUGCCAUUGAAAGUGAGGCUUUGUGGAAGCAAGCGAUCGGUCACAAAUAUGAUGUAAAGGAGGGGGGAUGGUGUACUCGGGCCGUAAGUGGGAGGCAUGGUGUAGGGCUUUGGAAAGCUAUUAGAAAGGAGUGGUUGGGUAUGUAUAGAAGUUUAGUCUAUCGCGUGGGCAGUGGUAGGAAAGUGAGAUCCUGGAAGGAUAAGUAGUAUGGAGAUGAGCCUCUUUAGGAGUCCUUCCCUUCUUUAUUUGCCAUUUCCUUGGCUAAAGAUGUUUGGGUAUCAGAUGUGUGGAAACCAGAUGGUGUAGAGGAUGGUUGGACCCCUCUUUUCUCAAGGGCGCUUAAUGAUUGGGAGAUUGAGAUGGUGGAGCAGUUUAUGCUAAAAAUCCAAGCCUUUAGGGUGUAAAGGGAGGACGAGGAUACAGUGGUAUGGACAGCAUCUAAAAGUGGAGGACUAGUAUUUGGAGAGCGUAUGUGCCUCCUAAGGUAACUUUCUUCGCUUGGGAAAGCAUCCUGAGGCAAAAUCUUAACUUUGGAGCAACUCCAUUGAAAGGGGUACUCUUUGGCAAAUAGAUGUUUUCUUUGCCUUUCUGAAGCAGAAAGGGUGGAUCACCUUUUACUUCAUUGUGUUAAGACACGGGCAUUGUGGAAUCUUCUUUUUUCCCUCUUUGGUGUGACUUGGGUUCUCUCUGGUUUAGUUAAGGAAACUCUCCUUGGUUGGCAUGGAGCAUUUGUGGGAAAAACCCGUAAAAAGGCGUGGCAAAUGAAUCAUUUAUCUAUAUUUUGGUCAAUAUGGAAGGAAAGAAAUUUAUUGGCUUUUGGGAAUGAGGUGUUUUCACUCCAAAGGUUGAAACAUUCUUUUGUAUGUAAUUUUUGAUCUUGGGUUAGGGUGUUUAUAGUUUUGAGCCCUUGUUCUCUUGUUAGCUUUUUUGAGUGGCUAGGCUCUAAGUAAGGGUAGGGGUUGUCGUUUCUUUCCCCUUUCUUGGUUUAGAGUAUGUGGGUUGCUUUUGUAUACUCCCUGUAUACUUAGAGGGCACUAGUUUGGUGUUUCCUCUUUUUGUUUAAUAUAUUUCUUUUUACCUAUCAAAAAAAAAAAAAAAAAACUAUUUUUGAGAACUUUUUUCAAUAACCGUUUUUUAAGAUUUAUUUUCAAAAAAAAUUCCUAAACAAAGCCUUAACCUUCAAGGAUCUAAAACUUUGCACUAAGUUUGGUGUUUUAUUGUUGGAUUUUCUUAGUCUUGCAAGCUUUAUGAUGAUCUUGCAAUAUUUUCUUUAAUUUACUAUUCAUUUUACCUGAGCAUUAAGUUUGGCUAAGUAUUGAAGAAUAACCUUGGCAUACAUUCAACUUCUUUUAUGGACAAAGGAAUGGAGCUAGAUCAGACUUUCUUUAAAUUUAGUCAAUUCUGAUUUACGUGACUCAUAAUCAGAUUGUAAAACAUUCAAAUUUUUUAACAAGGUACCUUGCUCAUUUUCAAGGUAAGAGAUUUUUUUCAAGCAAGGAAGUCUUCUCUCAUACUUCUUUUAUUCUCAUCCAACUUUCACAAUUUUAAUCUUAAGGCUUCCUUGGCAAUCUCAAAAGACAACUUUUCUUCCAAAUAUGUUGUAUCAUGAGAUGAACCUUCAAAAUUUUCAGAUUCAAGAUCAGUUUCAAAUUUAACAUUUUUCUUUUCAUUGCAAAGUGAUAUAGAAGGUAACAAGUAUAUCAACAAUUUCGUCAGGCUCAUCAUGCUCAAAAGACACAAAUAUCAUCAAUGUCAUGUGACAAUAAAUCAUAAUUAUGUUUAUGCAUGUUUCUAGCAACUUAAUGCAAUGAAAUUUGUACAUUCUUCAUCAAAAUCAUACCAAAUUACUUCUAUGACUUUAUCCUUUUGACAUUCAAGAAAGUGACCUUUCUUGACACAAUAGAAACUUUGAAUCAACUAGAUCUUUUUUGUGCUUUUUAAUCUUUUUAUCACAUUUCUUUUCCCUUGUUUAAUCAAAUAGGUUAUCCUUUGUUUCUGGAAGCUUUUUGAACUUUUUGAAACUUUAUCAAGCCUAUAAAUUUCCAAUAUUGGUCCUUUUUUAUUCCUAUUCUGAUUUAGAAGCAUGUUUAUCUACUCCUAGUGCAAUAUUAAUGUUUCUUUUUCUUAGGAACACUUGGAGUCAUCUCCAAUUGAAGGAAGCCAACUAUCUCAUCUGGCUUUAUUGAAUCAACAGUGUUCCAUUCCUCUAUUGUUAUGACCUUAGGUCUAAAACGAUCAAAGGGGAUCUUAACAGUUUUUCGAGUAACCUUGGAAUCAGGUAGAGGCCUACAUAGAUUGAAAGUUAGCAUUCACAAUGUCCAUGAUUUCAAUAAUAUAUUAAGAAAAUAAUUUUGUUGUGAUCAUUUGAAAUUCAUUACUUCACCUAUCCCAACUUUACAUAGUUUUACCUACCCUAGUGGAUAUACAUCCAAUCUCUAUUUAGCACCUUAUCAGGAUAUCAACAAAAUUGAACAGAACUCCAAUCUCUAUUAGACUUCAUUUUCAAGAAGUAUAUCAGUUGCACCUUGGAGUGAGUAUAAUUAUCUCCUUUGAAGUAUGGAGGUCUACCUAUAGAGGUUCCUUCUCAGAGAAUUUCCAUCUUAAGAGAAUAUAGUUUAUCCAUAUUGAGAACAUGAGCAAACAUGUUUUGACACAAUUUAUGAGUUUUUAAGAGAGUAUGCAAUGAACUUGAGAUCUCUUUUAGAUUAUCAAAUAACAUAUGCACAUGAAUGUGAUUGCGUGAUUAGCACAAGGUCAUAGACUAAAAUGUCUCUAAUGAAAUCUCAGCAAACAAGCACACAAAUAUUGCACAAGAUAUAACAUGAAAAAUCUCUAAGUGGAGAAAGGAAAAUAAAUAAAUAAAUAACAGUGGGUGCCUUUGUUGUUGCAAAUCCACUAUGAAUAUAAAUCCAGUUUUGCCUACAAGUCCUCCAAGAUCAAUCACCAAUCCCCUUAAGGAAUCCUCAAAGUGAUUAUUUCUUCAAUCCACACCUCGUUUUGAUAUGCUUCAAUACGGCUCAUCAUGUACUCACCACCAAUCUCUCACCAUAGCCUCCUUCAACUCUCUUCAAUUACCACGAGUUUUCUUCUGCUCUACUAAUUACAUUACAACAGAAUCACCUUCAUUAUCUCAUUGAAGUGAUCUCCAAAAACUAGAAAACAAAAAUUCCAUUUGCAAAGCAACUUCUUCAUAUAGAUUCAGAGAACCAAAAUAAGAAGAUGUUUUCACUUGUAGCAACAUCUUCAUGUAGAUUCAGAGAACUCAAAUUGUAACUUCAAAUUCACUCUUAGAAUCUCAAUUAAGGUAAAGCUCACAUUUCAAAAUCUCCCACCAAGAGUUUCACUUACUCUUCCUUUUUGAAAUGAGAGUAGAACCAACUUAGUGCCAAGGGACAUAAGGCACACUCUUAUUGGCCUAUUGUCAUGCAAAUUUCUAGGUGGAGGAGAAUCCAACUAACUAAACAAAUGUUUUUUCGCUUCUGGCCAUUUGUUUCUAUGGUCUAGAAAAAUAUGUCCUAGAUGAUUCCCAUUGUUUCAACUCUUUCAUGAAAAAUGCUUCUCAAAUCACUCACUCCAGUCUUUCAUUCACAUUACCUGUGAACUCCAAUCUGCAGUAGUGAAAUCCUAUCAAAAGACUUGGAUUGAGUUCCUGGUUCUCGGUUGCCUAGCUCUAGCAAACCAGGACUUCUGUUAGCAACCUGGAACAAGUAGCUUAUCCUUUCAAUCCCAUUUUCAAGCUCAAUUCCCUCCACCAGUGAAAACAAAUGGUCUUAUAUAAUCAACUCCAUUCACUCCAGGGCUAUACAGGAAACACUUGUGAGCUGGCAGGCAGUAGCUCCUCCCGACUCACCAUAUUUCCAACCCCAUUUGCUCCAUCAAAUUCAUAAGAAGCUAACAAAAUAACUAGCAUUAUAUAUCAUACAAUAUCUAUGCUAGUUAAUUUACAUGGAAAAUGCAAUUUCUACCCUAAAUAUGCCAACAUACAGGAAUACAUACAAUUUAUACAAACAUUGCACGCUAACACAAGAAAAUCAUACCUGACUUGCUGAUUUGAGGCAAUUCACCAGAGAAUGCAUAGGUGGCAAUGAGAUCCCAAUUGAGCUGUGACAAUCUAACAGUCGCAGACUUGAAGGAAGCUCUGGAAUUUGUGAAAGCUUCUUGCAGUGACUCAAGUCAAGGGCUCUAAGGUUAGAGAGUUGACUGAUACCCACAAGUAUGUCACUGAGGGUUCCUCCUUCCUCUGGACUGCACCGACUUAGAUUUAAUACUUCCAGUGAGGAUAGAUGGAAAAUACAAUGGAACACUCCUCCAUUUAGAAUGCAAUUUCCUAGACUAAAUUCUUUCAAUGCGUUCAAGCAGUUAUCACUCUUUAUUACUCCUGGUGUUAGAUUGCAUUGAUCUAAAUAUAGUUCCCUUAAGAGAGAUAAACCUGACAGAGAAGGCAAUUGACAACUAAGCGAAUUUAAAUAAAGAACCUCUAGACAUGGCAUUCUCUCCAAGUCCUCCGGCAAUCUGUCAAGUUUUGAGCAGCCUUCAAGACUUAGAACAACAAGAAAUCUCAAAUUACAAAUGCUGUUCGGGAGACCCUCAAGGUUUUUACAAUUAUCCAAAUUCAAGUAGCGAAGGCCUUCUAGAAGUUCAAUCGAUGAUGGUAGCUCUUUUAUAGCUGUUUCAUCUAAACAAAGCUCCUCUAGUUUUGCAAUAUUGCUCUUGAUUUUUGGAAAACUAGCUAGUUUUGAACAGCCAGUGCAAUGAAGAGUUAAAAGGUGUUUCGACUCAUGAAUGUCCCCAGGAAGACUCUCAAGGCUUACACACCCUAUAAAAUUCAAGGAAAAAAAAAGUUAGUUUAAUAACACUCUUAUAUGUGUGUGAACCUUAAGUAAAAUUAUACAACCUGAAAGAAUUAGUUCCUCCAAAUUUGGCACGUUUGAGAAAUUUGGUAGCUCAAUGAGUUGUUGUGAAUCGCUGAGAUUGAUGCGCCUUAAAUUUCUAAGACACUGGAACAAAAUAGAAUUUCUAUUAAUAAAUCAAUUUUAAAAAACUUUAAAAUAUUAUAAAAUAAAAGCACAAAUAAAUAAUAAUCAUACCAUGUUUCCUUUCCAAAGUAGUUUUAUGUUACUAUUGCCCAAUAUGAGGGAAACAAGAUUGUUCGCAUGAAAGUUUGAUGGUAGAGAUUCUAAAGAAUAUCCAUUCCAUCUAAGGUAUGUCAAGUCAUACGGAAAUACAAAAUCUUUAGAGAGUUGUACGUGAUUGUGGGAGAUGGAAAGCAAUCUAAGUCUAUGCAUCCUUUCGAAAGCUUUGGAUGUAAACUGUAUUUGUUCUGAUUUGUCCACAUGAAGAUAUAUCCCUUCGAUUUUUUCAGUCCCCUAGAUAAUAAGAGUAUAAAAUUAGAAAAGCGCAAUAAAUAUAAAUCCUUACUAAGGUGAUAAAGAUAAAUAACGUCUUGAACAAAACAUAUUUUCUAUAUAUAUAUAUCUUACCGUAUUUCUUUUUAAUACUCGAUAAAUAUCUAUAUGUCUCCAUAAUCUGCUCCUCUCUCCUGGCUCAUUAGGACAUUCUUGAUCAACAAUGCCCUUGCCCAUUUGGGCUAACAAAUCAUGCAUAUCUAUUCUGUUGUCCUUUGAAAUGGUUAUGAAACACCUAUCAACGAGAGCAUUUAUUCCACUUUCCGCAUUGAAUUCGGAAGCAUCCAAUAUUCUUGAAACUCUUUUCACAUCAUCUCCUCUAAAGAAACAUGCAAUGUCGAGAAAUAUCAUCCUUUGUGUAUAAUCCAAUCCAUCGAAACUUAUUUUAAGCACUUUUACAAUUUCCAUGUUAGGCACCUUUUCCAGCUUCUGCAAUUCACUUUUCCAAUCUGGUAGUCUCUUUCCAAAUAAUAGAGAACCCAAAACUUUAAGUGCUAAUGGAAGACCAUCAGCAUAUUGUACUACUUGAUGAGAGAGAUCUCCAUAACCUUCCUUCGGAUGAUGUUGUUUAAAGGCAUAACGGCAAAAAAGUUGAAGAGCUUCGUGAAAAUAUAAUUUCUCAACUUCAUACAUAUCAUUUACUUCAUGCCUAGUUAGCAAAUCUUUUUUCCUAGUAGUAAUGAUGAUUCUGCUUCCUGGACCAAACCAAUCAUGCUUUCCAAUUAAGUGUUCUAAUUGUGUCAGCUCAUCUACAUCAUCCAGAAAAACAAGAACCUUUUUUGAGGAAAGCUUGUCCCUUAUUUCUUUGAUACCUUCAUGAACAUCCCUUAAAACUAUUUUCCUCGUUGUCCUUAGAGUAUCAUUAAGAAGUUGUUGUUGUAACUUAAGAAGACCAGAAUUUUCUGUGGAUUCUUUUCUGACAUCUGUGAGCAAGCUAACACUUUCGAAUUGAUUUGAGAUUCGGUUAUAAAGAGCAUUGAUGAUGGUGGUCUUGCCGAUACCACCAAGCCCAUAAACCCCGACCAUGCGAACAUCAUUCAACUCAAUCUUUAACAAUGAUAUUAGUCUUUCCAAACGAGAAUCCAUUCCAACAAUGUUCUCGUUAACAACUAAAGUCUUAGGGAAGCUUCUAAGGACGUUCUCAAUAAUUUCAUCAAUAAGCUCUGAUUCGUACCUGCCAAUUGCAUUAGGAUGAGUUGCAAAAAACAAUAAAUUAUAUGAAAUAAAUUUAAUGAUGCCUAGUUUUCCAACUUUAACUUAAUAGGGCUAAAACGAAUUGAAAUUAAAAUAAAAUAAACCACAUCUAACAAAUUACGUAUCAGUACAAUUUCAUUAUUCUAUACAAUUGCUCAUGUAUAUGAUAGAAAUAAGGGAAGAAAAUACAAAAUAUGAAUUGGAUUAUCAAAAGCGGAAAAAAAAAAAAAAACUAAAAUAUUUUUGUGUUAGCUUAUACUAUUCAAUCUUGUGGAAGGUUCAAAAUAAAGUUGAGUUGUCUAGAACAUUACUACCCUAUUUUGAUAAGGGAUUCCAUCAUAGGAUCAACUGCUAGUCUGCAUCCAAGCUUUUUAAUCUAAUGAUUUUACUACUGAUUAGACGGUCAACAUUACUAUCUUCUAUACUUGCAAGACUUUCUCUCACCAUUUAUUUAGAUAAAUGUCUCUUGCUGUUCCAUAUGUUGUAUUUUGCAUUUAUUUUUGUCUCUAGCUGUAUGAACAAAAAUUUUUGAAAACCGUUUAAUUAAAAAAUAACUUUCAUGAAUUAAUUAAAAAUAUUUUAUUUAUAAUUUUAAUUCUAUUGCAUGAAUGAAUUAAGAAAACAAAUUUACAUCAAUUUUAACCUAAAAUAAUUUAGUAUAUUCUUUAUGAAUCAAUAAAAUAGAAUUUUGUUUUUAAGAAAUUGUAAUAUUAUGGUAUCAAGUUUAAAAUUUUAAUGAACAGAUCUUUAUUUUAUAAAUAAUAAAAAUGAAUAAAAAAUUAUAAAAGUUUAAAACUCACUUAGCUUUAAAAAUUAUAAAAAUGAUAUAAAUAUUUUUUAUAUCAGCAGACAGAGAAAAGGAGAGUACUUCAAAUGACAAAUGAAGAGAAGUUACAAUUACCUGUUCGUCGCAUCAUAUCCGGCUAGAUUGCUUGCUUGCCUCAGGGCAGUCUUCCAUUUCCUUAUCUUUUCCUUUCUCUCCUCCUCUGCAUUCUUCUCAUGAUGGGUAAAUGCUUCUCCGUAAAUCUCAGUUUGGUUCCGCACUUCAGACGGAUCCACAUGAUAGAAAAUUGGGAUAACUACCAUUUGUUCCCUUUCCUCUUUGCAUUUCAUGAUCUUGACAAGCUCUUCCAGACACCAUUUGGAACGAGCAUAGGUUUCUGAGAAGACAACAAUGGCACUCCUUGAUUCCUCAAUAGCUUUUAAGAGCUCUGGUGCAAUCUCUUCACCCCUUCGAAGUUCUUCAUCAUCUCUAAAGGUUCUAAUACCGCUAUGAAUCAAAGCCUUGUAGAGAUGAUCAGUGAAGUUUCUGCGAGUAUCUUCACCUCUAAAACUCAAAAACACAUCGUAACUCCAUUGAGAAUGGGAAGUGGAAGAAGAAGAGGCCAUGGUUGAACAGAAAUUGAAAGAAAAAUAAGGGUCUUUGGGUAUUUAGUGGGUUGAUUCCCUUGGCCUUAUAGAAGUAUGGAUGUUGGUGGUGGGAUGUUGCCUUUUCUUUCUCAAUUGUUUUUAUUCUUAGCUGUAUCCCUCUUGCUGGUUCACAUGACUCAAGACCCUACCUCAAUUAUUUCCCUCCACUCUUUUCUUAUACAUUUUACUCUCACUUUUCUCUUGUUGACAGUCAACAAUGGCCGACAGUCUCGUCUCUGCAGUUUACAGCUGUUCUUUUCUUUUAUUUCCAAUUAAUUUCUAAAAUAUAAAAAAUGAUCAAAUCCAUGUGAUCUUUACUUAGGUCAUAAGAUCGUGUGAACGCACAUUAAAUUAAAGUUAUUCAAUUAAUUUUUGUCUUUUGCAUAAUGAGCAAUAUUAUAGUAGAAAAUAAAGGUUUAUUAUGUUGAUAUGUCAAGUAAAGCUAACAACUUUGGUAUUAUAAGCUUGAUUUUUGUAGAUAGAAAAAUAUGAGAAGUCAUAUGACAAAAGGCAAAGAAAAUUUUGAUCAUGAAAAGUAGAAAAAAGCACAAAACCUUCAUGAAAUUCUAAUUCUAAGGAAGAAAGACCAUGCUCAAAACUCGAAAUUUAAAUUCUCACAAUCUUUUCAUAUUUUGCAGAUAGGUUUAUUAUUAAUAGAAGCACAUAAAUAAAUAUUGUACUUAAAUCCCACUAAUUUAUAGGUCAUUAUGGUAUAUGUAGGUCAUCAUAGUAAUGAGUGGGAAGGUGGGUACCUUUAAAAAGAAUAAGCUAAACCAAUCACCCUAAAUUUCAAAAGCACCUUUAUCAUAAAAGUGUGGUAAUGAGAGUGGAUAUCUUUUAAAAGAAUAGACAACCCUGAAUUUCAAAAAAAUGUCUGUUUCUUGGCGAUUGUAUCCCAACAGUCUUAUCUUUUUUUACUUUAUAUCUUUUUAUUAUUAUUAUCGUGAGGAUGGUUAAAGAUGAUGCUAGAAGUUUUUCUAUGGUUUAAAAAGAAAAAAUGUGAGUGUUAAGUUGGCAUUUUUGUCUUUUUAGAAAAUACUUCAUUUUAAGAUCAUUAAUAGAAGAAAUAAAGAGUUCAUAAAAAAUAAAGAAAUUUUUAUUGACUGAUCUAGGUAACCAUUUCAUGGCUUUUAAUUGUAACUUUGUUGAAAAUCUUACUCCUUCCUCCUUGUCUUCCUCUUGUUAUUCAAAAGUUUCAACUCCUUUUUUUUUUAAAUAAUAAUAUUGAUUUUAUGUUUUAAUGAAAUAAGUUGCAAAUUUGAAGAAAACAUAUUCUAAUGUAUUUAUUGAUUAUGGUCCUCUUUUCAAAAGGGUUAUCGUUAUUUACAUUCUCGAACUAAUCAAGUUUACAUCUCUAAAUAUGUAAUCUUUGAUAAGUUUGAGUUUUCUUUUACUAACAAAACUUCUCCCGUAUCUUUCUUGUAGGAACAAAGUCAAAUGACCAUAUUUUGAGAUUCUUAUCAACAGUUACAACCAUUCAAUCCAAACACCAACUCAACCCACAACUUCACUUCCACCAAACAACCUUUCAAACUAUCGUAAUAAUGUAGAUCUUCUAUUUUAUUUUUUUUAACACAUCUCAUCUAAAAUUGUCUUCUUACAUCCUUUAACACCUUAUUAUGCACUUAUGGUUAUUUUUCUAAGCUAUUUUUCUAAAAUUGUCUUCUAUUCAUUGUGAUUAUGUUGAUUACUAAUUAUUUUAUUUUAUUUUAUGCAAGAGACAUUCUGAAGGGAUUAGAUGCAUUCCAAUAUUGAUUUUAAUGAUUUUUAAAUCUUAAUUUAGGACUUUAUUUUUUAUUGAUUUAUAACAUAUUUAAGUUUGUUUAAAAUUUUCAAACUUUAAUUUUUAUAAAAUAGAUUCAAGUUUUGAAUUAAUUAAUAAUUGAUUUCAUUCUCUUUAAAGUGUAGAAUAUGAUAAAAGGCGUGUAACAAAUUCAAACAAAUCAUUAUACAAGUGAGAAUUUAGGUCAUCCAAUCAUUUUAUUAAAAAUCACUCUAUAAAUUAUAAAAAUAAAGAUAUUAAUCACAUCUAUUAAUAUGUUUUUUUUUAAAUUGACAAAUCAUAAUGAAAUUAUAAUCUUUUUAAUAUUUUAUUAAUUAUAAAUUAAAACGUCAUUAUAAUUAUUCAAUCCCCACGGAAUAUAAAAUGAGUUAUUUUUAAUAAUAAUAACUAAUCAUAUUUGAAUAACAUUUCAUCAAUUAUAUAUAAAAAUAAAGUUUUAUGUUUAUCAUAACCUAUGUUUUAAAUUAAACAAAAUAAUAAAAGUUACAUUUCCAUUUAAAUGUAUUUACAUAUCUACCUCCAUAGCCCAUGGUAUUAAAAUAAUCUAAUAAAACACAGUAUCCCAUAACCGGUCAACAGCACAGCUGCUCCUAGCCUUAGCCCCUUGCAGCUGCAAUCAGCUGUUCCACUCUCUGUUACAGUCCAGCUUUGGCCGCCCAAGACAUACAUCUUUUCACCCAUCACCCAUUUACCCCUGCCACAGCUAUUUUUUACCUUUGAGCUGCCCAAAGUCACACCAAACUAGCUGAUAAACCAUACCUUACAACCUGCAAACCAUCUCCUCAGCCAUCCCUAAUAGCCCACUGCCAGCCCUUUGUAAGAGUCACACCAAAGCCAAAUUUUUUUUAUUAUUAUUUUUAAUCAACUCCAGCACAGCCUCGUCAGACCGCCGAGCCUCCUGAUCUCAUCUCCAAACACGUUCUGCAGCUGAAUCCUUUGCCUUUAUGAAGUUUGGAUGCUGGUGGUGGGAUGUGCUUUUCCUUUCUCAAUUAUUUCUGCUUAGCUGUAUCCCUCUAGCUUUGAACUUUCACUUUUGUCCCUUUUGGCAGUCAACAAUGGCCGACAGUCUUGCCUCUGCGAUUUACAGCUGAUCUUUUCUUUUAGGGAGAGUUGGGAUUACUGGCUGUUAUACGAGAAAUACAUGGUUUUCAAAACCAUAUAACUGAAAUAUGAUUUACCUGAGAAAAAUUGUGAGAGUUGAGUUGUCAUUUUCGCCAUUUUAUAAAAGACUUAAUUUUAAGACCGUUAGUACGUAGAAAUAGGGGUCUCUAAAAAGCCCGCGGCCCGCUUUAGGCCCGGCCCGGCCCGGCCCGACGGGCUAAAGCCCGGCCCAAGCCCGCCGGGCCCAAGCCCGGCCCGAGCCCAUUUAUGGGCGGGCCGGGCCGCGGGCCUAAAUUUAGGCCCGGCCGUUGGAGACCCUUGCGUAGAAAUAACAAGUUCACAAGAACGAAAGAGACCUUUGUUGACUGACCUAGGUAACCCCUUUCAUGGCUUUUUCACUUGUUUGUUUUUGGAUUUUCUUUAAUGAGGCUAGGUGAUUGUUGUUUAUUUUGACUUAUAUUUUAGAUGGAUUUCAUUUUUAAUAAGAGUUUUUCAUGGUAAAAAUUGAUGUGAUACAAAUUUUUAUUGAUAUUAAUAUCAUUUUAUCAUAAAUUAUUUAGAGUAUAGAUAUAAAUAAAAUAUCAAUACCAUAGGAAAUGUUAAAAUAAAGUUAGGUGCAUAUGCAAAAAAUAAAAUUUGAAAAAUAGAAUAGUCCAGUCCAACCAUAUCCACACAUCCAUCUUCCUAUAAAUUAAACUAAUGAUAGAUACAUAAGUCAAAAAUAAGAUUUGAAAAAGAGUAUAAUCCAAUUCAACUACCCACCUUCCAAUAAAUUAAACUCAAAAUGGGCACAUAUUCCAAAAAUAAAUUUUGAAAAAUAAAAUAGUCCAAACCAACUUUAUCAACAUGUCCAUCUUCCAAUAAAUUAAAUUGGAAAUGAGUCGGCAUGUGAUAAAAUAAAUGUCAAUUUCCAUUUUACUUAUAUUAAAUUCACUUAUAUAUUUAUAUCGAAAAUUAUCCUUUGAAUCUUUCUAGAAACAUUAGAUUUUAAGGAAAUCAUGCAAGUAUACUUUUCUUAUUAUCAAUUUAAAAUAUAAAAUCCUUCCAUAGUUAUUUAUUAAAGUUCUACAAAGAAAAUUAAGAAAAUAAGGAUUUGGUAGGUAAUUAUGUUUAAAAAUAAUUUUCUAUUUUUUAUAGUAGAAAACCAGGUUCUAACUUUUUUUUUUUUAAAAAAAAAAAACACAUUAGACAAAUUUCGACCAAGAAGAAUUUCUUCAAAAUUUGCUCUAGAUACAUGUUAUUUUAAAAACAUGAUUUUGACAUAUUUUCAAAUAUUGUUUGUAUAGUUUUUGAGCAAAAAAUGAAAAGAUGGAGAAUACUCCAAAAACUUUGCAAAUGAAAAUACUAUGUUUUAUAUUUAUGUUUUCAAAUACAAUUUUGCAAAUGAAAUAUUUGAGAAUGUUCUUAAAAAUUAUUUUUUAAGAAGUGCUUUUGAAAACUUGGCUAAACAUGACCUAAAUAUCCUAAACAUGAAAGAUACAAGAAUGCAAGAAAAACAUUUUCAAUAAUUUUAUUUUAUUUAUUAUAUUAAAGAGUAACAUUAAUGUUUCAUUAUGAAGUUAAAAUGUUUCAUUCAAUCAAAAUUUAUUCUGCUAGUUUUCAAGGAAAGCAUUAUUUAUCAAGAUGCUUGCCUUAGUUGUUUUGUAUUUUAUAUUUUUCUUUGAUUGGGAUUGGUGAGAAUUGUCCUAAAUAUAGAUUUUAUUUUGAAUAAUUUCUAAAUUAGACUUGUAAAAAAUAAGAAAAAGUAUCUAGUAAUUCAUUGUUACACAUGAAUGUUGCAACUUGGUAAAAUUUAUGAUAUUUAUCACUAGGAAAUUUUGCUUAUAGAUAUAAAUAAAAUGGUAACAUCUAUCACAAGGAAAGGUUGGGAAGGAAGCAAACAUAUUAAUAGGUGAAACAAGAAAAAGAAAAAUAAUAAUAAUAAAUGAUAAAAAAAGGUAAGGGAAUUCAGAGUCAUGAGUUGGUACUCUAUAUUAUUUAAAGUGAUUAUAAUUUAGGGUACAAAUUUCUUUAGAAAUAAAUAACGUAAAUAGAUUCUAAAAAAGAUUAUGUAAAAUUAUCAUUUCUUAAAAAAGAGAAGAAGGUAUUUUCUUUAUUUUUAAACAUUUAUUAAUUUUUAAUACUAAUACAAUAUUAAAUCUAAUGAGAAGACCUCCUUUAAUCUUCUCACUUUAUUCAUUGAAGUCUUUUUAAAUAAUUUGAGAAAGUAAUUUUAAAUCCAAUUACAUGGUGAAGAUCAAGGUAAUAGUUAGAAUAAAACUACAAAUAACAUGGUCAAGAUCAAGGUGGGUGUGUGUGUGACAAUCUUAUAUACUUUUUUGGAAGUAUGAAAAGAGUAAUGAAAUCAUGUACCUAAUAAAAAGUAAAGAAAACUUUAAUUCUACUGGAGGAAGCAAACACUAAACUUCCUUAAGAAAAUGGUAAUGUUGAAUUAAAUAACUUGCAUUGACGAACAUUAUGGUCCUUAUUCUAAAUUAUUUCAUUUCUUUUAUUGUGUCUCCAUUCAUUUAACAUGAUUUUUGAAAGUAUAAAAAGAGUAAUAUAAGUUACGUACCUAACAAAAUUAAAAAAAAGUACUUUAAUUUAAAUAGGGAAUGAGACAUGAAACUUCCUUGAAAAAAUGGCAAUGUUGAAAAGUUAAUAAAGUAGUUUAAAUUUUCAACUUGUUACAUUAGAUAACUUGCAUUAAAGGACAAUAUGUAUCUUAGAAAUAGAAAGUUUUGAAGUGAAACAUCUAAACAUGUAGGAACAUUAAACAAUGCCUUGGUCAAAAAAGGAAAACGCAUAGGAACAUAUAUCAAAUAAUAUCUUGGUCAAAAAGAAUAAUGCUUUAGUAAAAAAUGGAAAAUGCAUAGGAACAUUAAAUAAGACAAUAUCACAUAGGGUUUAGGUAAGACAAUUCUCUAAUCCCUUAUCCUUGUUGGCUCAUACACUUGUUGAACCUCUUUGAUACGAAAAUAAUCCAAAUGACUCAUAAAAUAUAGUGUUUAUAUGGAUGCUAUUAAGAUAUAAAUUAGGCUACAAUGAAAGUUAAUUAUAACUUUAAUGUUGGAGGGAAUAAGCAAUUUUUUGUGAGAAAGGGCAACACCUAGAAAGUCAAUAAGAUUAAUUAUCUUAAUAAUGGAAAAAAAGUUCAUUCUUAUGAAUCCUCAAAGUGAAUCAAAGAGACAAACUUCAAUUUUGAAGUGAACAUAAUUAUUAUUUUUUUGUUUCUUUGUUAAAUAAUUAGUAAUACUUAAUUUAUCGAUCGUGUAAGAAUCAAAGAAGAAUAGCUACUAUUCAUGCAAUGGGUCUCAUCUUAUUGUAACAAAACUUAUGAUUAUUUUUCUUCCAUGUAUUGGAAGUUACUAUAAAUUCAUUUCCCACUUGUUAUGUGACUUAGGUAUCAAAUAGAGCCCACUAGAUAAAAUUUCUCUCAAGGUAUUUCCACAUCAAAUUUCUUUAUUUUAAACAUGUUUAUGGAUGUAAGUUUGCAUUGAAUAAAUUUCAAGUAUUAAUGUAGACUAACAAUAUUUAAAUAAAAAUGAUAAUAUAUUUAAAUUUUUAAUAAAAAUUGAGUUGAAUUUUUCAACCAACAUUUGAUUUCCUUCCACUCACCUAAUGUUGGCAUUAAAAUGCAUUAAUAUAUAUAUAUAUAUAUAUAUAUAUAUAUAUAUAUAUAGAUAUAUAAAUAUAUAAUCAUUGUCUUGGGAACUUUUUCUUCGGUGCUUAUCCUCAAACCUUCUUAAAAAAAAUAAGAUUGAUUCUUGUUGUGCUCACCUAAUGCUUGCAUUAAAAUACUAUAAACUUUUUUUUUGUGAGCUUAUCCUUACACCUUAGAAAACAAGAUUGAUUCUCGUUGAUAAGAAGAUAAGAACAAAAACUUCUAAUAAAUUAUAUUUGGUAUAUUGGUAAUUUAAUGGGAAAAGACCUUAAAUUUUGUAAAUGUAAAAGGAUAAUAUAGUUGGACGACACAUUUAUACAAAUAUAUGAUUGGAUUUUAAUUUUGUAACUUAAUUAAUUAAGAAAAUAAAACCUUUGGGCUAUUUAAAUAUAAUUGGAUUUUAAUUUUUAGUUUGGGUUAAAGUUACAAAAGAAAAAAAAAUGACCCAAAUAAAUUAAUUGGGCAUUUAUAUUUAAACAAUUAGUCUUUAGAAUUAAUAUUUAAUUGGAUUGAAAAAAAAAAAAAAAAAGAUAAUAAAGGGAGUAGAAUGGUCUUUUCCCAUUAGAAACCUAGGUAUAAAUAUUCACCACCCUUCUUUACAAAAGUCUUUUGCAUAGAGAGAAAAUGUGGGGUUUGAAAUCAAUCUUUUAAAGCAAACAUAUAUAGAUUCAAUAUUUAGUUUCAUUUUUAAUGGUCAUAAAAAAAUAAAUAAUCUAGAAUCAUAUCAUGAUAAUUAUUAAAUAUGAUUAAUUUUUAUGAGAAAAUUAAAAAACACAUAAUUCUAAUUAAUUAUAUAGUCAAAUACCAUUAACCAUUCUUAGUUAAAAAUUUAAAGUCUUUUUCCAUUUGCAUUGGACAUUACUAUUAAUAGAUGCAUAUCCAUGAAUAUUGUACUUAGUAAUAUUUCUUUUAGAAUUAAAUCCCAUUAAGAUUAUAUUGCAUUGUGAUGUAUAUGAGUUGCACCUUCAAUUAUUUUUAUUUAACUUUGGUUCUCAGAAAAUAUUAAGGAAAAAAAAGAUAUUAAGGAAAAUAAUUCUUCAUGUUUGAUUGUCUUAUGAAAAAUUUCAAAAAAAAUAAAAUAAAAUAUAAUUAAAAUUAGUUUAGAACUUAUGUAUUUUCAAAUUAUUUAAUCUUUAUGUUGAUGAGUUAAAAUAAAUAAAAUGAGUUUGAAAUAACAAAUAAAAAUAAUUUAUCGACUUUAACCUUAUUUUUUAUUUUCCUUCAAUUUUUCAUUUCUUUUUUUUUUUUUCACUUUGUUUUCUUUCCUUUGUAUUUUCCCUCAGAUUUUUUUGGAAACCAAACAUAACCUUAAUGAUUAUGAGAUCAUAUUAGUUAAAAAGUGAAGUUUCUACCACUACAUAUAAUAAAUGCAUAUACAUGUAUAUUUUGAUCUUAGCCUAGACAAUAUUUAUAUAAAAAUGAAUAGAUCAUUAUAAAUGACAUUAAAAUUGAUUUCCUAUUGAGAAAUUACAAGUGUUCUAUACUUUUUAUAUAUAUAAAAAUUUCUUAAUCAAUAUUAUCAAAUAACUUUUUACAUUUUUCUAUUGAAAUAUAUAUUUUUUUGCAAAAAAAUUCCUAUUAUUAUAAUAAAUUUUUUUUUUUCAUAUUUUUCAAUUAAGAUAUACUCUUCAUAAGGACAUUCCUAUUAUUAUAAAAGAUAAAUUAUUUUUUAUAUGAAUAUUUUAUUUAAUCAAGAUAAACAUGGAAAGAAAUUGUUCUCACAUGUCUUAUAUUGAGAAAAAUUAUAUAUAAAUUGGAAAUAAUUUUAAAAUUAAUAAAAUCUAAAAGUUGUUUCACUAUUUUCUAAAAUUAAUUUCAAUUUUUUUUUUACUUUUUAAUUAGUGUAUGUUUAUGUAUGUAUGCAUGCAUGUAUAUAUGCAUACAUAUUAAAAAAUGUUGAUCAUUUAAGUGGCUCUAAACUAAUUAUUUAUUUGCAUGAAAAAAUUUAUUUAAAAUGAGUUGUUCAUCUUUUAUGAGAUAUAACAAAAGCCAUUUGCACUAGGUCAUAAUGGUAAUGAGUGGGAAGGUGGGUGCCUGCCUUUAAAAAGAAUAGAAGUGAACAACCACCCUAAAAUUCGAAAGUAUAACAUACAAAAGUACCUUGCAUUGAUGUACGCAUACACAUGAAACUUCCUUGAGAAAAUAGUAUUGUUGAAAUGUCAACAAAGUAGUCAUACACAUGAAACUUCCUUGAGAAAAUAGUAUUGUUGAAAUGUCAACAAAGUAGUUUAAAUCCUCAACAGGUUGUUACGUUAGUGUGUGUGUGUGUGUGUGUGUGUGAGAUAAAAGAUUUCAAAAGGAACAAUCCCUUGGUCAAAAAACAGAAAACAUAUAGAAACAUAUAUUGAGAAUAAUAUCUUAUUAAAAAAGAAUAAUGUCUUGGUGGGAAUGGGAAACGAGUAAGAACAUUGAAUAUGACAAUACCACAUAUGGUUAAGUAAGGCUAUUCUCUAAUCUUUUAUCCUUGUUGAACCUCUUUCAUUGAAAAAUAAUCCAAAUGACUCAUAAAAUAUAGUGUUUAUAUGGAUGGUAUUAAGAUAUAAAUUAGGCUACAAUGAAAGUUAAUUAUAACUUUAAUGUUGGAAGAAAUGAACAACUUCUUAUGAUAUAUAUAUAUAUAUAUAUAUAUAUAUAUAUAUAUAUAUAUAUAUAUAUAUAUAUGUGUGUGUGUGUGUGUGUGUGUGUGAGAUAAAAGAUUUCAAAAGGAACAAUCCCUUGGUCAAAAAACAGAAAACAUAUAGAAACAUAUAUUGAGAAUAAUAUCUUAUUAAAAAAGAAUAAUGUCUUGGUGGGAAUGGGAAACGAGUAAGAACAUUGAAUAUGACCAUACCACAUAUGGUUAAGUAAGGCUAUUCUCUAAUCUUUUAUCCUUGUUGAACCUCUUUCNNNNNNNNNNNNNNNNNNNNNNNNNNNNNNNNNNNNNNNNNNNNNNNNNNNNNNNNNNNNNNNNNNNNNNNNNNNNNNNNNNNNNNNNNNNNNNNNNNNNGAAAUAGAAAGUUUUGAAGUGAGACAUCUAAACAUGUAGGAACAUUACACAAUGCCUUGGUCAAAAAAGGAAAACGCAUAGGAACAUAUAUCAAAUAAUAUCUUGGUCAAAAAGAAUAAUGCUUUAGUAAAAAAUGGAAAAUGCAUAGGCACAUUAAAUAAGACAAUAUCACAUAGGGUUUAGGUAAGACAAUUCUCUAAUCCCUUAUCCUUGUUGGCUCAUACACUUGUUGAACCUCUUUCAUUGAAAAAUAAUCCAAAUGACUCAUAAAAUAUAGUGUUUAUAUGGAUGGUAUUAAGAUAUAAAUUAGGCUACAAUGAAAGUUAAUUAUAACUUUAAUGUUGGAAGAAAUGAACAACUUCUUAUGAUAUAUAUAUAUAUAUAUAUAUAUAUAUAUAUAUAUAUAUAUAUAUAUAUAUAUAUGUGUGUGUGUGUGUGUGUGUGUGUGAGAUAAAAGAUUUCAAAAGGAACAAUCCCUUGGUCAAAAAACAGAAAACAUAUAGAAACAUAUAUUGAGAAUAAUAUCUUAUUAAAAAAGAAUAAUGUCUUGGUGGGAAUGGGAAACGAGUAAGAACAUUGAAUAUGACAAUACCACAUAUGGUUAAGUAAGGCUAUUCUCUAAUCUUUUAUCCUUGUUGAACCUCUUUCAUUGAAAAAUAAUCCAAAUGACUCAUAAAAUAUAGUGUUUAUAUGGAUGGUAUUAAGAUAUAAAUUAGGCUACAAUGAAAGUUAAUUAUAACUUUAAUGUUGGAAGAAAUGAACAACUUCUUAUGAGAAAGGGCAACACCUAGAAAGUCAAUAAGAUUAAUUAUCUUAAUAAUAGAAAGAAAGUUCAUUCUUAUGAAAUUGAAUCAAAGAGAUAAAUUUCAAUUUUGAAGUAAACAUAAUUAUUUUUCUAUUUUUGUUAAAGAAUUAACAAAAUUUAUCAUGUAAGAAUCAAAGAAGAAUAGCUACUAUUCAUGCAACUGGUCUGAUCUUGUUGUAACAAAACUUAUGAUUAUUUUUCUUCUAUGUAUUGGAAGUUACCAUAAAUUAAUUUCCAACUGGUCAUGUGACUAUUGCAUCAAAUAGAGCCCACUAGAUAAAAUUUUUGUUGACGUAUUUCCACAUCAAAUUUCUUUAAUUUAAACAUGUUUAUGGAUGUAAGUUUGCAUUGAAUAAAUUUCAACCAUAGAUAUGCACUAACAAUAUUUAAAUAAAGAUGAUAAUGUAUUUAAAUUUUUAAUAAAAACUAAGUUGAAUUUUUCAACGAACAUUUGAUUUCCUUCUGCUCACCUAGUGUUAGCAUUAAAAUACAAAAAAAGCUCACCUAAUACUUGCAUUAAAAUACUAGAAACUUAUUCUUGUGAGCUUAUCCUUGCACCUUCUUAGAAAAAAAACAAGAUUGAUUCUUAUUGGUCAGAAGAUAAGAACAAAAACUUCUAAUAAAUUAUAUUUGAUAUAAACUCGUCAAUCAUCACAUAAAAAACAAUUUCUCCAGAGGGCGAUGACCCCAUCAACCCCCAUAAGCUAACCAAGCAGCUCGACCUUAACAUCCUAAGCAAAGCGCAACAAUACUGAUUCAAGCUUCACAAUCCAACACCAAUAAAGACAAGAACAAUUGACACUCAAAAAAAUUAUUUCUUUUAACUUUUUCCCUUUAAGUUGAAUUUGAUUUUAAAAUAGUGUUAUCUCAUUAAUUAUUUUACAAAAUAUAUAUAUGUUAUAUCUUAAAAUUGGUUAGUAAAUUAUAUUACAAUUAUCAAAGAUAUUGCCAUAUAUAAAAUACAACUUAAUAAAUCUUAAGCAUAACACAAAGCACAACAACAAGAUAUAUUAAUUUAAGUUACUAAGAGCUUAUUUAGUUGUGUGAUUUAAAAAUGGUUUUCUAUUUUAAAAAAUAAAAAAUUAUUUUAAAAAAUUUAUAACACUAUUUUAAUGUUGUUCUUUGGAAACAAUGUUUAAAGACAAAGUAACAUUGAGAACAAUUUUUAAAGAACAAGUAGGAGUUGUUUUUAUUAGUUUUUAAAAAACAAAAAAUAUAUAAACUCAUUUUACUAUGUUUUUUGAAACUUGUUUUUAAAUUAAAGAAUAAAAAAUAAUUUUUCAAAAUAAGUUUCAAAAAAUAUGACCAAACAAACCCUAAAUGGUCGGGGUUUAAUAUUAAAGAGAAAAAAAGUUAAUUUAAGAGUUUGCAUGCAGGUAGACAUCAGGCUGUAAAACUGGUUUACUAAGACACUCAUUUUAUUUAUAUAUUCUUCUAUGUGCAUGCAUUGACCAUGUGGUUAGGAUGUGUUGCACCAAAAUCUAAUUAUUAACUUGCAGUUCGAAAUCACAAACCAGCUGUAUGUAUUAGAAACAGACCAUAUUGGGUCAUGCACAUUCUCCGUCAUUUUCUAUUUCCUAGCAACAUAUAUGACCAAAUGAAAUUGUUAUAUCCUAAUUAUAUUUUUUAAUUAGGCGAUAAAUGAAUGGAUUCCUUUUAAAAAUAAUAAUUGAGAUAUUAGGGAUGAUUAAAAUAUUAUUAGAAGAAAACAACCACUAUCUUCCAGAUUAAUCACAGCUUAAUAAAUGUAAAUAAAUUAAUCUGACACUACAUUUUUCUUUAUUUGUUUUGGUUUCUUUACAAGAAUGUUUCUUUAUGUAUUCUUGUUGAAUCUAUAAAAUAUCAUCUAUAAACAUUCUUUUUGAAUGAUUAAGAAUCCGAUAUUUAAAUGAUUGUGUGGACCUUGCAUUUUUGCUCAAUGCGUUCCCACUCAAUGUUGAACUCUCUUUUUAUUUAUUUAAUGAAAAAUAUGAUUUUUUUUUUUAGAAAAGACUUGGAGUCGCCACUUAUUUUUGUUUUAUUUUUAAAAAUGGUAAACAAAAUAAGAAAGAAAACCCUAAGUGUGACUCCUUAUUUUGGAAAAAGUGGUAUGUGAAAAAUCAGAUCGGGCUCGGGGAUUAGGUUACUUAUCGGGAAGGUACAGUAAGGACCAUGACACCCCUCUAAGUCCCUAAAGUCGGGUCUCUAUUGAUAAAAGGAAGCUGACAUGGCAAUCAAUAAGGAAAUCAAUGGGUACUCAAAUCGAUCAUGCACAUAUGGAAAUUGGAAUUUUAGAAAUUGGAAAUUAAAUUCGAAAAUGGGAAAAUUGGAAUCUCAAAAAUUGGGAAUUGAAUUUGGAAAUCAGAAUUUUGAAGAAUUAUUUAAAGAUGAAAAUUUUAAAAGUAAGUAAAUAAAUAAAUAAAUAAAAUAAUAAUGAUUGGAUAAAUAAAUGCGAAAAUUGGAAUUUUGGAAAUCGGAAAUUAUAUUUGGAAUUUGGAAAAUCAGAGUUUUGGAAAUUGAGAAUUAAAUUUGGAAAUUGGAAUUUUGAAGAAUUAUUUAAAGAUAGAUUUUUUUAAAUAAAUAAAUAAAUAGAAUAAUAAUAAUAAUCGAAAUAAUAAUAAAAUAAAUGAACAUGAACAUUAAAAUUUUUUGAAAUAGAAAAUUAAAUUUGGAUGUCGGAAAUUUGAAAAAUUGUUUAAAAAAACGGAAUUUAGAAAAUAAAUAAAUUAAUUAAAAAAAAAGUAUUGUAGUGAAGGUCAUCAAACUCAAAGUCUUAUUCAUGACCCAAUUUCCCAUAUUUGAUUAAGAAUCCAUGCAACAUUACUAUGGGCCACCUGAGCCAAAAUGUCUACACGUUCCACUCUUACACCAUCCCAUUGCAGCUCUCACCACAACAGCCACAACAGUGGAAGUAAAAAUAAAAAAUAAAAAAUAAAAAAAUCACGCCACAUGAGUUGACCAUGAUGUCACCUCUUCCAACACAAGCAAUACACUUCCAAUUGGAACUCUGAAAGCAAUAGUCACUUCAGCACGACAGCGAGGUAGACUAGGGCAGUAGGUGUUGAAUGAGUGAUGAAUCCGAAAAGAAUGGGUUUGUAACAUAAAUGAUUAAUCUUACAACAUCACACAAGAGAUAUGAAUCCAUAUUUACGCACAUAUCCAAACAAAACCAUAUGAACAAUAGAUGAGACCAUGCCACAACAAACCAUUAUAAGAGUAAGAAAAGGAAAAAAGAGAGAGAAAAAAAAAGACAAACUUCAGCAUAAAAAAAAACAAAUCUAGAAGGUAGUGAAGUGAUGUAUGGAGAGUCACCGUGAUCAUACCGAAACAAACUCACAAACAACGCAAAAUAAUCACAUAAAAAAACAAAAGGGUAAUAGGAUGACCAAUAAUAAUCCAUGAACCUUAUCAGUCUUACCAGGUAAAGCUUUCUAUCCACUGGAGUUUUCUAGACUUUCUUUCCAACUUCCCUCCUCCUCUUUCCUGCUUCAGCCUAUCCCCGAAAAGCUUGCUCUGCCCAUUUUUCUACAACCAACCCAACAGCUAGCUUAGCCCCCAAAAAGAUGAAGACGCUCCCCCCUAUUUAUUCUCUCCCGUUCAGCUCAUUUCCCGCCCAGUUUUUCUCUCCAGAUUUUUUUUCCCCUAGUCCUCACAUGCUCCCUACUCCUUGCUCAACCAAUCUGUCACCAUCUCAACCACCACCAUGGCGAGGUAGUGGUGUCGUCCUCCAUGCGUCUCAUGCAUGCUAAUAUUUGAAAAAGUCGAUCCCCCUUCCUCCUACAACAAGCUGCUAGCUAUCCGGGUGGCUAGCAUGAAGGGUCUACAAAUAUGCCCCUCUUCAGUAGAGUUCACGAACGUAAAGAAAUAUGAACACUAGAGUGAAAAGAAAGUGUGAAUAGUGAGCGAAAUGAAGUGAACUUUACCGAAAAUGGGCAUAUUUGUAGACCCCUCAUGCUAGCCACCCGAAUAGUUGGUAGCUUGUUGUAGGGGGAGGGGAGACCGACUUCUUCAAAUAUUAGCAUGCAUGAGACGCAUGGAGGAGGGCACCACUACCUCGCCAUGGUGGUGGUUGAGAUAGUAACAGAUUGGCUGAGCAAGAAGCAAGUGAAGACUAGGGGGAAAAAAAAGAUCUGGAGAGAAAAAAUAGGUGGAAAAUGAGCUGAACGAGAGGGAAUAAACAGGGGAGAGCAUCUUCAUCUUUUUGGAGGGUGACCUAGCUAUCGGGUUGGUUGUAGAAAAACAGGCAGAGCAAGCUUUUCGGGAAUACGUCGAAGUAGGAAAGAGAAUGAAGAAAGUUGGAAAGAAAGUCCAAAAAACUCCAAUGGAAGGAGAGCUUUACCUGAUAAGACUGAUCAGGUUCAUAGAUUAUUACUGGUCAUCCUACUACCCUUUUGUUUUUUUACGUUAUUAUUUUGCAUUGUUUGUGAAUUUGUUUCGGUAUGAUCAUAGUGACUCUCCAUACAUCAUUUCCCUACCUUCUAGAUUUGUUUUUUUUUUGUGCUAAAGUUCGUCUUUUUUUUUUCUCUCUCUUUUUCUUUUUCUUACUCUUACAAUGGUUUGUUGUGGCAUGGUCUCAUCUAUUGUUCAUAUGGUUCUGUUUGGAUGUGUGUGUAAAUCUGGAUUCAUAUAUCUUGUGUGAUGUUGUAAGAUUAAUUGUUUAUGUUACAAAUCCAUUCUUUUUGAAUUCAUCACUCAUUUCACACCCGUUGCCUUGGUCUACCUUGCUGUCGUGUUGGAGUGGUUGUUGCUUUUAGAGCUCCAAUUGGAAGUGUAUUGCUUGCAUUGGAAGAGGUGACAUCAUGGUCAACUCAUGUGGCGUGUUUUAUUUUAUUUUAUUUUUACUUCCGUUGUUGUGGUUGUUGUGGUGAGAGCUGCAAUGGGAUGGUGUAAGAGUGGAAGGUGUAGACAUUUUGGCUCAGGUGGCCCAUAGUAAUGUUGCAUGGAUUCUUAAUCAAAUAUGGGAAAUUGGGCCAUGAAUAAGACUUUGAGUUUGAUGACCUCCACUCAUUCCACCACCAAACCUUUUUUUUUUAAUUAAUUUAUUUAUUUUUUAAAUUUCAUUUUUUUAAACAAUAUUUCAAAAUUCCGACAUCCAAAUAUAAUUUCCGAUUUAAAAAAAUUUCAAUGUUCACGUUCAUUUAUUUAAUUAUUAUUUCUGUUAUUAUUAUUAUUCUAUUUAUUUAUUUAUUUAUUUUUAAAAAAUUCAAUCCUUAAACAAUUAUUCAAAAUUCCGAUUUCCAAAUUUAAUUCUCAAUUUCCAAAACUCCGAUUUUCCAAAUUCCGAAUUUAAUUUCCGAUUUCCAAAAUUCCAAUUUUCGCAUUUAUUUAUCCAAUCAUUAUUAUUUUAGUUAUUAUUAUUAUUAUUAUUAUUUUAUUUAUUUACUUACUUACUUUUAAAAAUUCCAUCUUUAAAUAAUUCUUCAAAAUUCUGAUUUCCAAAUUCAAUUCCCAAUUUUCGAGAUUCCAAUUUUCCCAUUUCCGAAUUUAAUUUACAAUUUCUAAAAUUCCAAUUUUCGCAUUUAUUUAUUCAAUCAUUAUUAUUUUUCGUUAUUAUUAUUAGUUUAUUAUUUACUUAUUUAUUUUUAAAAUUCAAUCUUUAAAUAAUUCUUCCGAAAUUCCAAUUCUUAAAUUUAAUUCCCAAGACUCCAAUUUCCAAAUAAUUUUCGAGACUCUAAUUUUCAAAUAAAUUUCAAAAAUCUAGUUUUCACUCGAACAAUUUUAAUUCCAUUCCGGUUCUCAAAUAAUCUGUUGUUUUUCUUGAUUUUACAUAAGCAUGAAUGUAAUUUUUCACAAUUCCACAAUAAUGGAAUAUGUGAGACUAAUUCAUGCAAGAUAGAUUGGGUUUUGGUGGGGGGCCCAACAUUGGUGUUUUUUUCCUCUAAAAAUAAAUUUGAUUGAAUUGAAUUGUGAUAUCUGUUGAUUUCUCACUCUGUUUAGUGGCAUGUGUGACAUAGUCUGUUUUGUUAAUUGUGCACUAAACCCAUUUCUUGAUAGUGCAUUAUGACUCGUGGCCCAGGUGCGCAUCCGCUCCUAUUCUGGUCAUUCUCUAUGCAUGUUCUGAUUCCCAUAUGUGCAUGAUCAAUUUAAGUACCCGUUGAUUUCCUUAUUGAUUGCCACGUCAGCUUUCUUUUAUUAGUAGAGACCCGACUUUAGGGACUUAGAGGGGUGCUACGGUCCUUACUAUACCUUCUCGAUAAGUAACUUGACCCCCAAACCCAAUUCGGUUUUUCACAUACCACUUUUUCCAAAAUAAGGAGUCAUAGUUAGAGUUUUCUUUCUUAUUUUGUUUACCCUUUUUAAAAAUAAAACAAAAAUAAGUGGUGACUCCAAGUCUUUUCUAAAAAAAAAAAAAAUCAUAUUUUUCAUUAAAUAAAUAAAAAGCAAGUUCGCCAUUGAGUGGGAACGCAUUGAGCUAAAAUGCUGGGUCCAUAAAAUGGCGACUCCACUGAGGAUGAUUUAGAAGGUCAAACUUGAACUUAAGAUGAAGCAAAUGCGACAUUUGAUGGGUCGAUCAGUGGGUACCUAUCUUUUAAUUGCACAUUGAGAGUUCUUGAUAUCAUUGGAUGCAUGCUUGGAUAUUGUAUUCAUUUUGAGACAUUGAUAUGUUGGUUAUGAUGAUUGAUUUGUCUUGAUUGAGGAUUCCGAGAUAGCUAUUUUUUUUGUGCUUCAUUGCUAUAUUUGUUUGGGAUAUUGACAUACUGAUUGUAUCAAUUUCUUAUCUUGCCUUGCUUAGCAUAGUGACCCUGAUUCUUGCCAUGAUUGUUCUGCUCACUUCAUAUGCAUAGACUCACUAUUGUACACCAUUUGACUUGAUGUGUUGUUUUCUUUGGCUUGUGUAUUAUCCUGAUCGUCUUUGAGCAUGAUGCUUGUAUUAGUAUUCAUUUGAUCGUCAUAGCUUGUAUGUGUACAUGAGCAAUAUAUCAUGUACUCUGCCUGGUUGUAUGUCGCAUGACUGCACUCCUUUGCAUGUUGCUUGUUUGUGUGGGUAGCACAUCUAUCCCCUUAUCUCCAACGCUCUGGGUUUCGAUUAUUUCCUUUAUUUCGGUUUUCACUUUUGCAAGUGUGAGGCCUUGUGUGUGCUUGUACUUUGACCGAGGAAGAGGUUAGGAGUAGGGUCUAGCGACGGGCUAUAUCGAUGUUUGGGAGCAUUCUGGAGGUGACCGACACAUUGACGUCAAUUGGAGUCCGAUCAUUGAAGACCUGUAUAGCCUGGAGCUAGGUUUCAUGGAUAUUUGUGCGGCCAGUGUGUUUCCCUUUUUGAUUUAGCUUCAUAGAGUUUUCGGAUGCACCCACACCGCUCACUGCGCACUCUAGUUGACCAUUGAGUGUUGAGAGUUUUGAGAGGUUUCGCCAUAGAAAACCUCCUGAGAUAUCGAGGUAGUGCAUGUGUGGAGGUGAUGACCACCUUGCAUAGAAGCGCCCAUUCUUUUCGGAGGCGUGCAGAGGGUUGCGUACCGUCGGAGGGUACGAUCGCUUCUGUUAGGGAUCCUUUAAAGUCCACCCCUCUUCUUUUCAGAGCCACCUUGACCUUGUAGGUCGAGCCUUAGAUAUUUCAAUCAGGAAUUUCUUCCCUAACACGUGGGUGCAUCUGUGGGCCUUCAAAGUUACUUCAGUAGUGAUAGGUUUAGUUACCUUCGUAGUGGUCUCUUAUACAUCUGCUCAGGAUUGGAUAUCACUUUGAUUGCUUACGAGUUACCUUUCGACAUAUUUGAUAGACUUUCUUUGUGGAGAUUUUCCUAACCUUGUAUCUUAUCUAGUAUUUCCAAUAUUGUAGGAGCAUUGAUACAUAGGGUUUGGGUUCGACUUCUUGGAUCCAGGUUAGGGGUAGAUUGAUCAGAGUAUCAGACCCGUUAGACCAGAAAUCAGAUCAUAGAAAUAUGGACUCACAGAUGGUUACCGUUGGCAGCAGGCCUAGGAGGUUUCGCCUCAGGAUGGCGCACAGUAUGACCCUACAGUGCCGUCAUCCCCUCCACCUAAUCAGUCAGCACCACUAGCCAUACCUUUCACUCUGCAUAGUCAGACCGAGGUUGUCCCGACUCCUAUCAUCGUGCCUACCCCAACCUCAGAGGACCCACAUGCUUGUAUGGAUAGGCUCGAUAAGAAGUUGAGACAAUUGAGGAGUUCAGACAGACCUGUUACUUGGGACGAUUUUGAUGGACUACCAGUGGCCAGUUUGCCGGCCAAGUUCAGGAUGCCAGAGAUUGAGCGAUACACGGGCAUUGGCUGUCCUUGCAUCCAUUUGAGGCUUUAUAGUACUAUCAUGAGGGCCCAUGGACUAGAUGAGGUUCAGAUGAUUAUGUUUUUCCCCAUGUGCUUGAACGGUGUGGCGUAGUGAUGGUUUGCUUUAUUGGAUACAUCCCAAAGUCGGACUUGGGAUGAUUUGGCCUAGGAGUUUUUGAGACAAUUCACAUUUAAUACUGUCAUUGACGUCUCGAGGAGAGAGUUAGAGGCAUUGAGACAGAGGCCAGAGGAGUCGAUCACCUCAUUUAUCUCCCGUUGGAGGGAGAAGAUUUCAUAGGUUAUUAAUAGACCAUCGGAGAAGGAUCAUAUUAGCAUGAUUAUGAGAAGCUUGCAACCUCGAUUUGCUAGACACUUGAUGGGAUUUCCUCAUAGAGAUUUUGGAUCUUUGGUACAGGCCUUGUAUGGUAUAGAGGAGGGCAUAGCCAGAGGAUUAUGGUCUGAGUCUUCUCUUUCUAAUUCGAAGGGGAAGAAACCUUUAAGAUGAUAGAGGCUAGUUGAUGUGAGCGCCCCUAGUUCUACCAGCCAGAGGCCUCCUAUGCGUCAUUAGUCAGUGCCACAGCUUCCUGAGACUCAUCCUUCAUAUCCACCUCAACAGUACAGGCCACGAGCGCCUCGUCCGACUUUUGAUCAUGCUUACAUGCCUCAGACACUAGUUUUGCCUUACUAUGCCACUCAGGGCAUCGAGAGACCACCUGUUUCAUAUACAGCCACAGGAUAGCCAUGCUAUGCGGCGUAGUUUACCGCAAGACCUACAUCUUCUUAUCCCAGGCUUAGAGCUCAACAGACUUCUGUUCCUUUUGUUUUGAGGACGCAGAUAUAGUUCUCGCAGUUAAGCAUGCCGUUGAGCCAGGCUAUUCGGAAACCUAUAGAGGUUGGGUUGUUGAUUGCUCUCACUCUUAGGCCACCACCUCAGCCUCUUCCUUCUCGGUUCAGGAUGGAUUUGCACUAUGCAUACCAUCAAGGACCUAGACAUGAGACUGACCGUUGUACCGCUCUGAGACAUGCCAUCCAAGAUCUGAUCGACCAGGGUUUGGUUCACUUAGAUUAGCCGAGUGUAACCACAAACCCACUAUCGACCCACACCACACAUGCGGUUCCCCCACCAACCAAUAACAUUCAUUUUCUGGAUUUUGCUGGGUUUGACGACCAUAUCCAUAUGUUGAGCCGGGAUGACACAGAGCGAGAGCCCAUAGUGUCAGAUGGGAUUUAUGAGAUGAGUGGGGUGACUUUGGGACCUUAGAUACCCGCUCCAUUCAGAUUCGUCCCUAAGGCGGUAUCGGUACAAACGACCACUAUCGAGCGAUUGACUUUCUCACAUUAUAGUGUUCAGACGCAUUUUGUUUUGAUUCCAGAUGUUGAUGGGGUUCAGACUUCUUAUGUUGAUGUUUAUCAGACUCCAUAUGUCGAUGAUGUUCAUACUUUAGAUGUGCAGUAUGUUAUCCACGGAGGUAGGGUAGUACGGCAGCAGCCCCCCGCUGCCGCUAGACCCUUGAAGGGAACGUCAUCCCAAGAGGAGGUCGAGAGGGAGGAUGAUCAGAUUCUGAUGCAGUUACAAAGCACUCAUGCUUGUAUUUCCAUCUAGAGCUUGUUAGCAUCUUCUAGUAAUCACCGAGAUGCUUUGAUUUGAGCCUUGAGCCAGAUCAGAGUUGAAACUACCACCACUCCGGAGGGAUUGAUUCAUAUGGUGAUGGCUGGCAGAGCCGCAUGCAUAGUAUUCUCUGAUGACGGCUUGCAACCAGAGAGUGCGAACCAUACAUGUCCAUUUUAUAUAUCAGUUGGUUGUUUAGGCUAUCGAGUCUCAUUUGUCAUUUUGGAUAACGACUCGGCCCUGAACGUUUGCCCUCUGGCCACUGCCAUCGCCCUUGGUUAUGCGUCCUCUGACUUUGGUCCCUUCACUCAGAUAGUUCGAGCAUACGAUAACACUCAAAGGGAGGUCAUGGGCACUCUAGAGAUUGAGUUGCUGAUAAGUCCGAUCACAUUUGUUACUUUGUUCCAGGUUUUGAAGAUUCCUACAUCAUUUAACCUGCUAUUGGGUCGACCUUGGAUUCACAAAGUCGGGGUCAUUCCUUCUUCCCUUUAUCAAAAGGUGAAGUUCAUUUGCGAUGGUCAGGUCAUCACAGUGCGGUCUAUAGGAGAUAUGUUUAUUUCUACUCAGCCGGUGCUUCAGAUUAGUCACAAUGAUGAUGACUUACUUCUGAGUGGAUUCACAUUCGACGAGGUGCAAACCCUAAAGAUGGAGAAUUUUUUCCGAGACUUCGUAGCUAUGUCGUUUGACUAGCAUGGUAGCACGGUGGUGCUCGAUAUGAUGAGGAGUAUGUCUUAUCUUCCCGGUAUGGGAUUGGGGCGACGUCAGCACGGGCCUAGUGAGUUCAUGGCUAUCCCCGAUCACGAUGUACCGUUCGAACUCGGGUUCAUCCCCACUGAGGCUAAUUAUCGAUAUAUGGCGCAACUGCGCAAGGAGAUGGGUGAGAGCCCAACUGACUCACACGCCUUUUGAUUAUCCUGUUCGCUCAUACACCAUGAGCUUAACAGAAUACUUUGUGAAGGCGUCAGUGCCGCAGAUGCCUUCAAAUGGGAUAAUUGGGGGACUCGAAACUACUCAAGAGGCCAAGCUUCAGCGCCUCGUCUAUCAGCUACAGUUGAGUGAUGGAGUUCCUGGCACUUCGAUAUCUGUGUUGGCUGCCCUAUCAUCUCCAGAUCGUAUGAGCCUUAUGACGCUUUAUUUCCCGGAUGAGAUCAACGAGCAUGAGACAUUUGCUCGAGAUUGGAAACAUAGUGGACAGAGCCAUUCCACAUAAAGAGUACGUCGAUGAGAUGCUCGCGAUGAGCUUAAGCCAGAUCAAGGAGAUAGUUCAGCCUGGGCUCCCUUCACCAUUUGAUCUUUUCGGGGUGUCCGUCAUCCAGAUUGCUGAGGAGAUCCCGACUGCUUCUACUCCGGAGUUUACUGAGGGUGCCAUAGCUGUUAAUGACUUGUUUGAUGGCCCUGUUGGCCUAGUUGAGGGAGCGUCCGACUUUGUGGACCCACUUAUUUCAUUUGAUGUUUUAUCGGGAUUUGUUUCCCUUCAUGAUGAUGUUCUUGGCUCUUCAUUUAUGGAUUUGAGUAUUUUUGAGUAUUUGCCUGCCUCUUGUGAUAUUGCUUUAUCUACACCAUCUUCACCCACAUCACAGAUAUUUGACAUUGAUGAUGAGAUUGUACAACAUGAUUCAAAUGAUGACUCAUCAUCCGCUUCUGAUUCGAACCCCAUUGAUUAGAGAGUUUCACCUACUAUAGGGGAUGCUGAGAUUGUUGAUUUCAGCACAACAGAUCAACUUAGGGAGUUGAGGAUCAGAUCGGAUUUAUCUACUGAUAAGAGGGAUAACCUCAUCCAAUUGCUCAAAUCAUACUUGGACAUUUUCGCAUGGUCUUAUGAGGACAUGCCGAGUCUUGAUCCAUCUAUCGUCCAACAUCAUUUGCCACUUCUACCCUAUGCCAGACCGGUUAAGUAGAAAUUGAGACAGUUGCACCCUCGUUGGAGUUUGCAAGUGAAGGAGGAGAUCCAAAAGCAGCUCAGUGUGAGAUUUUUUUCAAUGGUCGAGUACCCGGAAUGACUCACCAAUGUCGUCAUUGUUCUAAAAAAGGACGACAAGGUGAGAGUCUGUGUUGAUUUUCGAGAUCUCAACAAGGCCAGUUCUAAGGAUGAUUUUCCUCUCCCACACAUCGACAUGCUAGUUGACAAUACAACAGGUCAUUCGAUGUUGUUCUUCAUGGAAGGAUUUUCCGGGUAUAGUUAGAUCUUGAUGGCUCUAGAGAACAUGAAGAAGACGUCAUUCAUUAUCGAGUAGGGUACUUAUUGCUAUAGAGUCAUGCCAUUCGAGUUGAAGAAUGCAGGAGCCACUUAUCAGAGAACAACAACCACACUCUUCCAUAACAUGAUGCAUUGAGAUGUCGAGGUUUAUGUAGACGACAUGAUAGUGAAAUCCCGAGAUAGAUCAGAUCACCUAACAACUCUGGAGAGGUUCUUUGAGAGGAUCAAGCGGUUUAGAUUGAGAUUGAAUCCUAGGAAGUGCAUUUUUGAAGUGACUUCUGGGAAGCUCCUAGGAUAUAUGGUCAGUGAGAGAGGCAUAGAGGUAGAUCUGGAUAAGAUUAGAGCCAUCUUUGACAUGCCUGCACCGAGAACAAAGAGAGAGGUCAAAGGCUUCUUGGGUAGACUUCAGUACAUCAGCAGAUUCAUCGCCAGAUUGAUAAACAUCUGUGAGCAGCCCAAUUUUCUACUCUUGAGGAAGAGUCAACCUACUGUUUGAGAUGAUUAGUGUCAGCAUGCAUUUGAGAGGAUCAGAGAGUACUUGUUGUCACCUCUAGUAUUGGCGCCUCCUACACCAGGCCAUCUUUUACUCCUAUACCUAUCAGUCUCAGACGUAGCAUUGGGAUGCAUGUUGGCUCAAGUCGAUGAUUCAAGCAAGGACCGAGCCAUUUAUUAUCUAAGUAAAAGAAUGUUAGAUUACGAGACGAGAUAUGUCAUGAUUGAGCGCUAUUAUUUGGCAUUGGUUUAGGCCACUCGUCGACUGAGACAUUAUGUGACCGAGUAUUCAGUGCACUUGAUAUCCCAUCUAGAUCCUCUUAGAUACUUGUUUGACAUACCUGCCUUGGUUGGUCGCCUCAUGAGAUGGUUGGUACUUCUGACUGAGUUUGACAUCCAUUAUGUCACUUAGAAGUCCAUCAGAGGGAGCAUUAUCGCAGAUCACCUAGCCUCAUUACCAGUUUCUGAUGGUAGGACUAUUGAUGAUGAUUUUCCAGAUGAGGAUGUUGCUACUGUGCUUAGUCUGUCAGGUUGGCGCAUGUACUUUGAUGGUGCAGCCAACCAUUCCAAAUAUGGGAUAGGAGUUUUGUUAAUAUUCUCUCAUGGUGACCACAUUCCUAGAUCUAUUCGUUUGGCAUUCUCGAAUUGACACCCAGCCACGAACAACAUUGUUGAGUAUGAGGCUUGUAUCUUGGGAUUAGAGAUGAUCCUUAAGUUUGGGAUUAGAUAGAUGGAGGUGUUUGGUGACUCCAAUAUGGUAUUAAGAUAGAUUCAAGGUGAGUGUAAGACUAGAGAUGUGAAGCUUAGGUCUUACCACGCAUAUUUGGAGCUACUGGUUGGGAGAUUUGAUGAUUUAAGAUACACACAUCUACCUAGAGCGCAGAACCAGUUUGUUGAUGCCUUAGCUACUUUGGUUUCCAUGAUUGAUAUUCUUGUCGAUGCCAUUGUUUGCCCUUUACUGAUCAAGUCGAGAUCUGCUCAUGCCUACUAUUACCUAAUUGAUGAUGUAGAGCCAGAUGAUGGUUUGCCCUGGUACCAUGACAUAUAUCACUUUCUGAGACUUGGCGUAUAUCCUAAGGCCGCCAUGACCAAGGCUAAGAAGGCAUUUGAGAUAGUUGGCUGCCCGAUUUGUGAUUUGUGGCAAGACACUAUACAGACGAUCAGUUGAUGGGAUGUUGCUAUUAUGCUUAGACCACGCCUUUACUGAUCUAGUGAUGAGAGAGGUUCAUGCAGGAAUCUGCAGACCACAUAUGGAAGGGCAUAUGCUAGCUCGUAAGAUCAUGAGGACUGGCUAUUUCUGGUUGACCAUGGAAACAGACUGUUGCCAGUUUGUUCAGAGAUGUCCUGAGUGCCAGAUACACGGUGACCUCAUUCACGUGCUUCUUCAGAAUUACAUGCGUUGACUUCGCCGUGGCCAUUUUUAGUAUGGGGUAUAGACAUUAUUGGGAAGAUUUUACCGAAGUCUUUCAGUGGGCAUGAGUUCAUCUUGGUCGCCAUCUAUUACUUCACCAAGUGGGUGGAGGUUGCUUCGUAUGCAAGAUUGACGUCAUUUGAAGUUGCUAGUUUCAUCAGAUCACACAUUAUUUGUCGCUAUGGAGUCUCUCAUGAGUUGAUUUCCGAUAAAGAGGUACAUUUCACAGCAGAGGUUGACACCUUAGUGCAGCGAUAUGGCAUCCGACAUCUUAGGUCAUUUGCGUACAGGCCGUAGACGAAUGGAGCAGUAGAGGUCGCCAAUAAGAAUAUUAAGAGGAUCUUACGAAGAAUGGUUGGGACUUCUCGGGAUUGGUCAGAGAAAUUCCCUUUCGCAUUGUGGGCUUAUCGAAUUUCUUUUCGCACCUCCAUAGGAGCCACACCCUACUCUUUGCUGUAUGGUAUGGAGAUAGUGCUACCAGUUGAGAUUGAGAUGGGUUCAUUGAGGAUAGCAUUAGAGCGGCAGAUUCCAGAGGCAGAUUGGGCUCAGGCCCGAUUAGAUCAACUCAAUCUCCUAGAUGAUAGGAGAUUGAGGGCAGCAGACCAUGUUCGCUCAUAUCAUUAGAGGAAGAUGACCCGUGCUUUCAAAAAGCGGGUCAAGGCUUAACCACUAUGGAUAGGUGACUUGGUUCUGAAUGUCAUCAAGGGAUUGAUAAGAGAUCCUAGAGGGAAGUUCAAACCCAAUUGGAGCGGACCUUACUUCAUCAAGGAGUUAACCCUAGAGAACGCUACAUGGUUGAUGGAUCUAGAUGGAAACCGAUUCUCGGAGCCGAUCAACGUAGAUUAGCUAACGAGGUACUAUGUUUGAGACCAUGGUCAUAGGAUGGGUGGUCAUCAUUUCAGUUAGCCAUAUACCUUGUUAUUCCCCUUUGAUACAUAGACUGUUGCUAGCCCAUUGAGCCUCGUGUGUGCAUUAUAGCAUUUCUAUCUUAUUACCUUGCUCACAUUGUUACACCAGGAUUGGGGCCCUUUAGUGUGUGCAUGCGUUGUUUGGGAGCCUGAUAAGUCUUGGACCUACAAGUGCGUCUUUCUCUCAUUAUUUUUUCCUACCAUCACUCUAAUGCAUAUCAUCACAUCUCGUUGGCCAGGUUCUUCAUUCAUUCUCCUUUAUUAUAUCUACUGCUUGUUUUGCUUCAUAUUCUCUUCACCCUGAGUGGUAAUCCUCCUCAGUUCAUUGCAUGAAGGAUAGUCACAUCAUUUCCACCAUCUAUCCCACGGACACUGAUUCUGAGAUCCUUAGUUUGAGAAGGUUAUCUCGUCAGAGAUAGUUUUUGAGAGUGUGUCUAUCCAUUGUAGAUGUCAUAUUUGGGGAUCAUUUGUUUAUGAUUCAGGGUAUAUGCAUUUGUAUAUAUGUAAAAAAAAAAAAAAAAUGAAAAUGUAAAACAAAAGAAAAAAAUGAAAAUGAAAAGAAAAGAAAAAUAAGCAUGUGUGUAUGUGCAUAGUAUUCUCCAUCAUUGGGCAUGUAUAUUGAUGUUUGAGGGUUACUUCAUUAAGUAUGUUUGUUGAUGAGAGCUCGUAUGUGAGCUUUCCGAGACCGUUCAUUAUUUGUAUUCAGGUUUCAUGUAUUUUGAGAGUGAGAUGAGUGACUUUCUCUUAGGAGCUUUGUAUCAUUGUCCUUUCCAUCAUUACAUUCAUUGUUGAUGUGACUUCACCUCAUGUUGGAUUUGAGCGGAUCAUCAUUCCUCUUUGUGUUCUUCGCUUCACCAUCAUCCUCGUUUUUGCUUUUGAUUCAUCAUCAUCAUCUCACCCCUUGUCAUUUUCUUACAACGACUCUUUUAUUCCCAGUUUGACACUUCCUCCACAUCAUCCUUACACAUCUCAUUAUCAGAUCAAUUUUUUUUCAUUGCCUCGUUAUUGACAUCAUAUUCACAUUAGGCACCCUCAGGUCCGUGACUCACGAGAUUUUCUAUACAUGUGGCAUUUCAUACAUGAGGGCAUGGGUUUCUGUUCAUUUGGUAUUUUGGCCUAGUUUCCCUUCAUUUUUAUCACCCUAUCAUCCCAGUCUACGUUACGUCCCGUGUCUUAAGACCACCCUAAGGCCAUGAGAUCAGAUGUCAUCUUUGACAACCUAUAAUUGGACUGGUGUUUGAGAUCUGAUUGACAUUUAGAUAUUGUCAUGCUUCCUCUUCUGGGAGAUGUCUUUCUGAUGAUUAGAUUUGUUUCAAUUAUGUUUGGAUUACCAGGAUUACAUGUUCGAUGAUAGAUGAUUCCAUGUCACCUAAUUUUAUGAUCUAUCACAUAUUUGGUGUCAUACUAGGGCAUAUUCCGUUUCGGGCGAGAUUUACAAAUCUUCACGGAGUUGCAUGCUUAUCCCCACUUGCGAGAUAUACGCCGAAAUGAUUGACUGGUUCGCUAUUUUAUGAUGAUCCAUUAGUGGAGCCUCUGUGGAGCCGUUCAGCCAGCCCCAUAUUUCUCGGUAUUUGGUUAUUAUCAUGCUUCUUAUUCCGAGAGGCGUUCCCUAGAUGUUUGGAUUUGAUUUGGAUCACGGAGAUCACAUGCUCGAUGAUAUAUGAUUCCAUGUCACUUGAUUUUCUGAUUUAUCACAUAUUCGAUGUCAUACUGGGGCAUAUUCCGUUUCGGGAGAGAUUUAUAGAUCUUCAUGGAGUUGCAUGCUUAUCCCCACUUGCGAGAUGUACGUCGAGAUGAUUGACUGGUUCGCUAUUUUAUGAUGAUCCCUCAGUGGAGCCUCUGUGGAGCCCUUCGGUCAGGUCCACAUUUCUCGGUAUUUGGUUACUAUCAUGCUUCUUAUUCCGAGAGAUGUUCCUUAGAUGUUUGGAUUUGAUUUGGAUCACGAAGAUCACAUGCUCGAUGAUAGAUGAUUCCAUGUCACCUGAUUUUUUGAUCUAUCACAUAUUCGGUGUCAUACUGGGGCAUAUUCCAUUUCGGGCGAGAUGUACGCCGAGAUGAUUGACUGGUUCGCUAUUUUAUGAUGAUCCCUCAGUGGAGCCUCUAUGGAGUUGUUAAGCCAGACCCAUAUUUCCCGGCAUUUGGUUACUGUCAUGCUUCUUAUUCCGAGAUACGCUCCCUAGAUGUUUGGAUUUGAUUUGGAUCAUGAAGAUCACAUGCUUGAUGAUAGAUGAUUCCAUGUCACCUAAUUUUCUGAUCUAUCACAUAUUCGGUGUCAUACUAGGGCAUAUUCCAUUUUGGGUGAGAUUUGCAGAUCUUCAUGAAGUUGCAUACUUAUCCCCACUUGCGAGAUGUACAUUGAGAUGAUUGACUGGUUCGCUGUUUUAUGAUGAUCCCUCAGUGGAGCCUUUGUGGAGCCGUUCAGCCAAACCCACAUUUCUCAGUAUUUGGUUACUAUCAUGCUUCUUAUUCCGAGAGACGUUCCCUAGAUGUUUGGAUUUGAAUUGGAUCACGGAGAUCACAUGCUCGAUGAUAGAUGAUUCCAUGUCACCUGAUUUUUUGAUCUAUCACAUAUUUGGUGUCAUACUGAGGCAUAUUCCCUUUCGGGAGAGAUUUAUAGAUUUUCAUGGAGUUGCAUGCUUAUCCCCACUUGCGAGAUGUACGCCGAGAUGAUUGACUGGUUCGCUAUUUUAUGAUGAUCCCUCAAUGGAGCCUCUGUGGAUCCGUUCAGCCAGGCCCACAUUUCUCGGCAUUUGGUUACUAUCAUGCUUCUUAUUCCGAGAGACUUUCCCUAGAUGUUUGGAUUUGAUUUGGAUCACGGAGAUCACAUGCUCGAUGAUAGAUGAUUCCAUGUCACCUAAUUUUCUAAUCUAUCACAUAUUUGGUGUCAUACUGGGGCAUAUUCCAUUUCGGGCGAGAUUUACAGAUCUUCACGGAGUUGCAUGCUUAUCCCCAUUUGUGAGAUGUACGCCGAGAUGAAUGACUGGUUCGCUAUUUUAUGAUGAUCCCUUAGUGGAACCUCUGUGGAGCCGUUUAGCCAGGCCCACAUUUCUCGGUAUUUGGUUACUGUCAUGCUUUUUAUUCCGAGAGACGUUCCCUAGAUGUUUAGAUUUGAUUUGGAUCAUGGAGAUCACAUGCUCGAUGAUAGAUGAUUCCAUGUCACCUGAUUUUCUUAUCUAUCACAUAUUCGAUGUCAUACUGGAGCAUAUUUCCAUUUCAGAUGAGGUUUACCAAUCUUCAUGGAGUUACAUGAUCAUCUCCACUUACGAAGUAUGAGCUGAGACGAUGACGUGUUCGUUACCUUAUCAUGAUCUCUCAGUAGAGCCUCUUUGGAGCCAUUCAGCUCGACCCACAUUUUUGGCAUUUGGUUGUCGCCAAGCUUAUUAUUCCGGAGACGUUUCAUAGAUGUUUGGGGUUUGAUUUGGGUCAUGGAGAUCGCACAUUUGAUGAUGGAUGAUUUCAUGUCACCCAAUUUUCGACUUAUCGUACAUCUAACGACAUACUGGGGCAUAUUUCCGUUUUGAUCGAGAUUUACAAAUCUCCAUGGAGUUGCAUGCUUAUCUCCACUUACGAGGUACACACCGAGAUGAUGACCUAUUUGUUAUCUUAUCAUGAUCCCUUAGUGGAGCCUCUCUGGAGCCAUCCAAUCAGAUUCAUAUUUUUUCGGCGUUUGGGUUGUUGUCAUGUUUCUCCUUCUGGGUUAUGGAUUUGGAUGACGAGGUUCGUGCUCCUGAUGAUAGAUGACUUGAGGCCAUUUGAUUUUUCCAACCUAUCACACAUUUGAUUCCAUACUGGGGCAUUUUUCCCCUUUCGAUCAAGAUUUGUAGAUCCCCACGAGUUUGCAUGAUCAUCCCCAUUUAUGAGAUACACAUCAGGUUGAUGAUUCGAUUUCAUUUUGUCUUGAUUCUUUCGUGGAGCAUUUUUCUUGAGUCAUUUCGUCAGGCUCACACUUUCUGAUUUUGUUGUGAUUUUUGGAUAGAGUCAUCUCAGGUGCAUAGGAUCCCAUAUCAUCAUUUCAGUGGGACACAUGUCAGAUCUUUUAUAUAUUCCCAUGGAGUUAUUCUCGGGUUAUCAUGAUAGACCGAGUACAUCUGACGCCAUAUUGGGGCAUAUUUCCUUCCUCCAGCUGUAGAGUUUCGAUGAUUUUUGCUAAGAUGAGCCACCAGAGGAACACGACUUCCGGGUUUUGACUGCCCUACUAUCCAUGACUUUUCAGUGGAUUGAGAUCGUAGUAGUUACCCUAGCAGACUAUUCUUUUGUGACCCCCUAGUGGAUCAUUUUUUCGGUAUGAUGAUGGAUUCUUCCAAUAAAACAUUUUGAGUUAGAGAAGUUCUACUUAUUGCGACACUUCAUCAGAUCUCGCGAUUUAGUCAGAUGGGUUGUGAGACUAAGUUCACAGUCGAUUUAAUCAUUUCGACUCGCUAGCAGAGCAUCCUUCAAGACUCAUGAAGUCUUUUUUGUCAUUUCCAUGGACUGAAAUCUGUAGUAGCAUGCUACAUUGGGGCAUAUUCCCCCCUCAUCAUCUCUAUUCAUCUUCAGUCUCGGCGUUCAGAGCCACCGUUUCUUCACAAUUUGGCGUUCAGAGCUAUAUCUUCAGUUUGGUGUUCCAGGUCACGCAUUCUUUUUAGCGUUCAGAGCCAUCAUCAUGUUCACAGUUUGGCGUUUAGAGUCACUAUCUCUUCUUAGUUUUGGUGUUCAGAGUCGCAUCUUCAUUUUGGCAUUUAGAGCCGUUAUUUCUGUUCAGCAUUCAUAGUUACUAUUUUUAGUUUGGUGUUCAGAGCCACCGUUUCUUCGUAUUUUGGCGUUUAGAGCCAUAUCUUCAGUUUGGCGUUCAAAGUCACACUUUCAUUUUGACGUUCAAAGCCAUCGUCAUCUUCUCAAUUUGGGUGUUCAGAGCCACCAUCUCUUCUUAGUUUGGGUGUUCAGAGCCACCAUCUUUUCUCAGUUUGGGUGUUCAGAGCCACCAUCUUUUCUCAGUUUGGGUGUUCAGAGCCACCAUCUUUUCUCAGUUUGGGUGUUCAGAGCCACCAUCUUUUCUCAAUUUCGGCGUUCAAAGCCACCAUCUUCUCAGUUUUGACAUUCAGAGCCACCAUCUUCUUAGUUUAGGCGUUCAAAGCCAUCAUCUUCUCAGUUUGAGCGUUCAGAGCUACCAUUUUCUCAGUUUUGACGUUCAAAGCCACCAUAUCUUCUCAGUUUCGGAAUUUUAAAGCCACCAUCUUCUCAGUUUCGGCGUUCAAAGCCAUCAUCUUCUCAAUUUGGGCGUUCAGAGCCACCAUUUCUUCUAAGUUUCGGCGUUUAGAGCCACCAUAUUCUCAGUUUCGGCGUUCAGAGCCACCAUCUUCUCAGUUUGGGCAUUCAAAGCCACCAUCUCUUCUCAGUUUGAGCGUUCAGAGCCACCAUCUUCUCAGUUAAAGCAUUCAGAGCCACCAUCUCUUCUCAGUAUGGGCAUUUAGAGCCACCAUUUCUUCUUAGUUUGGGCGUUCAGAGCCACUAUCUCUUCUCAGUUUCGGCAUUUAGAGCCACCAUCUCUUCUCAAUUUGGGUGUUUAGAGCCACUAUCUAUUCUCAAUUUGGGCGUUCAUAGCCACCAUCUCUUCUCAGUCUUGGUGUUUAAAGCCACCAUCUUCUUACGACUCAGCCUUCAAAGUCAUCAUUGCUUAUCGGUUACGACGUUCAGAGUCAUCUUCCUCGGUUUUGACGUUCAGAGCCACCAUUUCCUUAUAGCUUGACGAUUAGAGUCAUCAUCGCUUCUCAAUUACGACGUUCAGAGUCGUAUUUCUCAGUUAUGGCGCUCAGAGCCUUCAUCUUCUUCAGUUUGACGUUCAGAGUCGCACCUCUAGCUUGGCAUUUAGAGUUACUAUCUCUUUACAAUUUUGCUUUCAGAGCCAUCAUCCUAUUGCGAUCGGGCAUUCGUUGCCACUUUUUCGACAUUCAGAGCCACCAUCUUUUCUCAAUUAUGGCAUUCAAAACCAUCAUCUCUUUACAACUUGGCGUUUAGAGUCAUCGUCCUUCUCAAUCAUGGCAUUUAGAGCCACAUUUCAGGCAUUCGAAGUCAUGAUUUUCUAAAGCUUAUCAUCCUCCCUUGUGCAUGAUAUAGCUCUUUGAGCUUAUAGCUUAUGUUUUGAUUGUAUCAUUGGUGCCCCUCACUUCGCGCUCUUGUAUGGUGCAUGUAUAGUUUCCCUUUUAUAUAUGUUCCUCUCUAUGCUCCUAGAUGGUUUGACUACUACUCAACUUUGACUUCGAUCUUUGAAUCACUUUUGGUGACAUCUUAGAGGGAGUCUAGAUCCUUAGCGCGGCUUCAAAGGCACUUUGAGAGAUCCAUUUUUCUCUUAGGAUUUUAAAGCUCUUUUUACUCCUCUGAUGGUUUGGGUGAGUUUGUGUUUUACUUGUGUACCUUUAGGGAUCUUUCUUUGUCUUCGGUAGAGUUCACUUCAUUUCACUCUCUAUUCACACUUUUUUUUCACUUUAGUGUUUACAUUCAUUACACUCGUGAGCUCUACCGAAGAGGGGCAUAUUUGUAGACCCCUUUGUGGACACCAUCCGAGAGAGUGGUUUUUCUUUCAUUUUUUUGAAAUGGGGGGACCCCUUUCUGCCAAGAACAAGCUGCAUGGACAUGUGGCCAAGAGCAUGGCUCACCAUGGUGGUGGUUGAUGGUGAUGACAUCCUCCCGGGACAAGGAGCAGUAAAGUGGUUGGUGGCUUGCGGGAGAAGACAGAAAUGGGGGCAGGCAAGCAAGCUGCGAGGGGGUAGGUGAUUUUGGGGUUGCUGGUUUUGGGGAGAUACACUGGAAAAUGCUUUCUUUGGCUGGGGAGUCUUUGUUCUAGGGAGGAGGAAUUCUUUGGCCAGGCAAGAACUGUGAAAGAGCUCUCAGGUAAGUUUACUGGGUAUCUCUUGUUCACAUUUACUAUCACCGUUCUUUCAUUUUCCCCCUUCGCUAUUUGGGGUUUUGUUUGUUUGUUUGGUUAUGGAUAACAGGAGUUAUGCAUGAGUUUUGUUAAUUUCCAGUUUGUUCAUAUACCCAUUGAUCGCUUCAUUCACUAUCCUUCUUAAUAUUGGUUUAAACCCAAUGAAGUUCUGUUUCAUUUUGCUCUAUGUGAAGAUAUUGCUUGUUAUUUUCUCGUUUGGACCUGUUGGUACCCUUCCCACCCAUCCAAGCCCGUUGAAAGAGCAUUAGAUAUGGUUUUUCUUAAUUCACACACACACAUAUAUAUAUAUAUAUAUAUAUAUUUGUUUACUUUUCCUGGCUCUCCUUUGUUCUAGUCUAUAUUUUCUUUUUCCCGUUUUUUUUAUGCACUCGAUCCAGAAUGUCGGUUGAUUGAGUGUCGGUCAGAGGAAUUGGUUUUGGGCUUGUUCUAGAGAAAUGCGCUGGUAAAUAUACAUGCACAAUGUGGAAAAGGUGAAGUUGUUAAUACCUUAUCCAUUUGUUUUUCCGGGCACACGAAUGUUGGUCAAGUAGCCGAAAGAUUAAGAUGAGGCUUUCUCCCAUCACCAUUCCAGCUGAUUCAGUUGUGACUGUUGGUAUUGUGCCCUAUUCCGGGGUCCGUUCAAAAGUGUCUUCGGCUAAGGUUGUGCAAGCUAAAUCAGUUGAUGCUUAAUAUGCUUAGGAAUACUACUUGUGCGUUUUUCAAAUUUUAUGCAAAGGUGACAAGCCAAACAUCAGUGGAAAUGAUGCAUGACUCCUCCAAUAGAUCAGUUCAUACAAUUUUCAGGUGUGGGAAUAUAUGCUAGCAACGUUCUUGAAGUCACUAAUUGGUUCCCAUUUCCAACCCUAGAAGAGAAUGGUGAGACUGAAACAUCAUGUGGUCCCGACAUUUCAUCAUAUAUAAUUCCUUCAUACCCAUAUUCCCACUACCUUCCAUCCUCUAAGCCUCAUUCAUACCCAUAUCACUACUUCAUCUACCCGUAUUCUCAUAUUUCCAUCUCGUCACCAUAUUUUCUCUCUUUACACCACGUGCAUGUCCAUUACCACUCAUGCAUAUCACCACCCUCCUAUGCCCACCUUGCCCAUUCUUUCUUACCACCUUUCUCUUUUUACACCACAUGCCUCCCAAACCCACUACUCGUAUUUCACGCUUCAUCCCAUCUCAUCCCAUAUCCCUCCCAUGGAUAUCAUCACUUUCACAUACCCAUCACUACAUUUCUCUCUCUACACCACACCAUGUUCCCACUUUUUUUUUUUAAUAUGUCACUAGAUCCAUUUCUUCCCACUUUGCAUGGUCAUGCAUGGCCACACUAUGUCACUUCCACACUCAUACCCGUUCCAUACCCACAUCUUCCUAUCUGUAUUCCUACCCUUUUUUAAAAAAAAAAAAAAAAAUCCACUCACUCGUUUCUCUCACUACCACUACCCUUCAUUACUCAUCCCUACCCAUGGCAACCCAUACUCUCCUCACUCAUCUAUUACACCCACUGUCAAUAGCUCUCUUCAUCACCAUACCUAUUUUUUCCACUCUUUCUAAAUCCAUUGGACUCUCUCAUCUCACCACCCUCCAUCAUCCGUUCCAUCAAUAACCUCCCCGAAGACCAAGAAGAUUUUGCAACUUCUGCGCUUGAGAUAGAUAUUUAACAGUGUCUUCCUGAAAGUGAACAAGGAAACAACGAAUAUGUUGCACAAGGUUGAGCCUUACGAGACAUGCGGGUAUCCCAAUUCAAAGAGUGUUAAGGAAUUGGUUCACAAGCCAGGGUGCCUACCCGCUACAGUGAAACGCUUGGCUUUCAUAGUCUGCAUCGCGAGACAAUCAUGAAGCAUCAGUAUUGUUUGCAUUAGAGCGGGGUAUACCUUCCAUAGUUGGUACUCUUGGAAGUAUGUCUAUGGGAUGAAGCUGAUAUAUUAUCUGUUUUAUUUGAUAAUGGAUGAAAUCAUGGUGACUUUGUGGUCUAUAUCAUCCAGAAGUUCUCUCAAGAGAUAUAGCCGUCAUGUGAAGAUUCUUUUUCCUCACACGGUUACGCUGCUAAGAAGGAUUUCUCAUGCUUUGAAGGUCAUCAUGAAUCGAAAGACUCAAGAAGAAGGGUUAGCAUUGGUUCGUACUCAUCAGAUGCCUAGAAACAAGUGGGCAGAGUUGACAAAACUCUCGUCGAGAAGAACAGACAAUGCAAUAAAAGACCACUAGGACAGUUAUGUAAAGAAGAAGUUGGACUCUCAUAUAGCAUCAGAUUCACUUGCACAGUCCCAAGGCCAGCCUCUUGUUGGUCACUGAAACUGAUCGAUCCAUUCAUCUUCUUCAAAUAUGUAAUAGAGUAGUGGAGGUGAUGGCGGAGCCAAAGGUGGGAUAGAAGCAGAGGAAAUUUCAGAAUAUAGUCAAGGUUCAAUUGCGGAUUUUCUGGAAGCGUGAGGCACCAGUUUAAUUCAAAUGGGCAACCCACUCCUUCUUUUGAGCUGGGACAAGCAUCAUCAGGUUUAUCAUCGCAUUUUAAAGGUGGCAGAGGAAACCAGGGCACAGUUUCUGUCCCGUUCAUGAACUUCUGUAGGGUUGAGUGAUUCCUCUUCCACGGGAAAUAUAGGUGUGGACUCUGAUAUACCUGAGCAUUUACUGAUAUCUGAAGGCGACUGUUGUGGGUUCAGAUUCCAAGAGGAACUCCAGCUUCACAGUCAUAUUACUCCCUAAGGAUGACAGCGGCAAGCAUCACUAGCACCAAUAGGGUAGUCACAAUCGCACCCAAGGCCCAUGUGUAUUAUGGCCAACCUCCCAGACCCAUUUUCAAGGCCCACGUGCUUCUUUCCUUCACCUUAAAAAAAAAAACAAAAAAUGAUGAUUUUCUGAAAAUCCAAUUUCCAAAUAAUUCAACUCUCUAUUCUUUCAUCUCUAGAAUUUUUGGGUCCUAAAUUCCAUUUCCCAAUUUCCAUAUUUAUUUAUUUAAUAAGUAUUAUUUUUGUUAUUAUUAUUAUUAUUAUUCUAUUUAUUUAUUCAUUUAUUAUAAAAUUCCACCUUUAAAUAAUUUUCCAAAAUUCCGACUUCUGGAUUUAAAGUUCCAAUUUAAAAAAUCUCAAUAUUCACAUUCAUUUAUUUAAUUAUCAUUUUUGUUUUUAUUAUUAUUCUUUUUAUUUAUUUAUUCAUUUAUCAAUUCUUCAAAAUUUCGACUUUCAAAUAUAAUUUCUGAUUUUUCAUAAUUUCACUAUUCACAUUCAUUUAUUUAAUUAUUAUUUUUGUUAAUAUUAUCAUCAUUCCAUUUAUUUAUUUAUUUUAAAAUUUCAUCUAUUAACAAUUCUUCAAAAUUCCAGUUUCCGAAUUUAAUUUCCAAUUUCAAAUUUUCCACUAUUCACGUUCAUUUAUUUAAUUACUAUUUUCGUUACUAUUAUUAUUACUCCGUUUAUUUAUUUAUUUAUUCAUUUUAAAAUUUCAUCUUUUAACAAUUCUUCAAAAUUCCGGUUUCGAAUUUAAUUUCCAAUUUAAAAAAUUCCACUAUUCACAUUAAUUUAUUUAAUUAUUAUUUUCGUUAAUAUUAUUAUCAUUCCAUUUAUUUAUUUUAUUUAUUCAUUUUAAAAUUCCAUCUUUUAACAAAUUCUUCAAAUUCCAAUUUUCAAAUUUAAUUUUCAAUUUCCAAAAUUCAUUUUUUCACAUUUAUUUAUUUAAUCAUUAUUAUUUUCGUUAUUGUUAUUAUUUUAUUUAUUUUAAUUAUUUAUUUUUGAAAAUUCCAUUUUUAAAUAAUUCUUUAGAAUUCCAAUUUUUGAACUUAACUUCCAAAAUUUCAAUUCUUAAAUUUAAUUCCCAAUACUCCAAUUUCCAAAUAAUUUUCAAGACUCCAAUUUUCAAAUAAAUUUCAAAAAUCCAGUUUUCACUCGAACAAUUUUAAUUUCAUUCCGAUUCUCAAAUAAUCUAUUGUUUAUCUUGAUUUUACAUAAGUAUGAAUGCAAUUUUUCAUAAUUCCACAAUAAUGGAAUUUGCGAAACUAAUUCGUGCAAGAUAGAUUGGAUUUUGGUGGGAGGCCCAACAUUGGUGUUUUUUUCCUCUAAAAAUAAAUUUAAUUGAAUUGAAUUGUGAUAUCUAUUGAUUUCUCACUCUGUUUAGUGGCAUAUGUGACAUAGUCUGUUUUUGUUAAUUCUGCACUAAUCUCAUUUCUUGAUAGCACAUUGUGGCUCAUGGCCCAAGUACGCAUCCGCUCCCAUUCUAGUCAUUCUCCAUGCAUAUUCUGAUUCUCAUAUGUGCAUGAUCGAUUUGAGUACCCAUUGAUUUCCUUAUUGAUUGCCACAUCAACUUCCUUUUAUCAGUAGAGACCUGACUUUAGGGACUUAUAUGGGUGCUACGGUCCUUACUAUACAUUCCCGAUAAGUAAUCUGACCUCCGAGUCUGAUCCGGUUUUUCAAAAAUCACUUUUUUCAAAAUAAGGAGUUACACUUAGGGUUUUCUUUCUUAUUUUGUAUACCCUUUUGAUUACUACUCAAAAAGUGCUAUUUGAUAGCUUGUAAUUAACUCUUUUAAACACUUUUGAGUAGUAGUUAUUGCCUUUUAACCCAAUUAACAUGUUAAGGACCCUUGCAAUCAAUUCUAAUCAAAUUGUGUUAAGUUUUGGUGUUUUUGUUAGUAAUUUGAUCACCAAAACAAUCCAAGAUUGAGGAGAGUUAUUUGGAAUCCAUGGCAAAGCUUUUGGAAGCUCAAAUUUAUGAAGAACCAAGCUUUGGAGCUCCAUAGCCCUUUGCCAAAGUCGUUCAAAGUAUGCAAGGAGAGAAGCAAGGAGAAGAGGAAAACAGAGUGAAGAAAACAGAGGACAAGAAGCUGCAGUCUUCAUGCGCACUUUUGGAGCACUUCCCGAAGUCCAUUUUCUACAUUCUAUAUACCAUUUCAAAGCUCAGGAAGUCAAGAAUCCAAUGCUUCAAACGGUGCGUGAUUCGGAGUUGAAACGAAGAAGUUACAGCCAUUGCAAGCAGAUCACUCCAAAGUGUUGCGAAAUCAGCCUUUUGUUGCGAGAAUUUCGCAGCCUUUUUGUACAGUGCUAUGGAAUUCCUCCUGAAGCUACCCGAUACAUGCCGCAAGCUGGAACGCUGAGAACCUCAAGGUGGAAGCCAAUUUCGCAGCCCUGCGAGUUUAACUUGUUGUUGCGAAAAUAUUUCGCAGCCCUCUUGGGUGUCUGCGAAAUCUCGCAGACACCAUUUUCACCUGCGAAAUGGUUCCUGAAGCUUCCCGAUAUUUUCCACCGACUCUUUUGGAUAUUUUUCUUCAGAUAUUUUUGUAUAAAUUUCCAUUUUCUCCUUGUAUUCAGCCACUCAUGUAAUUCCUUAGCUAGGAAGUGUCCAAGGAAGGGUAAAUUACCUUCCUAUAUAAACUCUCUUGCAUCCACUGUAAAAAAAACGCUCGGAGAAGUAUGUAAUAUAGAAACAAUAUAUAGAAUCAACGAACAGAGCACUUGCUCUGUUUUUUCAUAUAUAUUCUUGUCUUCUCCUUCAUUUUCAUUUUCUAGCCAACCAAACUCUGAGGAUUUUUCCACAGAGGAUGAGAGGCUAAGCUUUUUGUCUCUUGGAGUAAGGAAAGCCGGGUAAGUUUCCACAUGCAUAAUUUGGAAGUUUUGUUGUUUUAGUUUUAAUGAAGAGAAAGUGUAACCCGUUAAUGGUUUUUAUCUUUUUAGUUAACUUAAAACACCUUAGAGUCACCUGAGCCAACACUUGGUAAGGCAAGUGAUUUCUAUCCAUGGAAAUGCACUAGUUUACCCCUUGCGAGCCUUUGGGAGGUGACUUGAAGGUAGGAUUUUCUAGAAUAGCCAACACUUGGUAAGCUUUUGGACUCCAAGGAGACAUCCAUUAGUUAUCUCUUGCGAGCUUUUGACGGGUAAUCCAAGGUUAAAGAUCUCCUUGAAUGGCAAGUGCUAGGUGAGAGGUAUGAGCCAUUGCAAGAUGCAUCAGUGAGAGGGAUUUAGUGUUUGAACCCAUUAAUGGGAAGCAUCUGUACAACACCGGUUGGAGAAGGAACUAUAUGUUAAUUCUCUAAUGCGAGGAAAAGAAACAAGUGACCGGAACUCCCUUUUUGUAUGAGGAAUCUGAGCCUAGUGAUCUGAAAUUCCAAGAAACACUUUUCUUUGUAAGUAAAAUCAGUUACUAUUUUUGGUUAGCUUAAAACCAAUCCUUUUUCAUUCAAAAAUCUUUAUGUUUUCUUUUAAAGCUAACCUUGAAAUGAAAAGGCACCAAUUCAGCUUUAAAUUAAUAUCAUUUGCAAAGUGAAAACCCAUCCCAGUGAACGAUCCUAGAGCCACUAUACUAUAGUAGUUUUGUCUUUGCUACCCUAGUAUAUGGUGUAAUAGGUUAUAAAUUUUGUUGAUUACUCCCUCAAUCAAGGAGCACCAGCUGUACACGAAUCAGCUGAGACAUCAAUUGGGCACGAAUCAAAUGGCGCCGCUGCCGGGGAUCGAACCCCGAAUCAAAUGGUGCCAUUGCCACUGCCGCUGCUAGGGACGAAUCAUUAAAAACAAAACAAAAAUAAGUGGCGAUUCCAAGUCAUUUCUAAAAAAAAAAAUCAUAUUUUUCAUUAAAUAAAUAAAAAACGAAUUUGCCAUCGAGUGAGAACGCAUUGAGCAAAAAUGCGAGGUCCACAUAUUGUUAUUUUUAUUUAUAAAGAAUCGAAAUUUACUUUAUCAUUUAUUAAUUGGCAUGAAAUGUUUUGACUUGCCUUGAUUAAUAAGGACUUCCAUGGCUUACCUGAUAGAGUUGGGCCCUUAACGUUAUCCACUCUGCAAUGUAUCAUGCCCUUCCAAAGCUUAAUCAAGUCAACGGCUAAGGUGUAAUUUCAUGCAUUAAAUUAUUUUAAAAAAUGUUUAAUACUGCAGUCAAGCUCGUACUACAUAUACUCUAAAAUCAACAAUGUAAUUUUCUGCACUGAGCAAUUUCAUAAAAAUGGUUUUUGAGUAAAAGAGAUUUGGAUUUUGGCCUAUGGCCUAUGGACUUUCAAAACAGGGGGUUACUCCUUGCAUUAGCUUUGUCAGGAGCACAAACCUGACAAAGAAAGCAAUUGGCAACAUGUUGAAUUUAAGCCACAAGCAUAGAGAAUCUUCAAACUUUGCAGCCUCCCCAGGUUUUGUGGCAACUUGUGGAGUUUUGAACACUCACUGACAUUGAGAACUUCAAGAAAGCAUAAAUUACAAGUGCUUCCUGGAAGAGUCACAAGGUUUUGGCAUCUGUCCAGAUUCAAAAGUUCAAGCCUAUUCAAAUGUUCGAUUGAUGAUGGUAGCUCUUUUAUAGCCGUUCCGUUCAAGUGAAGCUCCCUUAAGUUUUCCAUAUUCUCCAAGAUUUCUGGAAAGUACUGUAAUUGUGAACAGUCAGAGCCAAAGAGAGAUUUUAGGGAUUUGAACUCCCGAAUGCUUGUUGGCAGACUCUCAAGGUUUUUGCACUCUCGCAAACAUAAGGUAUCAAAUUCAGAGGCAUGCUCAAUGGGUAGUAGGUUGAUUGUCUGACCCUUUAAACAAAGCUUUCGGUGUUCCACGUUCCUCUGACAUUCCACGCAGCUAGCAUCCACAUCCUCAGUCUGUACUAUUGGAUCUUGGGAGUAUAUAGGUUGAAGCCCACACUUGAGCACCUUAAAAUGAUUGCGAGAGCCCAUAAAUAGAGCCCCAAGAAACAUGGAUGGAUUGGUGUGACAGCUCUCCAGAAUAGCAGCCUUGGGAUAGAAUAUCACCCACAUUUGUUCUGAUGCACCUCCAUCAUGGUAGCAUUUACAAGUAGUGCGAAAACUGAGAGGUUGCACACACAGGGGAGAAAAUCCAUAUCCAUCAUGCAAUGACAAUUGACAUUCUAACUCAGUGGAGAUUGAAGAUUCAGCUUCAAAUAAAUCGUCAGAUUCAUUCAGGGCUUCGUCACCAGAUUCAUUCUCCGAAAAUGUAUGUGCAAAAUCAUUUUCUGGUAUGUCCUCACAUUCAUCGAGUGGAGCAUAAACACAGCAUAUAGCAAUUCCCAAGAAGUCAUUAUUUUCAUAACAACUCUGAGGAAGGUCCAUUGUGAUCUGAUAUCCCUCUCUCUGUUUCCUUAUCCACUUGGGAAUUCCACUGCUUCCCGGAACAACAAUACAGAUUCCAUGGCCAAUGAAGUCAGAAUCAGGGAGAAAUACUUCAUUUGAACUGCUCUUGUAUUUCAAAUCCUGUACAAAGGGACAAUGUAAAUCCAGUGGGUCUGUGCCAUUAUGUGAGUUUUUAUGAGAGAGUUUGUUAUCGGUUUUUGAUAAAUUGAUUCCCAGUUUUAACUUUCUUUGAUCUAUGCUCCUGAAUCUACUUAAUAUCCCUUUUAGAUGACGGAUAAUCAAUCAACAUGAAAGUGAGUGACAAGAUUAAGUGUGAAAACUGGAAGUGAGGGGAAACUGAAACUGAAAGUGAGUAGAAUAAGCAGAUCUGUUCUUCACUUGCAGUAGCUUCUUCUCCAUUCAGAUUCAGAGAUCUUAGAAUUGUAGCUUCAACUUAACUCUCAGAAUCUUAAAGACAAAGUUCGCUCAAGUUUCAAAAACUCACAGAAAAGUUUCUCCUCAUGUUUCUUUUAAUCCCAUGAGGCGACAGACAUGUAGCACACACUUACUGGCUUUUUGCCAUGCAAGUUUCAAGGUGGAGUGUCCAAUGAACUAAAACAUUCCCUCAAAUCCUAGUGGAAAUUCACACUAUAAAUUUCAGAAUUUGCUAAAGAAAAGUUUAAUUAAUUUUACCCAUGACUAAAAAGGCAUGUGAGGGCAUUUUAACAGCCUAUUAAUUAUUAUAUUAAACUACUAUUCUCAUUACUCAAACUCAUGAUCCUUCACAUCAUCACCACAUUUUGAAGAGACUUUCGUCAACUCUUCUAUGAAUGAAUUGAUGUUUAAGGAGGCAUAAUAAACUUUUAAUUGAAUUUAACAUUAUUUCUAUCCUUAUACUCAUCUUAAAUUAUUAUUUUUUUAUAUUCUUAUCAAAAUAAAUAAAAACUUAACAAAAAAAAUAAAGAUUUCAAAACAAACUUUAUUAGCAACACUUAUUUACAUCAUUCUUUAAAAAAAUAUUCAAAAACAAAUUUUUUUACAAUUAAAAAAAUGUGAUUUAAAAUUUAUAAAGAACAAAAUUUUUAGAAAAAUAUGGUAGUUGUUUGAAAUAAAAUAAAAGGGAAAUCAAAAUUCUUAGUAAAUGAAUAGUCAAAAAAACUGUAACAGAUAUGCAAAUGAGAAAAAAAAUAAUCAAUGUCAAGAAUGAGAAACAAUUUUUUCUUUUUUCUUUUCUUAUUUUAUGCAUUCAUUACCAUUUUUAAAUUAAUAAAUAAAGUUUUUCUCACAAAAUUUUAAAAUGGCAUGUAUGCUUCAAAAUUUAUAUAUUGUUAUUAGAUUUUUAUAAAUUUCAUUUAUAUCCUCAAAAUUAGAAUCAUUAAACUCACAUUUUAAAAUAAGAUAUCAAAUAGUUAUUUUUUCAUCCUUUAGCAAUAUCAAACGUUUUUUGUACUUUAAUAAAAAAAAAAAAAGCUAUUUUUUCUAAUUAAUGACUAUUUUGCAUAAUAUUUGUAUAAAUUAUUUAAUAUAUAAAUAUUACUUAUUUAAUAGUUUUUUUUUAAUUUCUUAUAGAAAGAGUAGUGCAUACAUAAUUCAAACAAAAGGUAAUUUUAUAUUGCAAAAAAGUUUGUGGAAAAAGGAAAUUUGAACAAGGAUUGAAAUUUAUAGAACCAUAUUGGACACCUAGUUCUAGGUUUGUCCCUUUCCAACAAUCAUGACUUGGUAGUAGCCUAAUCUCAAAUCUAACUUUGUCAGGCCCUUCCUUUACUAAGUCGAUCAAACAAGUUGUUAACAAACAGAAUAAGAUAUUUUUUCUUUUCACCUUGUUGAGUCUUCGAUAAUCUAUACACAUUCAGAGGGAUCCAUUAUGUUUCUUUUAGAAUAAUAUUGAUGUGGCAUAUGAAGCUUUAGUUGGUUGGAUGUAUCCCAUGUUAUGCAACUUCUUAAGUUGUUUCCUUUGUUCUUCUAAAUUAGGUAGUAUCAUCCUAUGGGACCUCCAUGGCAAGGGGCUUAGCUCCUGGCUCUAAGUCAAUCUUGUGCUCCCCUUCCCUUAUUUGUGUGAGUUUCUUAUGUAAUUUUAAUGACAUCUAAGGAUGGCAAAGUUUGAUACAAUUUUUCAACCAAACUUGAAGAAGCGUUAUUAGUGGGUUUGGAAAGUUCUAAUCUAUUUUACUUUUUAAAACAAAGUAAAAUAGAGAACAAUUUUUAAAGAACAAUUAGGAGUUGUUUUUACCAAUUUUUAAAAAACAAAAAAUAUAUAAACUCAUUUGACUAUAUUCUUUUAAACUUGUUUUUAAAUUAAAGAAUAAAAAAUAAUUUUUUAAAAUAAGUUUCAAAAAAUAUGACCAAGUCGGGGUUUAUAAUAUUAAAGAGGAAAAAAGUUAAUUUAAGAUUUUGCAUGCAGGUAAACAUCAGGCUGUAAAACUGGUUUACUAAGACACUCAUUUUAUUUAUAUAUUCUUCUAUGUGCAUGCAUUGACCAUGUGGUUAAGAUGUGUUGCACCGAAAUCUAAUGAUUAGCUGUAAAACGUUAAUUAAUCCGAGCAUACAUUUUUCUUUAUUUGUUUUGGUUUCUUUACAAGAAUGCUUCUUUAUGUAUUCUUGUUGAACCUAUAAAAUAUCAUCCAUAGACAUUCUUUUUGAAUAAUUAAGAACCGAGAUUUCUAAUUGGUUGGUUAUUAUUUUUAUCUGUAAGGAAUCGAAAUUUAGCUCAUCAUUUAUCGUAUGAAUAUCAUAUAGAUUUGAAAAGAAUUUCACACUUAGAAAUGUACCUCUCAGAACAUUUGAAGUUAAGAUGUUUUUGUCUUCUUCAAUUUGAUUGCUCAUUACGACUUUGAGAUUCAAAUUCCUUUUGAUGUAAAAAACAAACUUAAAUAAAUAAAAAGAAUUAAAAGAUAAGCAGAGCAAAAAAUUAAAUAGUGUGAGUUGGAAUGAAUAAAGUUUUAAUCAAAAUUGGAAAUUAAGGUGAAACAUCCUAAAUUAUAUACAAAAGCUCAUAUAAUAUUACACCAUAAUUUCUCUAAAUUAAUCUUAACCUUUUAGUGCAGUGUGUACAGUCAUUGCUUGUUUGUGGAUUAGAAUUAGUAUCUUCUGCUGCUGAUCUGGUAUCACAACUUCUCUGCUCAUCAUUGUACUCUAUCAUUGUCUGAUGGUCGCGCCUGGUGGCUUCUGUGUUGUCACAGCUUCUCCGAGCAUCACUACUGGUAUCUUCUGGGAUGUUUCUGUUUAUAACAUCAGGUGUAUAUAUAAGAUGGAACCCACACUCUUUCACUUCGACUGGUGUACCGUCCAAGCUAUGAAAUGAAGCCUUCAAACGUCUCCAUUCGUUCGACCAAUACUGGUUGCCAAUAACAACCUUGGGAUAAUAAGUCACACACAUUUGACUUGAUUCACCGCAAAUUCGGCAGCAAUAAGACCGGACAUCAUCCACGUGACAGCAUUCAGAUUGAUCACCACAGAUAUUGAGUUCGCAAUUCAACCAACCACAAGCCAUAGGAAUAAAAACAGAGUAUAAAGCAAAUCCUAAGAAGCCAUCUUUUCUGUACAAAUCCGUAGAAAGCUCUAUUGUUAUUUGAGAUCCUUUUUUUGGCUGGCUUAUCCACUCUGGAAUUCCAUCAUUUCCCGAAAUAACAACUCUGAUUGCCUUGUUCCAAUAGGAGCCGCAUUCAAAUUCCUGCACAGAAGUACAGUGUUAAUACUCUGUUCAUAAGGAAAAAGGGCUGAAUGUUAUGAAAAUCAUACCUCAAUCAUUGAUUUGAAGCAUUUGAACAGAGAAAAACCAAGUUGACUUGAUGGACUUGAUAAAGUUUCCAAGCAUGUGCAACUGUGGACAUCUAGAACUCGUAAACUUGGUGGAAACUCUGGAACUUGUAGAAGCCCCUGGCAGUGACUCAAUUCAAGGACUCUCAGUUUAGAAAGUUGAAUGAUGCCUGCAAGUAUGCUACUAAAACAGUCCUUGCUUAGAUUUAGACCUGAAGCGUACAAACCCUCUAAACAUUGCAAACUCCUCAGGUUCUCGGGAAAUCUCUCAAGUUUUGUACAGAAACUGACAUUUAGAAUUUUGAGAGUUUUCAAAUUACAAAAGGCCUCUGGAAGACUCACAAGGUAUUGCGAGAUUCAAAUAUUGAAGCCCUCUUAGAUAUUGAAUUGAUGCUGGUAGUUCUUCGAUAGCAGUUCCAUCUAAAUGAAGCUCUCUUAUAUUUUCCACAUCCUCGAGGAUUUCCGGAAAGCUCCUUAAUCGUGAACAGCCUGAGCAGAAGAGAGUUGUAAGGGAUUUCAACUCACAUAUGCUACUGGGAAGAAGCUCAAGGUUUUUGCAUUCUCGCAAACAUAACCUAUUAAGUUUAUGGGGACACUCAACAGUGGGUAGUUCAUUGAUGGCAUUUCACUUUAAACAAAGCUUCCAUAGGGAUUGCACAUCCUCUUGACAUUCCCGGCAAACGGUGGAUAUCAUUGCUUUACCAUGGUUCUGUUCAUGAUCAUGGGCAUAUAUAAGAUGGAUCCCACACUCUUCUACUUUCACUGCUUUACCUCUCAAGUAGCCACAAAAUGAAGCCGUCAACUGCCUCCAUUUAUUUGAGUGGUACUUCUCCUCAAUCUCAUGCUUAGGAUAAUAAAUCAUCCACAUACAAGGUACAACAUAGACGUGAAAUGAGGGAUAAAACUGGAGUUUAUCCACAAACUGAAUUUCAUGACCACGCAAAGUUAAACCAUACUCGAAGUAAGUUGCACCAUUCUCCAGUGUCUCCUCAGAUUCAUUAUCCAGUGGAUAAUAGACACAGUACAAAACAAAACCCAACAAGUCGUCAUUUUUAUACCAAUUUUGAGGAAGCUUUGCUACUACUUCAGCUCCCUUUUUGUGAUGGCUUAUCCAAUCUGGAAUUCCACAACUUUCUGAAAUAAUAAGAUUUACUCGGGCAAAAGGUUUUUCUAAAGGAUAAAUCUUGCAUUCCAAAUCCUGCAGAAAAUUUAAUUAACACUUAAAUCCCCAUGUCUCCACAAAAAAAGUUUUGGUCUAUGAAUAUCAUACCUGAAUCAAUGAUUUGAAGCAGUUGAAUAGAGAAGACCAGAGUAGACCUGAAGAAGUUUCCAGCCGUUUGCACAAAUGUAUAUCUAAGACACGCAAACUGGAUGGAAGUGCUGGAAUUUGUCGAAGCUCUUGACAGUUACCCAAGACAAGGAGUCUCAGCCUAGAAAGUUGAUUGAUCCCAGCAGGUAUGCUCCUAAAAAGAUUCCCGAAUAGAAAUAAUUCUUGCAGAGAUGAUAGCUGGCAAAUUUCAGUGGGGAUUCCUCCUUCAUCUAUACCACACACACGUAGAUCUACAACUUCCAAGGAGUACAAGCAGCAAAUAUCACUCAGGACUACUCCUUGCAUUAGCUUUGAGUAAAUAAGAUCUAACUCCUUUAAGGAGCAUAAACCUGACAAAGAAAGCAAUUGGCAACAUCUUGAAUUUAAGCCCCUAGCACGGAGACACUUCAAGCUUUGCAGCCUCCCCAGGUUUUGUGGCAAUUUGUGGAGUUUUGAACAGUAAUUCACAUUGAGAUCUUCAAGAAAGCGUAAAUUACAAAUGCUUUCUGGAAGAGUCACAAGGUUUUUGCACCUCUCAAGAUUCAAAACUUGAAGCCUAUUCAAAUGUUCGAUUGAAGAUGGUAGCUCUUUUAUGGCCGUUCCGUUCAAGUGAAGCUGCCUUAAGUUUUCCAUAUUCUCCAAGAUUUCUGGGAAGUACUGUAAUUGUGAACAGUCAGAGCAAAAGAGAGAUUUUAGGGAUUUGAACUCCCAAAUGCUUGUUGGUAGACUCUCAAGGUUUUUGCACUCUCGCAAACAUAAGGUAUCAAAUUCAGAGGCACACUCAAUGGGUGGUAGGCUGAUUGUCUGACCCUUUAAACAAAGCUUUCGGUGUUCCACAUUCCUCUGACAUUCAGCGCAGCUAGCAUCCACAUCAUCAGUCUGUACUAUUGGAUCUUGGGCGUAUAUAGGUUCAAGCCCACACUUGAGCACCUUAAAAUGAUUGCGACAGCCCAUAAAUAUAGCCCCAAGAAACAUGGAUGGAUUGGUGUGACAGCUCUCCAGAAUAGCAGCCUUGGGAUAGAAUAUCACCCACAUUUGUUCUGAUCCACCUCCAUCAUGGUAGCAUUUACAAGUAGUGCGAAAACUGAGACGUUGCGCACACAGGGUAGAAAAUCCAUAUCUAUCAUGUAAUGACAAUUUACAUUCUAACCCAGUGGAGAUUGAAGAUUCAGCUUCAAGUAAAUCGUCAUAUUCAUUUAGGGCUUCGUCACCAGAUUCAUUCUCCGAUGUAUGUGCAAAAUCAUUUUCUGGUAUGUCCUCACAUUCAUCGUGUGGAGCAUAAACACAGCAUAUAGCAAUUCCCAAGAAGUCAUUAUUUUCGUAACAAUUCUGAGGAAGGUCCAUUGUGAUAUGAUUUCCCUCUCUCUGAUUCCUUAUCCACUUGGGAAUUCCACAGCUUCCCGGAACAACAAUACAGACUCCAUUGCCAAUGAAGUCAGAAUCACGGAGAAAUACUUCAUUUGAACUGCUCUUGUAUUUCAAAUCCUGUACAAAAGGACAAUGUAAAUCCUGUGGGUCUGUGCCAUUAUGUGAGUUUUUAUGAGAGAGUUUGUUAUCAGUUUUUGAUAAAUUGAUUCCCAGUUUUAACUUUCUUUGAUCUAUGCUCCUGAAUCUACUUAAUAUCCCUUUUAGAUGACGGAUUAUCAAUCAACAUGAAAGUGAGUGACAAGAUUAAGUGUGAAAACUGGAAGUGAGGGGAAACUGAAACUGAAAGUGAGUAGAAUAACCAGAUCUCUUCUUCACUUGCAGUAGCUUCUUCUCCAUUCAGAUACAGAGAUCUUAGAAUUGUAGCUUCAACUUAACUCUCAGAAUCUUAAAGACAAAGUUCGCUCAAGUUUCAAAAACUCACACAAAAAUUUCUCCUCAUGUUUCUCUUAAUCCUAUGAGGCGAGAGACAUGUAGCACACACUUAUUGGCUUUUUUACAUGCAAGUUUCAAGGUGGAGCGUCUAAUGAACUAAAACAUUCCCUCAAAUCCCAGUGGAAAUUCACACUAGAAAUUGCAGAAUUUGCUAAGGAAAAGUUUAAUUCAUUUAAUCCAUGAAUAAAAAAGUAUGUGAGAGCAUUUUAACAUCCUAAUACUUAUUAUAUUAAACUAUAAUUCUCAUUAUUUAAACUCAUGAUCCUUCACUUCAUCACCAAAUUUUGAAGACACUUUUGGCAUCUCUUCCAUGAAUUAAUUGAUGUUUAAGAAGGUAUAAUAAACUUUUAAUUGAAUUUAACAUUAUUUCUAUCCUAAUACUCAUCUUAAACUCUGUUUUUUUUUUUUUUAUACUCUUAUCAAAACAAAUAAAAACUUAACAAAAAAAUAAAGAUUUCAAUUACUCCGUGUUCAAAAGGGAAAAUGGCUAAAUGUCAUGAAAAUCAUACCUCAAUAGUUGAUUUAAAGCAUUUGAACAGAGAAACACCAAGUAGACAUGAUGGACUUGAUAAAACUUCCAAGCAUGUGCAACUGUGGACAUCUAGAACUCGUAAACUUGGUGGAAGCUCUGGAACUUGUAGAAGCCCCUGGCAGUGACUCAAUUCAAGGACUCUCAGUUUAGAAAGUUGAAUGAUGCCUGCAAGUAUGCUACUAAAACAGUCCUUGCUUAGAUUUAGACCUGAAGCGUACAAACCCUCUAAACAUUGCAAACUCCUCAGGUUCUCGGGAAAUCUCUCAAGUUUUGUACAGAAACUGACAUUUAGAAUUUUGAGCGUUUUCAACUUACAAAUGGCCUCUGGAAGACUCACAAGGUUGCUGCAAUCUGCAAGAUUCAAAUGUUGAAGCCCUCUUAGAUAUUGAAUUGAUGCUGGUAGUUCUUCUAUAGCAGUUCCAUCUAAAUGAAGCUCUCUUAUAUUUUCCACAUCCUCGAGGAUUUCCGGAAAGCUCCUUAAUCGUGAACAGCCUGAGCAGAAGAGAGUUGUAAGGGAUUUCAACUCACAUAUGCUACUGGGAAGAAGCUCAAGGUUUUUGCAUUCUCGCAAACAUAACCUAUUAAGUUUAUGGGGACACUCAAUAGUGGGUAGUUCAUUGAUGGCAUUUCCCUUUAAACAAAGCUUCCAUAGGGAUUGCACAUCCUCUUGACAUUCCCGGCAAACGGUGGAUAUCAUUGCUUUACCAUGGUUCUGUUCAUGAUCAUGGGCAUAUAUAAGAUGGAUCCCACACUCUUCUACUUUCACUGCUUUACCUCUCAAGUAGCCACAAAAUGAAGCCGUCAACUGCCUCCAUUUAUUUGAGUGGUACUUCUCCCCAAUCUCAUACUUAGGAUAAUAAAUCAUCCACAUAUAAGGUACAACAUUGCCGUAAAAUGAGGGAUAAAACUGGAGUUUAUCCACAAACUGAAUUUCAUGACCACGCAAAGUCAAACCAUACUCGAAGUAAGUUGCAUCAUUCUCCAGUGUCUCCUCAGAUUCAUUAUCAAGUGGAUAAUAGACAGAGUACAAAACAAAACCCAACAAGUCGUCAUUUUUAUACCAAUUUUGAGGAAGCUUUGCUACUACUUCAGCUCCCUUUUUGUGAUGGCUUAUCCAAUUUGGAAUUCCACAACUUUCUGAAAUAAUAAGAUUUACUCGGGCAAAAGGUUUUUCUAAAGGAUAAAUCUUGCAUUCCAAAUCCUGCAGAAAAUUUAAUUAACACGUAAAUCCCCAUGUCUCCACAAAAAAAGUUUUGGUCUAUGAAUAUCAUACCUGAAUCAAUGAUUUGAAGCAGUUGAAUAGAGAAGACCAGAGUAGACCUGAAGAAGUUUCCAGCCGUUUGCACGAUUGUACAUCUAAGACACGCAAACUGGAUGGAAGCACUGGAAUUUGUCGAAGCUCUUGACAGUUACUCAAGACAAGGAGUCUCAGCCUAGAAAGUUGAUUGAUCCCAGCAGGUAUGCUCCUAAAAAGAUUCCCGAUUAGAAGUAAUUCUUGCAGAGAUGAUAGCUGGCAAAUUUCAGUGGGGAUUCCUCCUUCAUCUAUACCGCAGAAAGAUAGAUCUAACACUUCCACGGAGUACAAGCAGCAAAUAUCACUCAGGACUACUCCUUGCAUUAGCUUUGAGUAAAUAAGAUCCAACUCCUUUAAGGAGCAUAAACCUGACAAAGAAAGCAAUUGGCAACAUCUUGAAUUUAAGCCCCUAGCACGGAGACGCUUCAAGCUUUGCAGCCUCCCCAGGUUUUGUGGCAAUUUGUGGAGUUUUGAACAGAAAUUGACAUUGAGAUCCUCAAGAAAGCGUAAAUUACAAAUGCUUUCUGGAAGAGUCACAAGGUUUUUGCACCUCCCCAGAUUCAAAACUUGAAGCCUAUUCAAACGUUCGAUUGAAGAUGGUAGCUCUUUUAUAGCCGUUCCAUUCAAGUGAAGCUGCCUUAAGUUUUCCAUAGUCUCCAAGAUUUCUGGGAAGUACUGUAAUUGUGAACAGUCAGAGCAAAAGAGAGAUUUUAGGGAUUUGAACUCCCAAAUGAUUGUUGGUAGACUCUCAAGGUUUUUGCACUCUCGCAAACAUAAGGUAUCAAAUUCAGAGGCACGCUCAAUGGGUGGUAGGCUGAUUGUCUGACACUUUAAACAAAGCUUUCGGUGUUCCACAUUCCUCUGACAUUCAGCGCAGCUAGCUUCCACAUCCUCAGUCUGUACUAUUGGAUCUUGGGCGUAUAUAGGUUCAAGCCCACACUUGAGCACCUUAAAAUGAUUGCGACAGCCCAUAAAUAUAGCCCCAAGAAAAAUGGAUGGAUUGGUGUGACAGCUCUCCAGAAUAGCAGCCUUGGGAUAGAAUAUCACCCACAUUUGUUCUGAUCCACCUCCAUCAUGGUAGCAUUUACAAGUAGUGCGAAAACUCAGAUGUUGCACACACAGUGUAGAAAAUCCAUAUCUAUCAUGCAAUGACAAUUGACAUUCUAACUCAGUGGAGAUUGAAGAUUCAGCUUCAAGAAAAUCGUCAUAUUCAUUUAGGGCUUCAUCAUCAGAUUCAUUCUCCGAUUUAUGUGCAAAAUCAUUUUCUGGUAUGUCCUCACAUUCAUCAAGUGGAGCAUAAACACAGCAUAUAGCAAUUCCCAAGAAGUCAUUAUUUUCGUAACAAUUCCGAGGAAGGUCCAUUGUGAUCCUAUUUUCCUUUCUCUGAUUCCUUAUCCAGUUGGGAAUUCCACAGCUUCCCGGAACAACAAUACAGAUUCCAUGGCCAAUGAAGUAAGAAUCAGAGAGAAAUACUACGUUUGAACUGCUCUUGUAUUUCAAAUCCUGUACAAAAGGACAAUGUAAAUCCUGUGGGUCUGUGGCAUUAUGUGAGUUUUUAUGAGAUAGUUUGUUGUCAGUUUUUGAUAAAUUGAUUCCCAGUUUUAACUUUCUUUGAUCUAUGCUCCUGAAUCUACUUAAUAUCCCUUUUAGAUGACGGAUUAUCAAUCAACGUGAAAGUGAGUGACAAGAUUAAGUGUGAAAACUGGAAGUGAGGGGAAACUGAAACUGAAAGUGAGUAGAAUAACCAGAUCUCGUCUUCACUUGCAGUAGCUUCUUCUCCAUACAGAUUCAGAGAUCUUAAAAUUGUAGAUUCAACUUAACUCUCAGAAUCUUAAAGACAAAGUUCGCUCAAGUUUCAAAAACUCACAGAAAAAUUUCUCCUCAUGUUUCUCUUAAUCCUAUAAGGCGAGAGACAUGUAGCACAAACUUAUUGGCUUUUUUCCAUGCAAGUUUCAAGGUGGAGCGUCUAAUGAUAUAAAACAUUCCCUCAAAUCCCAGUGGAAAUUCACACUUGAAAUUGCAGAAUUUGCUAAGGGAAACUUUAAUUCAUUUCAUCCAUGAAUAAAAAAGUAUGUGAAGGCAUUUUAACUUCCUAAUAAUUGUUAUGUUAAACUAUAAUUCUCAUUAUUUAAACUCAUGAUCCUUCACUUCAUCACCACAUUUUGAAGAGACUUUUGUCAUCUCUUCCAUGAAUUAAUUGAUGUUUAAGGAGGUAUAAUAAACUUUUAAUUGAAUUUAACAUUAUUUAUAUCGUUAUACUCAUCUUAAACUAUUAUUUUUUUUAUACUCUUAUCAAAAUAAAUUAAAACUUAACAAAAAAAAAAUUAAAGAUUUCAAAACAAACUUUAUAAAUUUAUCAACACUUAUUUACAUCAUUCUUUAAAGAAAUAAAUUUAUAAUUAAAAAAAAAAGAAGUGAUUUAAGAAUUAUAAAGAAGAAAAUUUUAAGAAAAAAUGUACUAGUUAUUUGAAAUAAAAUAUAAGGGAAAUCAAAAUUCUUAGUAAAUGAAUCCUCAAAAAAUUGUAACAGCUAUGCAAAUGAGAAAAAAAAUUAAAAGUAAAAAAAAAUUAUCAAUGUCAAGAAUGAGAAACAAUUUUUUUCUUUUUCUUUUCGUAAGUUUUUUUAUUCUUAUUUAAUGUAUUCAUUACAAUUUUUAAAUUAAUAAAUAAAGUUUUUAUCACAAAAUUUUAAAAUGCCAUGUAUGCUUCAAAAUUUAUAUAUUGUUAUUAGAUUUUUAUAAAUUUCAUUUAUAUCUUCAAAAUUACAAUUAUUAAACUCACAUUUUAAAAUAAGAUAUCAUAUAGUUAUUUUUUCAUCCUUUAGCAAUAUAAAACGUUUUCGUACUUUAAUAAAAAAAACUUUUUUUUUUCUAAAUAAUGACUAUUUUGUAUAAUAUUAGUAUAAACUAUUUAACAUAUAAGUACUACUCAUUCAAUAGUUUAUUUUUUUAAUUUAUUAGAGAAAGAGUGGUGCAUAUAUAAUUCAAAUAAAAGGUAAUUUCAUAUUGCAAAAAAGUUUGUGGAAAAAGGAAAUUUGAACAAGCAUUGAAAUUUAUAGGAACAAUAUUGGAAACCUAGUUUUAGGUUUGUCCCAUACCAACAAUCAUGACUUGGUAGUAGCCUAAUCUCAUAUCUAACUUUGUCAAGCCCUUCCUUUACUAAGUUGAUCAAACAAGUUGUUAAAAAGCAUAAUACAAUAUUUUUCACUUUCACCUUGUUGAGUCUUCGAUAAUCUAUACACAUUCAAAGGGAUCCAUUAUGUUUCUUUUAGAAUAAUAUUGGUGUGGCAUACGAAGCUUUAGUUUGUUGGAUGUAUCCCAUGUUAAGCAACUCCUUAAGUUGUUUCCUUAGUUCUUCUAAAUUACGUAGUGCCAUCCUAUUGGACCUCCAUGGCAAAGGGCUUAGCUCCUGGCUCUAAAUCAAUCUUGUGCUCCCCUUCCCUUAUUUGUGUGAAUUUCUUAUGUAAAUUUAAUGGCAUCUAAGGAUGACAAAGUUUGAUACAAUUUGUACGUCAACCAGACUUGAACCCGAGCAUUUUUAGUGAGUUUGUGUUUCCAUACCGUAAGUUGGAUUCAUGAAAGUCUCAGACUUGAAUCAAUUGAAUUAAAAAUAAAUAUUCAUGUUGUUAUUAAUUUAGUUUCUUUUACUUAGUUUUACUAAAUAAAAUUUUAUUCACAUAUUGUUUUUCACUUUAGGAUUUAAAUAAAAGUGAUUCAUUUAUCCUAGUAUUGACAAAUUCCAUAGCCAGACCUAGAGGAUGAUACUCGGAGUACUAUAAAAGUUGUAGUGACUUUUUCUCUGAUUUUUCUUAAUCAAAGUUACUACAUAAAAAGACUUAGUAUUUGAACAAUAGAGAAGAAUGGUCAAAAUUCAAGUAAAAUGGAAUGAUUAAUAUUAAUGAAUUUUUACCAUAAUAAAGAAUGAUACUUGAUUCUAGACUACUUAGGUAUGGAUUAAAAGAUUAACAUUAGAUAGAAUAACUCACGUAUAUUAAAGCAUUUUGCUAAGUUCUUUUUAUCCUUGAUCUUUUAUGAGAUUGAGCCAAUAAGGUUACACUUAAAAAUUUAAUGUGUUUGAAACACUCCUCUAAAAUCAAUCAUUCAAAUAUUAGAAAACAAGUAAAAUAUUUUUCAUAUGCUGAUUAAUAUACCCAAGGUAGUUCUUGAAUUAUCCUAACACAAAUAUCUUGCGAGUCUUAAUUUUGUCAAAUCAAUAUAUAUCUUUAGAUUUCUAAAGAAACUACUAUACUCGCGCACAUUCAUCCAUGAGUUAGGUAGAUUUUAUCUCUUGUAAGAGUUCAAAGAUACUGCAAACAAAAUUCACUGUACAAUUAAUAUCUCUCAAUGGUAUGUUAUUCAACUAAAACUAGUAGUGUCUUAUGUUAAUGGGCUUAGUUUUAUAAUGUAAAACUAGAUCUUUAAUACAUUAAUAGCUCUCAUGUUAUCACAAGGCAUAAUUAUGAUUUAUCACUCUCACCAUAAUCCUUUUAACAUACGUUUUAUCGAAAGUAAUUGCUUGGUUUGUUAGCUUCUUAUUAAGCUAGGCAACUGAGCAAUUAAAAUAUAGAAACAUCCCCUAUAAGUGUUCUUCCGUUCUUUAGACCUUCCAUCCCUAUUCAACAUUUGUAUGAAAAAUGUUGUCUACAAAUAUAUUGGUGUAAUACCACAAUCCAAGUUUAUAAGUACCAACCACAAAUAUAAUGAUUCUAUUAACAACUCCAAGGUGUGAUUUCUUAGGAAGAUUCUUAUCACGCAUAAACUCCAGUUCUAUAGGUUUAUCCAGCCUAAAUGUCAUUACAUAAAGAAGGCUUCCAACCAUUGAUCUACAGGUGGAUAGAUUUACAAACUUACCACUCCCAUCUCUUGUAAAAAUUUUCCUACAACUUUUCUAUUGUCGUGACCUAGCUAAGUUCAGCCAUUUUAAUUUAGCUUAUAGAGAGGGCCCCAUCGCUAACAUUUCCAAUCACAUUGUUGAUAGGAUGAUCACUAAUUUCUCUAAUUUUGCUCCAUGUGGAUGUUUGCUUGAUUUUCAUUGAGUUCAUUCACAUUCUCAAUCAUUCAACUCUUUUUUCUCACCUAAAUCUAGAAUGUUUGAUGAAAUAUCCUUAAGAAAAACACAUUAUUUUCUUUACUUCCUUAGUCAUCUAUCAAUACAUUGAUCGAUUCAAUUACAACUCUUUAAUUAUUAAAGAAGAUCUUAAAGGCUUUAAGCCAAGUUGAGUAUCUAACAAAAAUUCUUUCAACAUGCUUUGAUUCAAACAUCCCUAAUUUUUUAGAAUUGUUUGGAUAAGACAUUGUUCCUAAAAACUAUAUUUUACAUUAAGCUUCCUACUUGUCUAAACAUCAUAGCAAGUCCUUUUGGUUCUAACGUAUAGGUGGACUCAAUUAGAAGUACAAGAUGUUGUGUUUAUGGGUUAACCUGACAAGUUGUUAGAGCCUUUGGAUUAAUCCAUUCUAAACCUAGGAUCGUUGGGGUGUUUGCAAAAACUAUCUUAAGGAUCUUUAGAUCUACCCAACAAAAGCAUAUACAUGAAAAAAAUACACCUGCAAACUUUAUGUUUCCAAAAUGAUUUCAGUCUAUGAAGAAGCUAGUGCAAAUCUCAAAAACCAAGAGAUCUUUUGCUCAAUGGCUCUCUUUCCUGGAUCUAGGCACUUGUAGAUGGUGAAAUCCUCAUAGAAGGGUGGAUGCUAAGGUUCCUCUCUCUAGAUUCUAAAGAAAUGGAAGAAGAAUAAAAAAGUCCUAACCCUUAAAUGGGUUUAUAUAGGAUUCCCUAUGGGCUUAAGUGACUUGAGUCUAUCUUAGGCUUAGGGGUCGCUAAAAAAAGCCCACUUGGAUCUUAGUUAAAUAAUUAGCCCUAUUAAGGUCCAAUUAAUUAAUUAUCCUUUUCCAAAAACAUCAUUCAUAAGAUCUAAAACAACUUUGCAUUUUUACCAAAACACCCUUAUGCACAUGUAUGAAUAAAUAACCUAUACAUCCCUUAAGUAAUGUGUCACAUAGAAGUAUGAACUCAAGUAGGGACCAUUAGGAGUGGUAGGAAAAUAGUGGCUCCUGUAUAAUUUAAUUCUAAAGUUGACUUAACAUCCUUCUACAAAAAAUCAAUUGCACUCUAAUAUCCUAUGAUAUUACAUUAAUAUAAAAUACAUGGGUUUGUGACCUACUAACGACUAAAAGCUAGCUCCUCAUGAAUUGGCGUCCAUAAUAUAACAAGGUGAACACUUUCAAUCUUUUAAGAUUAACUUUACAAUCCUUAUGUUAUAGAUCAUCCCAUUAAGUGAUAAAUUGACAUACUAUAACCCACAACGAACAUAUGGUAACUUCUACUAAACGAAUUACUGCAACCAUAGAUUUUGUCAUGACUACCUCAAUAGCUAAUGUCAUAAUUCAUUGUAAAUUUUGUCUAAUGUGCAAUAAUAUAUACUAAUGCACUCACCUUAGAAACCUCAUCCGAAUGACUAAGAUAAGUCAACUCGCUAAUUAGAAGGUAGUGCACUAUAAUCUCAAAUGGAUUGCCUAAAUUCAUCAACCAACUAUGAACAAAUCAUAAAUCUUGCAAGGAACCCAUGACUUGAAUCUUUCACAUAACUGCUAAUGUACUUAAGUUAUGUAUAAUACCACUACUGCAUGCAUGAAUACUCAAAUCAAUAUCAAUGUGAACAUGGAUAAAUUAGUGGAAACUCAAGCCUAACGGUGUUACAUCAUCUCUUGCUUGCAAGGGCUUUACCUUAACACCAAUAAUCAGGUAGGUUCUUGAAAUCCAAUAUAAUAUGUGCUAUUUCUUGGAGCACUUUAUUUUUCCUUUCAAUAACUUCAUUUUCUAUGGAGUUUUAGAUGUUGAAAGCUCUUCUUUAAUUUCCUUCUCACAAAAACUCUAGAAGUUAGAAUUACAAACUCAUUUCCUCUAUUAUUUCUUAUUUUUCUUACUUAAAAUUCAUUUUUAUUCAUCAUUUGAAAGCAUAACACUUUGAAUUUUAGGAUGUACUUCUUUCUUUCUAAGCAUUGCACUCUCAUAGGACCUAUGAUGAAAAUAUCGUUAAUCAUGGAUAUAUCGAUACUUCGAUUUUACGGAUAUAUCGGAGAUAUAUCGACGGAUAUUUUGGAAAAAAAUAUCGAUAAGUCUAAAACUGAUCAGAAUUUGUAAAAAUAUAAGAAAAACUUCAUAAAAAUGUAAUGAGAAGUAUAAUGAUAUUUUUAAACUGUUUUAUUAAAUAAUUUGAUAUAUGUAUAAUAUGAUUUAUCAUAUUUGAUAAUAAUAUCGUAUGCAUCGACAAAAAUAUGAAUUUUAUAAGUGUACAUUUAUUAUUAAAUUACAUUUAAUAUUAUGAUAUUUGAUUAUAAUAUGUAUAAUUUUAAAAUAUAUAUUAAUAUUAAAAUUAUGAUACAUUUAAUUCAAUUGUAUUAAACAAUAUAAAAUAAAUUAUAAUAUAUGUACAAUUUUUUAAUAUUUAAUUAAUUAUUAAUGAUAUUAAAAGCACUAUGAAGAAAAUUUUAUAAUUUUAAUAUUUUUGGUAAUCAAUUAAAAGAAAAUUUUGCAUUUAAUUAUAAAAUAAUUAUAAUUAAUUUGCUCUUUAAAAUAUUUUUUUUAAUAUUUUCCUUAUAUAAUAAGUUUAACUAUAUAUAUGUUUAGUACAUAUCAUAUAAUAAGGGUAAGUUAGCUUGGAUGGCAAGUGGGUUGAACCUCAAACCUUUUGGUUUGGGGUUCGAAUCCCCUCAACUUCAAAAUGAAGGGUUAUCGCUGAUUUUUUUGGAUUUCUCUCGAAAUUUCGUCAGAUCGAUAUUUCUCCAUGAAAUAUCGUAUCGAUACCCUCCGAUACAUGAUACAUUGGCGAUAUAUUGCCAACAUAUCGCAAUAUUUUCUUCCUUGCAUAGGACCCAUUAAAUCCAUAUGUAACAUCUCUAAGAGCCUAGAAAAAGAGAACAUCAUUUUUCUAUCACUCAUGUGAAUUCAUUGUCCUAGGUAGGACAAAUAGGAUUUUUAGGCUUUCCUAAAUGGGAAUUGCUUUAAUUAGUUCUUUAUUUGUAAUCCUAGACAAAUCAUUAGAGUUUAAAUGCGCUAUCAUACAAUGCUACAUGUCUUUGGAUGUAGAUUUCACAUUUUACAACUAUGUGCACUAUAGAUGAUGAGGAAAAAGUAGAGAGGUGUACAAAAGCAUAACAAAAAUUAUCAAAAAUUCUAUUUCUUACCAACACACAUCCUUGAAUAGACACUGAUUUUGAGUAAAAUGAACAAAGCACAUACAAUCACAAAUUUAACUUGCGUUAAUUAAGUUUGCUUUCAAUCACUCAAUAUAUAGUAACUCCUCGAGUAUAGGUAAAUUUGGACCUUCUAUGGUACAUUUCGCUUUCAAGUUGGUUAUACAUAAUGCAACCAUCCCCAAAUACAACCAAGCUUCCCUUUAUAGGUUCAAACAUGGAGAAAGACUUUAAGUUCAUUGUUGCUUUUACCAUUCCCAAAUACAACCAAACUCCUAUGAGUUCAAAAUUCAAGAAAGAUCUAAGUUCUCUCUCAUACAACUAGAGUAGCCACUCUCAAAAUCCAAAACGUGUUUUUCUCUAGCUCUUAGGCCCUAUGAUCAACUAAGGCUUUUAGGUUCUCCGUAACCCAGAUUUUCUUUCCAAUGGGCGAUUUAAAACCUAUUCAAGAAUUGUUUUUAAAAUUAAUUUUUCAGUUCUUAAAAAUAGAAACCUAUUUUCUAGACUAAAACCAUGUUUGGCAACUUUUUGACAUAUUAUAGUUUGUUGAGAAUUUGUUCUGAAAAUAAGGUUUCUCCUAAUAACAUAUUUUAAUUGCUUUCAAUUGUUUUCAUUUAUUUUAUAGGGUUGUUUUAAGAAAAUAAUAAUAAAAAUAUAAAGAAUGAUGAAACAUAAACUAAAAACAAAAGUUAUUUUUAAGAAAUAUUUGAAAAUACAAAAAAUAUAUUAAAAAUGUUCUAAGUUUUUAAAUAGGCUUUUAUUUUAGAAGACAUUAGACCAACUAUUUUUGAAAACUUUUUUCAAUAACGGUUUUUUGAAGAAUUAUUUUCAAAAAAAUUCCUAAACAAACCCCUAACCUCUGAGGAUCUAAAACUUUGCACUAAGUUUGGCUUACAUUCAACUUCUUUUAUGGACAAAGCAAUGGAGCUAGAACAGAUUUCUUUCAAUUUAGUCAAUUCUUAUUUACGUGGCUCAUAAUCAGAUUGUAAGACAUUCAAUUUUUUUAACAAGGCACCAUGCUCAUUUUCAAGGUAAGAGAUUUUUUUCAAGCAAGGAAAUCUUCUCUCAUACUUCUUUUAUUCUCAUCCAACUUUCACAAUUUUCAUCUUAAGGCACUGAUCAUACAAGGCUUCCUAGGCAAUCUCAAAUUACAACUUUUCUUCCAAAUAUGUUGUAUCAUGAGAUGAACCUUCAAAAUUUUCAGAUUCAAGAUCAGUUUCAAAUUUAACAUUUUUCUUUUCAUUGCGAAGUGAUAUAGAAGGUUACAAGUAUAUCAACAAUUUCGUCAAGCAUAUCGUGCUCUAAAAGACACAAAUAUCAUCAACAUCAUGUGAUAAUAAUCAUAAUUAUGUUUAUGCAUGUUUCUAGCAAAUUAAUGCAAUGAAAUUUGUACACUCUUCAUCAAAAUCAUACCAAAUUACUUCUAUGACCUUAUCCUUCUGACAUUCAAGUAAGUGACCUUUCUCCACACAGUAGAAACCUUGAAUCAACUAGAUCUUUUUUGUGUUUUUUUUUUCUUUUUAUCACAUUUCUUUUCCCCUGUUUAUGGUCUCAAAUAGGUUAUCCUCUGUUUCUUGAAGCUUUUUGAACUUUUUGAAACUUUAUCAAGCCUAUAAAUUUCAAAUAUUGGUCAUUUUUUAUUCCUAUUCUGAUUUAAAUGCAUGUUCAUCUACUUUUAGUGCAAUAUUAAUGUUUCUUCCUCUUAGGAACAAUUGGGGUCAUCUCUAAUUGAAGGGAGCCAACUAUCUCAUCUAGCUUAAUUGAAUCAGCAGUGUUCCAUUCCUCUAUUGUUAUGACCUUAGGUCUAAAACGAACAGAGAAGAUCUUAACAGUUUUCAGGUAACCUUGGAAUCAAGUAAAGGCCUACAUAGAUUGAAAGUUAGCAUUCACAAUGUCCAUGAUUUCAAUAAUAUAUUCAAAAAAUAUUUUUGUUGUGAUCAUUUGAAAUUCAUUCCUUCACCUAUCCUACCUUUACAUAGUUUUACCUACCCUAGUGGAUAUAUAUCCUAUCUCUAUUUAGCACCAUAUGAGGAUAUCAACCAAAUUGAACAGAACUCCAAUCUCUGUUAGACUUCAUUUUAAGGAAGUAUAUCAGUUUUACCUUGGAAUGAGCAUAAUUAUCUCCUUUGAAGUAUGGAGGUCCACCUAUAGAGGUUCCUUCUCGGAGAAUUUCCAUCUUAAGAGAAUAUAGUUUAUCCGUAUUGAGAACAUGAGCAAACAUGUUUUGAUACAAUUUAUGAGUUUUUAAGAGAGUAUGCUAUGAACUUGAGAUCUCUUUUAGAUGAUCAAAUAACAUAUGCACAUGAAUGUCAUUGAGUGAUUAGCACAAGGUCACAAACCUCCCUAAUGAAAUCUCAACCAAAAAGCACACAAAUAUUGCACAAGAUAUAACAUAAAAAAAAUCUCUAAGUGGAGAAAGGAAAAAAAAAAAAAAACCAAUGGGUGCCUUUGUUGUUGCAAAUCCACUAUGAAUAUAAAUCCAGUUUUGCCUACAAUUCCCUCCACCAGUGAAAACAAAUGGUCUUAUAUGAUCAACUCCAUUUACUAUAGGGUUAUAAAGGAAACACUUGUGGGCUGGCAGGCAGUAGCUCCUCCCAACUCAUCAUAUUUCCAACCCCAUUUGCUCCAUCAAAUUCAUAAGAAGCUAACAAAACAACUAGCAUUUUAUAUCAUACAAUAUCUAUGCUAGUUAAUUUGCAUGGAAAAGACAAUUUCUACCCUAAAUAUGCCAACAUACAGGAAGACAUACAAUUUAUACAAACAUUGUACGCUAACACAAGAAAAUCAUACCUCACUUGCUGAUUUGAGGCAAUUCACCAGAGAAUGCAUAGGUGGCAAUGAGGUCCCAAUUGAGCUGUGCAUAUCUAACAGUCGCAGACUUGAAGGAAGCUCUGGAAUUUGUGAAACCUUCUUGCAGUGACUCAAGUCAAGGGCUCUAAGGUUAGAGAGCUGACUAAUACCCACAAGCAUGUCACUGAGGGUUCCUCCUUCCUCUGGAUUGCACCGACUUAGAUGUAAUACUUCCAGAGAGGAUAGAUGGAAAAUACAAUGGAAGACUCCUCCAUUUAGAUUGCAGUUUCUUAGACUUAAUUCUUUCAAUGCGUUCAAGCAGUUAUCACUCUUUAUUACUCCUGGUGUUAGAUUGCAUUGAUCUAAAUAUAGUUUCCUUAAGAGAGAUAAACCUGACAAAGAAGGCAAUUGACAACUGAGCGAAUUUAAAGAAAGAACCUCUAGACAUGGCAUUCUCUCCAGGUCCUCCGGCAAUCUGUCAAGUUUUGAACAGCCUUCAAGACUUAGAACUUCAAGAAAUCUCAAAUUACAAAUGCUGUUCGGGAGACCUUCAAGGUUUUUACAAUUAUCCAAAUACAAGUUGCGAAGACCUUCUAGAAGUUCAAUCGAUGAUGGUAGCUCUUUUAUAGCUGUAUUAUCUAAACUAAGCCUCUCUAGUUUUCCAAUACUGCGCUUGAUUUUUGGAAAACUAGUUAGUUGUGAACAGCCACUGCAAUGAAGUAUGAAAAGGUGUUUCAACUUAUGAAUGUCCCCAGGAAGAUUCUCAAGUCUUACACACCCUAUAAAAUUCGAGGAAAAAAAAAAGUUAGUUUAAUAACAACACUCUUAUAUGUGUGUGAACCUUAAGUAAAAUUAUACAACCUGAAAGAUUAAGUUCCUCCAAAUUUGGCACGUUUGAGAAAUUUGGUAGUUCAAUAAGCUGUUGUGAAUCAUUGAGAUUGAUGUACCUUAAAUUUCUAAGACACUGGAACAAAAUAGAAUUUCUAUUAAUAAAUCAAUUUUAACCAACUUUAAAAUAUUAUAAAACAAAAGCAUAAAUAAAUGAUUAUCAUACCAUGUUUCCUUUCCAAAGUCGUUUUAUGUUACUAUUGCUCAAACCGAGGAAAACAAGAUCAUUUGGAUGAAAGUUUGGUGGUAGAGAUUCUAAAGAAUAUCCAUCCCAACCGAGACAUGUCAAGUCAUCAGACGGAAAUACAAAAUCUUCAGGAAGUUGUUCUAUGCAAUUGUGGGAGAGGAUAAGCAAUCUAAGUCUAUUCAUCCUUUUGAAAGCUUUGCAUGUAAACUGUAUCUGUUCUGAUGUGUCCAUAUGAAAGAAUAUCCCUUCAAUUUUUUCAGUCCCCUAGAUAAUAAGAGUAUAAAAUUAGAAAAGCACGAUACAUGUAAAUCCUUACUAAGGUGAUAUAGAUGAAUAUAUAUAUAUAUAUAUCUUACCGUGUUUCUUUUCAAUACUCGAUAAAUAUCUGUAUGUCUCCAUAAUCUGCUCCUCUCUCCUGGCUCAUUAGGACAUUCUUCAUCAACAAUGCCCUUGCCCAUUUGGGCUAACAAAUCAUGCAUAUCUAUUGUAUUGUCCUCUAAAAUGGUUAUGAAACAUCUAUCAACGAGAACAUUUAUUCCACUUUCCGCUUCGCAUCCGGAACCAUCCAAUAUUCUUGAAACUGCUUCCACAUCACCUCCUUGAAAGAAACAUGCAAUGUCGAGAAAUAUCAUCUUUUGUGUAUAAUCCAAUCCAUCAAAACUUAUUUUAAGCACUUUUACAAUUUCCAUGUUAGGCACCUUUCCCAACUUCCGCAAUUCGCUUUUCCAAUCUGAUAGUCUCUUUCCAAAUAAUAGAGAACCCAAAACUUUAAGUGCUAAUGGAAGACCAUCAGCAUAUCGUACUACUUGAUGAGAGAGAUCUCCAUAACCUUCCUUCAGAUGAUGUUGUUUAAAGGCAUAAAGACAAAAAAGUUGAAGAGCUUCGUGAAAAUUUAAUUUCUCAACUUCAUACAUUUUCAUUUCAUGCCUAGUUAGCAAAUCUUUUUUCCUUGUAGUAAUGAUGAUUCUACUUCCUGGACCAAACCAAUUAUGCUUUCCAAUCAAGUGUUCUAAUUGUGUCAGCUCAUCUACAUCAUCCAGAAAAACAAGAACCCUUUUCGAGGAAAGCUUGUCCCUUAUUUCUUUGAUACCCUCAUGAACAUUCCUUAAAACUAUUUUCCUCGUUGUCCCUAGAAUAUCAUUAAGAAGUUGUUGUUGUAACUUAAGAAGACCACCAGAAUUUUCUGUGGAUUCUUUUCUGACAUCUGUGAGUAAGCUUACACUUUCGAAUUGAUUUGAGAUUCGGUUAUAAAGAGCAUUGAUGAUGGUGGUCUUGCCGAUACCACCAAGCCCAUAAACCCCGACCAUGCGAACAUCAUUCAACCCAAUCUCCAACAAUGAUAUUAGUCUUUCCAAACGAUAAUCCAUUCCGACAAUGUUCUCGGUAACAGCUAAAGUCUUAGGGAAGCUUCUAGGGACGUUCUCAAUAAUUUUAUCAAUAAGCUCUGUUUCAUACCUGCGAAUUGCAAAGCAUAAUGGGACAUGUGUACUGGCGCAUUAGGAUGAGUUGCAAAAAAUAAUAAAUUAUAUGAAAUAAAUUUAAUGAUGCCUAGUUUUCCAACUAUAACUUAGCAGGGCUAAAAGGAAUUUAAAUUAAAAUAAAAUAAACCACAUCUAUCAAACUACUCAUGAGUACAGUUUCAUUAUUCAAUAUAUAUGAUAGAAAUAAGAGAAGAAAAUGCAAAAUAUGAAUUGCAUUAUCAAAAGUGGAAAAAAAAACACUAAAAUAUUUUGUGUGUUAGCUUAUACUAUUCAAUCUUUUGAAAGGUUCAAAAUAAAGUUGAGUUGUCUAGAACAUUACUACCCUAUUUUGAUAAGGGAUUCCAUCAUAGGAUCAACUGCGCAUCCAAGCUUUUUAAUCUAAUAAUUUUACUACUGAUUAGAUGGUCAAGUUUAAAAUUUUAAUGAACAGAUCUUUAUUUUAUAAAUAAUAAAAAUAAAUAAAAAAUUAUAAAAGUUUAAAACUCACUUUAGCUUUAAGCGGUUAGUCAAAUAUCUCAUACUAAACAAGUUAGAUAUUUUUUAUAUCAGCAGAAAGAAAAAAGGACAGUGCUUCAAAUGACAAAUGAAGAGAAAUUACAAUUACCUGUCCUUCGCAUCAUAUCCGGCUAGAUUGCUUGCUUGCCUCAGGGCAAUCUUCCAUUUCCUUAUCUUUUCCUUUCUCUCCUCAUCUGCAUUCUUCUCAUGAUGGGUAAAUGCUUCUCCGUAAAUCUCAGUUUGGUUCCGCAGUUCAGACGGAUCUACAUGAUAGAAAAUUGGGAUAACUACCAUUUGUUCCCUUUCCUCUUUGCAUUUCAUGAUCUUGACAAGCUCUUCCAGACACCAUUUGGAAUGAGCAUAGGUUUUUGAGAAGACAAUAAUGGCACUCCUUGAUUCUUCAAUAGCUUUUAAGAGCUCUGGUGCAAUCUCUUCUCCCCUUGGAAGCUCUUCAUCAUCUCUGAAGGUAUGAAUAUUGUUACGAAUCAAAGCCGAGUAGAGGUGAUCGGUAAAGCUUUUGCGAGUAUCUUCACCUCUGAAACUCAAAAACACAUCGUAGCUCCACUGAGAGCGAGAAGUGAAAGAAGAAGAGGAUCUCUGGAUGCUAGGGGAGGCCAUGGUUGAACAGAAAUUGGAGGAAAAAUAAGGGCCUUCGGGUAUUCAGUGACUUAAUUCCCCUAGCCUUAAUGUGAAGUUUGGAUGUUGGUGGUGGGAUGUGCUUUUUCUUUCUCAAUUAUUUCUCCUUAGCUGUAUCCCUCUAGCUUUGAACUUUCACUUUUGUCCCUUUUGGCAGUCAACAAUGGCCGGCACUCUUCUCUCUGCAAUUUCCAAUUAAUUUCUAAAAUGUAAAAAAUAAAAAAUGAUCAAAUCCAUGUGGUCUUUACUUAGGUCAUAAGAUCGUGUGAACACACAUUAAAUUAAAGUUAUUCAAUUAAGUUUUGUCUUUUCCAUAAUUAGCAAUAUUACGGUAGAAAAUAAAGGUUUAUUAAGUUGAUAUGUCAAGUAAAGCUAACAACUUUGGUAUUAUAAGCUUGAUUUUUGUAGAUGGAAAAAUAUAAUGAGUCAUAUGACAAAAAAUAAAGAAAAUUUUGAUCUUGAAGAAUAGAAAGAAGCACAAAACCUUCAUGAAAGUUUAGGGAAGAAAGACCAUGCUCAAAACUCCAAAUUUAAAUUCUCACGGACUUUUCACAUUUUGCAGCUGGCUUUAUUAUUAAUAGAAGCACAUAAAUAAAUAUUGUAAUUAAAUCCCACUAAUUUAUAGGUCAUAAUGGUAUAUAUCGGUCAUCACAGUAAUUGAGUGGGAAGGUGGGUACCUGUAAAAAGAAUAGACCAAACCAAUCACCCUAAAGUACCUUUAUCAUAAAAGUCAUUGAGGUCCUAAUGGUAAUAAUGGUGGAUAUCUUUGGAAAGAGAAAACAAUCCUAAAUUUCAAAAGAACGUCUGUUUCUUGGCAAUUGUAUCCCCGACAGCCUUAUCUUUUUUUACUUUAUAUCUUUUUAUUAUUAUUAUCGUGAGGAUGGUUAAAGAUGAUAUUAGAUAUGUAAUCUUUCUAUGGUUUAAAAAUGAAAAAUGUGAGUGUUAAGUUGGCAUUUUUACCAUUUAGAAAAUACUUGAUUUUAAGAUCAUUAAUAGGAAGAAAUAAAGAGUUCCAAAAAAUAAAGAAGCUUUUAUUGACUAAUCUAGGCAACCCCUUUCUUGGCUUUUAAUUGUAUCUACUUUGUCGAAAAUCUCAGUCAUUCCUCCUUGUCUUCCUUUUGUUAUUCCUAAGUUCCAACUCUUUUUUUUUUUUUUUAAAUAAUAAUAUUAGUUUUAUGUUUUAAUGAAAUGGGUUGCAAAUUUGAAGAAAACAUAUUCUUGUGUAUUUAUUGACUAUGACCCUUUCUUCACAAAGGUUAACGUUAUUUACAUUCUCAAACUAAUCUUUGAUGAGUUUGAGUUUUUCUUUACUAACAAAACUUCUACCAUAUCUUUCUUGUAGGAACAAAGUCAAAUGACCAUAUUUUGAGACUUAUAUGAAUGGUCUCAACCAUCCAAUCCAAAUACCUACUCAACCCACAACUUCACUCCCACCAAACAACCUUUCGACUAUUAACAUUAUACUAAGAUUUCUUACCUUUGCUAUUCAAAUUAUCGUAAUAAUGUACAUCUUCUAUUUUAUAUUUUUAAUACAUUCCAUUUAAAUUUAACUUCUUACAUCCUUUAACACCUUAUUGUGCAUUUGUGGUUAUUUUUCUAAGCUGUUUUUUAACUUUCAUUGGUGGUUCAUUGUAAUUAUGUUGGUUACUGGGUUUUUUUAUUCUAUUUUAUGCAAGAGACAUUUUGAAAGGAUUAGGUGCCUUCCAAUCUUGAUUUUAGUGAUUUUUAAAUCUUAGUUUAGGACUUUGUUUUUGAUUGAUUUAUAACAUAUUUAGGUUUGUUUAGAAUUUUAAAACUUUAAUUGCAUAAAAUAGAUUCAAGAUUUGAAUUAAUUAAUAAUUGAUUUCAUUCUCCUUUAAAAUGUAGAAUAUGAUAAACGACUUGAUAGCAAAUUCAAACAAAUCUUUAUCCAAAUGAGAAUUUAUGUAAUCUAAUCAUUUUAUUAAAUAUCACCUAGUAAAUUAUAAAAAUAAAGAUAUUAAUCACAUUUGUUAAUAUGUUUUUUUUAAAUUGACAAAUUAUGAUGAAAUUAUAAUCUUUUCAAUAUUUUAUUAAUUAUUAAUUAAAACAUCACUAUAAUUAUUCAAUCCAUGGAAUAUAAAAUGAGUUAUUUUUAGUAAUAAUAAUAAUAAUGAUAAUAAUGAUAAUAGUGAUAAUAAUAAUAAUAAUAACUAAUCAUAUUUGAAUAACAUUUCAUCAAUUAUAUAUCAAAAUAAAGUUGUAUGUUUAUCAUAACCUAUGUUUUAAAACAAAAUAAUAAAAGUUAUAUUUCCCUUUAAAUGUAUUUACAUAUCUACCUCCAUAGUCCAUGGUAUUAAAAUAAUCUAAUAAAACACAGUAUCCCAUAACCGGGCAACAGCACAGCUGCUCCUAGCUUUAGCCCCUAGCAGCUGCAAUCAGCUUUUCCACUCUCUGUUACAGUCCAGCUUUGGCCGCCCAAGACGUACAUCUUUAAAAGUUGAUUUUAUUUUUUUUAAUUGAAUGUUUUUUUUUUUUUGUAACUCUUCUCGAUUAAUAAAUAAUAAUAAUAAUAAUAAUAAUAAUAAUAAUAAUUGGAUUUGGUUUUUAAAGUUGAGUAUUUUCUUUAACUAAUUGAUAUUAUAAAUAUAUAAAUAAUUUCUACAUUCACAUUUUAUAAAAAAUAAAAAUGUUUCAUUUUGAAAAUUUUAUGCAUUAUUUUAAAAUUUUCAAAUAAAGGAUUAUUUGUAAAUAUUUCUAAAUAUGUUUGAUUUCAAUAAUUGAUAAAUUAUAUAAUCAAAAUAUUAUGAAUUGGUAAAUAUCAAUUAUUGGAUUUUAUGAAGAUAAAAUUUAUGAUAUCAAAUAGUAAUGCAUUAUAUUUAUAAAUAGAUGUAUUUUUUCUAUUUUAAAUGUAAUUAACAAUAUAAAAAAUUAAUUAAUAAUGAUAUAUUUAUGAUAAUUUUUGUUUAAAAACAUUUAUAAUUUUAUUUAAAAUUAAAUUUCAUUUUAUAUUUAAUAAUUAUAUAAAAGAUAAAAAAAAUUUAAAAGUAAAUCAAACUAAUUUAUUUAUAAAAAAUUAUUAAUUUUCACUAUUUUACUUAUUUUACAUAUAUAUGUAUUGGGACUGAAAUCUGUUCUCCAUUCUCUCAUUCUUUCCUCCAUUUCUCUUUCGUUCCUAUUCUCUGUUUCCUUUCUCCUUGUCUUCAUUUCUCUUCUAACAUCCAAACUUUUAUUCAUGACGGUUAAACUAUUUCUCUUUUCUAAGAUCAAAACAUAACUCACUGAGGUUAAAAUCCAGAUUGUGAUUGUUAUAAAAAUUCCUAGUUAGGGUUUUAGUUUUAGUUUUAAUUUUUUUGUUCUUUUUUAUUUUUUGCAUUCUUGGUCUUUUGUGUUAUUGUUUAUGUUUUAUUUGGUUUAUGGGAAAUCCUAGAAUUUAUGAAAGUUUUGGCUUUGAAAUAUCCAAAAAAUAUUGAAAUAGAAAUGACCAAAAAAAAAAAAAAAAUUGUUGAAUAAUGUUGAGUUUUUGGUUGAAUUUUUGUUUGACCGAUUUUUUUAUUUUCCAUUUUCUGAUUUGCCCUCGUAGAGUAAAGAAUUUUCCUUCAUAGUGAAGAGAUGAGAACACUCAAGAACAUUGAUUGAAAAUACGAAAAACAUCUUAUUUUUUUUCUUUUUAGAACAUUGGCAAAAACACGGAAAACAACAUUUUUUUGUUUUUUGAAAACCAGACUUUAGAAAACACGAAGAAUACAUGGGAACAAAAAACACUCUCUUAUCAAACACAUUUUGUGUGUUUUUGUUCUCAAAAACAAAAAACUGUUUUUGAAAACAUUCACCAAACAUGCCCUAUUUUUUGAGGUAAUUCUUUUUAUUCUUUUUCUUUGCGGGGGAGGGGGAGGAAAUUUUGGCGAGCUGUUAGAAAAGGGGAUCUUGUGGCAGUUGGAGUUUAGGUUGCCUCAUGUUCUCUCUCCCUCUCUUUUUAUAUUUUAGUUUUUUUGCAAUAACUUGAACUCAUUUCCUUUGAGAAUUUCAUGUUCAUUUUCCCACACUUUGUUUUUGUUCCUAAAUUUAAUCUUGUGUUUAUGUCUAUCAAUUAGUUAUUUAGGUUGAGGAAAGGGGGCCGGGCCUUAGGUCUUCCCUUUUACCCUUGAAAUGAUCCUCUCACUUUGGGUGAUUAUUGAUUUAACUAGCUUAUAAUUUGGCCGUCUUUAUUUUUUAUUGAAAUCAUCAUACCUUGAUGUUUGGAAAUUGAAGAUUCAGGGCCCUUUUGAUGGACUGUCUAGUGGAGUGUGUGGGCAUAGGAAUGAAUUAACGGAGACGUGAAAGCUUUGAUCAGUCCAUGAAAUACAAAUGAAAGGUUAUCACCAAAAAUUAAGCAUGCGUGCAUUGAUAAUAGACAAGUAAAUGAGAGAAAAUGAACUUCAAAUCUUACUUGACAACGAUACUACUAUAAUGGGAUAUUCCUCAACAUAGUGGUUAUUACUUAAUUUGGUAUCAAUAACUAUGCUAAAACCUUGCCCAUUACUGAAAAUGGACAGGGAAUAAGCAAAAAUAUUAUAAUAUGUCUGUAAUUGAUUCCUUUCAUCAUAGUAACCCAUUGGCCAGAUUGGCUUAGUUAACUAAAUGAAAACCCGAUUUCUUAUAUUUCGAAUGAACCAAAAAGGAUACAGUAGUAAACAGCUAUGGAACCAAUAUGUAUGAGGAUAAAAAACAACAACAAUUUUGAUUGAAACUAAUCUUGAAAUAAUCAAUGGCUAAGUACAUCAGGUUGUGUUUAUAAAGUCCUAGUUCAUAAGCACUAAAUUCUAAUGCUAACACUCUCUCCAAGUGCUUUCAGUCUGCUGCUUCAAUACAAGUACUCUAUAUGUGCGCUUGAUAGUAACUUGCGCUUGAUAAUAACUUCUCGUGUCCUAUAUAUUUAUACCCGAUCAAGGGCUGCCAUUUUAUUAGAUUGUUGAGUAAUGACGCUGCUUGUUGAAGGAUUGUGAGACAGAACAAUCUCAUACCCAUCAUCACAUGACUGCAUCCCCUCGGCCAUGAGUUGCCAAACCAAGCCUCCACCAAUUCCUCCACUUCUUGCAAAGUUGUAGAUGUUGGUAUAAACAACAUUCAAAAAUGAAUCCCUUUUAUUUAUAAUUUUAAUUCUAUUGUACGAAGGAAUUAAGAAAAAACUUUUAUUCUAAAAAAAUAUAAAUUUUAACCUAAAAUAAUUUAGUAUAUACUUUAUCAAGUGUAAAAUUUUAAUGAACAGAUUUUUAUUUUAUAAAAAAUAAAAAUAAAUAAAAAAAUUAUAAAAGUUUAAAACUCACUUAGCUUUAAGUGGCUAGUCAAAUAUCUCAUGCUAAACAAAUUAAAUAAUUUUUAUAUGAGCAGAUAGAGAAAAGGACAGUACUUCAAAUGAAAAAUGAAGAGAAGUUACAAUUACUUGUUCUUCGUGUUAAGGAUAAUUAGCCUUUCCAUUACAAUUUACCAUAUGUAUCAUAUUUGACCCUUGAUUACAUGCUAUUCCUUUGUAAUCAGUUUGAUAUUAUUUCCUACUUUCCAUUUCUUUUAUAAUCAGUUUGAUAUUAUUUGAUUUGUAAUAUUCUAUAAAUGAUUAUAAAUAGAAAACUCUCACCACCUUCUCAAGUGUGGUGGUUUGACAAAUAUUCUUACUUUGUAUCAUAUCCGGCUAGAUUGCCUGCUUCCCUCAUGGCAGUCCUCCAUUUCCUUAUCUUUUCCUUUCUCUCCUCAUCUGCAUUUUCCUCAUGAUCGGUAAAUGCUUCUCCACAAAUCCCAGUUUGGUUCCGCACUUCAGACGGAUCCACAUGAUAGAAAAUUGGGAUAACCGUUUGUUUCCUUUCCUCUUUGCAUUGCAUGAUCUUGACAAGCUCUUCCAGACACCAUUUGGAAUGAGCAUAGGUUUUUGAGAAAACAAUAAUUGCAAUCCUUGAUUCUUCAAUAGCUUUUUAAGAGCUCUGGUGCAAUCUCUCCUCCCCUUGGGUGUUCUUCAUCAUCUCUGAAGGUAUUAAUAUUGUUACGAAUCAAAGCCGAGUAGAGGUGAUCAGUAAAGCUUCUGCGAGUAUCUUCACCUCUAAAACUCAAAAACACAUCGUAGCUCCACUGAGAGUGAGAAGUGGAAGAAGAAGAGGGUCUCUGGAUGCUAAGGGAGGCCAUGGUUGAACAGAAAUCGGAGGAAAAAUAAAACAUAUAAAAUUAUCAAGUCCAUGGGGUAUUUAAUUAGGCCAUAAGAGAUCGUGUGAACUCACACAUACAUUAAAUUAAAGUUAUUGAAUUAAUUUUUGUCUUUUCUAUAAUGAGCAAUAAAUAUUCCUGUAGAAAAUAAAGGUUUAUUAAGUUGAUAGGUGAGGGAAAGCUAUAUAACAACUUCGGUAUUAUAAGCUUGAUUUUUUAAAAAUAAAAAAUAUAAUAAGUCAUAUGACACAUAAAAGUUCAUUUUUUUUAAAAUCAAGUCAAACAUUUUUAUCUUAUUAUAAUUUCUUAUUAUUAUAAUAAAUAAAAUAAUUUUUUAAAUAUAUUUUCCUAUUAAGAUAUAUUAUUCCUAACCACAAUCGAAUUUUUAUAAAAGAGCAAUUAGUUUCUUAUAUGAAUGUUUUAUUUAAUCAAGAUAAACAUGGAAAGAAAUUGUUAUCACAUGUCCUAUAUUGAGAAAAAUUAUAUAUAAAUUGGAAAUAAUUUUAAAAAUAAUAAAAUCUAAAAGUUGUUUCACUAUUUUCUAAAAUUAAUUUUAAUUUCUUAUAAUUUUGCUAUUUUUUUGUUGAUUUUUUAAUAAUUAUUUUAAUUAUAUAUCUAUAUAUAUAUAUAUAUAUAUAUAUAUAUAUAUAUAUAUAUCUAUAUAUAUAUAUAUAUAUAUAUAUAUAUAUAUAUAUAUAUAUAUAUAUAUGUGUGUGUAUAUGUAUACAUACAUAUUAAAAAAUGUUACUCAUUUAAGUGGUUUCAAAUGAUUUAUUUAUUUGCAUGAAAAAAACAUGAAUUGAUCAUCUUUUGAGAUGUAGUAAGAGUCGUUUGGUUUAGGUCACAGUGGUAAUGAGUUGGAAGGGUCUAGUACCUUUUGAAAGAACAAAAGGAGCAACAACCCUAAAAUUCAAAAGUGUUGGAAUAUUAAACAAUGUCUUGGUCAAAAAGGGAAAGCGCGUUGGAUCAUAUAUUGAAAAUAAUGUCUUGUUAACAAAAAAUAAUGUCUUGGUAAAAAUAGAAAACAUAUAGGAACAUUGAAUAAGACAAUACCAUAUGGUUAGGAAAGGUUAUUCUCUAAUCUUUUAUCCUUAUUGACUCAUACACUUGUUGAACCUCCUUAACAAUAGAAAGAAAGUUCAUUCUUAUGAAUCCUCAAAAUGAAUCAAAGAGAUAAAUUUCAAUUUUGAAGUAAACAUAAUUAUUUUUCUAUUUUUGUUAAAAAAUUGACAAUACUUAAUUUAUCAUGUAAGAAUCAAAGAAUAAUAGCAACUAUUCAUACAAUCGGUCUCAUUUUGUUGUAACAAAACUUAUGAUUAUUUUUCUUCCAUGUAUAUGAGGUUACUAUAAAUUCAUUUCCCACUUGUCAUGUGAUUCAAAUAGAACCUACUAGAUGAAAUUUCUCUCAACAUAUUUCCGCAUCACAAUUUUUCUUUCAUUUUUUAUUUUAUUUUGAAUUUGCAUUAAAUAAAUUUCAACCAUAGAUACGCACUAACAAUAUUUAAAUAAAGAUGAUAAUGUAUUUAAAAUUUUAAUAAAAACUGAGUUGAAUUUUUCAACUUACGUUUGAUUUCCUUCUGUUCACCUAAUGUUGGCAUUAAAAUACAAAAAAAAAAGUCAUUGUCUUCGGGAUUUUUUCUUGUGAGCUUAUCCUCAAACUUUCUUAAAAAACUAAGUUGAUUAUUGUUGUGCUCACUUAAUGUUUGCAUUAAAAUACUAGAAACUUAUUCUUGUGAGCUUAUCCUUGCACCUUCUUCGAAAAAUAUAAGAUUGAUUCUUAUUGAUAGGAAGAUAAGAACAAAAACUUCUAAUAAAUUAUAUUUUGGUAUAUUGAUAAUUUAAUGGGAAAAAACGUUAAAUUUUAUAAAUGUAAAAAGAUGAUAUAGUUGGAUGACGCAUUUAUACAAACAUAUGAAAAGAACAUUUAUAGUCAAUAAAUGAAAACCAUGUAAAUAUUCAAAAGGCUAAAAUCACAAUUGAUUGGAGCAAAAAAAUUUAGCUCAUCCUAUAUUUAUUUUUUAUCAUCAUAUUCUUAUCGAGCUUCUUAGGCAUCAAAUAUAAAAAUUCUCUAUUUAAAAUCAAAAUAAAAUAAAUAAGAUCUUGUCAACUACAAUUUUAAUUCAACUAUUUUUGUUGCUAACUAGUUCCUUGAUUUUUGGUACUUCGAUUUCUCAAACAACACAAAAUUUCAUUUCAAGGAAGACUCAUUAACAACAUGAAAUUCAAAAUUACAUAUGCAACAACCCAACCCCAAGCUUAAGUAAAUUUGUAAUUUUAUUAAUUAAGAAAAUAAAAACUUUGGGCUAUUUAAAUAUAAUUGGAUUUUAAUUUUGAGUUUGGGUUCAAGUUAAAAAAAAAUUAAUGAGCCAAAUAAAUUAAUUGGGCAUUUAUAUUCAAACAAUUAAUCUUUAGUAUUAAGAUUUAAUUGAAUUGAAAAAAAAAUAGAAAUAAGAUAAUAAAGGGAGUAAAAUAGUCAUUUCUCAUUAGAAACCUAGGUAUGAAUAUUCACUCUUCUUUACAAAAGUCUUUUUGUAUAGAGAGCAAAUGUAGGGUUUGAAAUCAAUCUUUGAAUGUAAGCACGUAUAGAUUUAAUAUUUACUUUCAUUUUUAAUUUUCAUGGGAAUUAUUAAAUAUGAUCAAAUUUUAUGAAAAAAUUAAAUAACAUNNAUUCUAAUUAAUUAUAAAGUCACUACAUUAAAAGUCUNNNNNNNNNNNNNNNNNNNNNNNNNNNNNNNNNNNNNNNNNNNNNNNNNNNNNNNNNNNNNNNNNNNNNNNNNNNNNNNNNNNNNNNNNNNNNNAAUCAAAAAGUAUAAGUUACAAAUUUCAAAGGGUGUUUAUGAGUGGAUCAAUUUUUGGUCUCAAUUAAAAAAGCUAAUUGAAAAUAAUAUAAAUAUAAUAUGUUUUUAUUUUAUUUAUUUAUGGUGAGGAUUAUAAAAUAAAUUGUUAUUUUUUAAUUUUAAAUAAAGUAAACAAAUAAGAUAAAAUAGAAAUUAAAAUCAAAAGAAAAAAAAUUAAAAAUCAAACAAUAUAAAAUAUUGAAAGUGAUUGAAUAAAAAAGAAAAAGUUUACAACUCAAAUAAGAUCAAUCUAGAAAAUACAUUACAUAUUAAAAUAUACGCAUAAAAUGCAUUUCAUACUGUUAGAUGGUAAAAGUCCAAGUAAAAAAUCGUAGGUUGAUGACCUGAAUUGCAUAGGUUGCUUUCAGACCAUUGGGACUUGUUAGGGUUCAAAGUCAAAAAUAGGACUAAUAAUAUUUAGUAAUAUCAUCUCAAGCCUAUUCCAAAAUAUGGCAACAUGGUAAAAUUAAAAAUUAACAUAAUGCUUAAUAAUAAUAAUAAUAAAAAACCUUAUUGGUUUUUUUUUUUAAAAAAAUCACUAGAUAUUGUAUAAUUUUUCUAAAAUGAAUGAGAAAAGUUAUAAUUAUGAAUCUCUUGAAGAAAAACCUUUCAAUUGCAAUCGCACUCCCUUAAAAAAAAAAAAAAAAACUUAAACAUAAAAGGGUUAAAUAUAUAAUAUGAGUAAAUUCGUUAAUCAUCACAUAAAAAACAAUUUUUCCAGACCCCCUCGAUCAACCCCAUGAGCUAACCCAAGCAACUCAAUGUUGACAUCCUAAGCUAAAUGGUAUUAUCUGAUUAAUUAUUUUACAAAAUAUACAUAUGUUAUAUCUUAAAAUUGGUUACUAAAUUAUAUUACAGUUAUCAAAUAUAUUACCAUAUAUAAAAUACAACUUAAUAAAUCUUAAGCAUAAUACAAAGCACAAUAACAAGAUAUGUUAAUUUAAGUUAUUAAGAGCUUAUUUAGUUGUGUGAUUUAAAAAUAGUUUUUUGUUUUUAAAAAACAAAAAUUAUCUUUAAAAUUUUCUAACACUAUUUACCGUUGCUUUUUGGAAACACUUUUUUAAAACAAAGUAAAAUAAAGAACAAUUUUUAAAAAACAAGUUGAAGUUGUUUUUACCAGUUUUUAAAAAACAAAAAAUAUAUAAACUCAUUUCACUAUGUUUUUUGAAACUUGUUUUUAAAUUAAAGAAUAAAAAAUAAUUUUUCAAAAUAAGUUUCAAAAUAUCAUCUAUACACAUUCUUUUUGAAUGAUUAAGAAUCGAGAUUUCUAACCAGUCGGUUAUUAUUAUUUUUUUUUUAUAAAAAAUUGAAAUUUACUUUAUCAUUUAUUGUAUGAAUAUCAUAUGGAUUUAAAAAGAAUUUCACACUUAGACAUGUACCUCUCAGAACAUUUGAAGUGAAGAUGUUCUUGUCUUCUUCAAUUUGAAGGCUCAUUAUGACUUUGAGAUUCACAUUCCUUUAAUUGACAUGAAAUGUUUGACUUGCCUUGACUAAUAAGGACCUUCAUGGCUUACCUGAUAGAGGUUGGGCCUUUACCGUUAUCCACUCAGCAAUGAUGUAUUUUCUGCACUGAGUUAUUUAAUAAAAAUGGUUUUUGAGUAAAACAGAUUUGGAUUUUGACCUAUGGAGGCCUAUGGACUUUCAAAACAGGGGUUCACUAGGGAAAAAAAAAACAGAGAAGAAAAAGAAGAAAAAUGAGAUCAUUGGAAGAAUUUUCAGCCCCUUUCAAUCACUUAGCCAUAUAAUAGAAACUAAGAAGAAGAGAAAGGAUCGUAGCUCACAAAAAGCUUGAGAUAAAUGUUUAGCAUCUUCUGCAGCAUAUCCAUCCAACAAAUUUGCAAAGAAGCUCCAACCAGUCGUGCAUAUGAUCCUCUUCAUCAUCUUGGGCAUCAACAACAUUACUGUUAAUAAUCUGUGUCGUUGUAUCCAUGGGAGAAUCGCUAUGCUCAGUGCACUGUGUCCAGUCAUAGCUUGUUUGUGCAUUAGAAUUAGUAUCUUCUGCUGCUGAUCUGGUAUCACAACUUCUCUGCUCAUCACUAUACUCCAUCAUUGUCUGAUGGUCGCGCUUGGUGGCUUCUGUGUUGUCACAGCUUCUCUGACAAUCAGUACUGGUAUCUUCUGGGAUGUUGCUGUUGAUAACAUCACGUGUAUAUAUAAGAUAGUACCCACACUCUUUCACUUCGACUGGUGCAUCCAAGCUAUGAAAUGAAGCCUUCAAACGUCUCCAUUCGUUUGACCAAUACUGCUUGUCAAUAGCAACCUUGGGAUAAUAAGUCACACACAUUUGACUUGAUUCAUCGCAAAUUGGGCAGCAAUAAAACUGGACAUCAUCCACGUGACAGCAUUCAGAUUGAUCACCACAGAUACUGAGUUCGCAAUUCAACUCAUCACAAGCCAUAGAAAUAAAAAUAGAGUAUAAAGCAAAUCCUAAGAAGUCAUCUUUUCUGUACCAAUCCAUAGGAAGCUCUAUUGUUAUUUGAGAUCCUUUUUUUGGCUGGCUUAUCCACUCUGGAAUUCCAUUAUUUCCCAAAAUAACAACUCUGAUUGCCUUGUUCCAAUAGGAGUCGCAUUCAAAUUCCUGCACAGAAGUACAGUGUUAAUACUCUGUUCAUAAGGAAAAAGGGCUGAAUGUUAUGAAAAUCAUACCUCAAUCAUUGAUUUGAAGCAUUUGAACAGAGAAAAACCAAGUUCACUUGAUGGACUUGAUGAAGUUUCCAAGCAUGUGCAACUGUGGACAUCUAAAUAUCGUAAACUUGGCCGAAGCUCUGGAACUUGUCGACGCCCCUGGCAGUGACUCAAUUGAAGGACUCUCAGUUUAGACAGUUGAAUGAUGCCUGCAAGUAUGCUACUAAAACAGUCCAUGCUUAGAUUUAGACCUGAAGCACGCAAAUCCUCUAAACAUUGCAAACUCCUCAGGUUCUCAGGAAAUUUCUCAAGUUUUGUACAGAAACUGACAUCUAGAGUUUUGAGAGAACUCAAAUUACAAAUGCUUUCUGGAAGACUCACAAGGUUGGUGCAAUCUGAAAGAUUCAAAUAUUGAAGCCCUCUUAAAUAUUGAAUUGAUGCUGGUAGUUCUUCUAUAGCAGUUCCAUCUAAAUGAAGCACUCUUAAAUUUUCCACAUCCUCAACGAUUUCCGGAAAGCUCCUUAAUCGUGAACAGCCUGAGCAGAAGAGAGUUGUAAGGGAUUUCAACUCACAUAUGCUACUGGGAAGAUGCUCAAGGUUUUUGCAUUCCCGCAAACAUAAGCUAUCAAGUUCUAAGGGACACUCAAUAGUGGGUAGUUCAUUGAUGGCAUUUCCCUUUAAACAAAGCUUUCGUCGGGAUUGCACAUCCCCUUGACAUUCCCGGCAAACGGUGGAUAUCAUUGCUUUACCAUGGUUCUGUUCAUGAUCAUGGGCAUAUAUAAGAUGGAUCCCACACUCUUCUACUUUCACUGCUUUACCUCUCAAGUAGCCACAAAAUGAAGCCGUCAACUCCCUGCAUUUAUUUGAGUGGUACUUCUUCUCAAUCAAAAGCUUAGGAUAAUAAAUCAUCCACAUUUGUGGUACAACAUAGCAUUGAAAUGAGGGAAAAAACUGGAGUUCAUCCACAAACUGAAUUUCACGACCACGCAAAGUCAAACCAUACUCGAAGUAAGUUGCAUCAUUAUCCAGUGUCUCCUCAGAUUCAUUAUCAAGUGGAUAAUAGACACAGUACAAAACAAAACCCAACAAGUCGUCAUUUUUAUACCAAUUUUGAGGAAGCUUUGCUACUACUUCAGCUCCCUUUUUGUGAUGGCUUAUCCAAUUUGGAAUUCCACUACCGUCUGAAAUAAGAUUUACUUGGGCAAAAGAUUUUUCUGUAGGAUAAAUCUCGCAUUCCAAAUCCUGCAGAAAAUUUAAUUAACACGUAAAUCCCCAUGUCUCCACAAAAAAAGUUGUGUUCUAUGAAUAUCAUACCUGAAUCAAUGAUUUGAAGCAGUUGAAUAGAGAAGACCAGAGUAGACCUGAAGAAGUUUCCAGCCGUUUGCACCCAUGUACAUCUAAGACACGCAAACUGGAUGGAAGCGCUGGAAUUUGUCGAAGCUCUUCACAGUAACCCAAAUCAAGGAGUCUCAGCCUAGAAAGUUGAUUGAUCCCAGCAGGUAUGCUCCUAAAAGGAUUCCCGAUUAGAAGUAAUUCUUGCAGAGAUGAUAGCUGGCAAAAUUCAGUGGGGAUUCCUCCUUCAUCUAUACAGCAGACAGAUAGAUCUAACACUUGCAAGGAGUACAAGCCGCAAAUAUCACUCAGGACUACUCCUUGCAUUAGCCCUGAGCAAGUUAGAUUUAACACCUUUAAGGAGCAUAAACCUGACAAAGAAAGCAAUUGGCAACAUCUUGAAUUUAAGCCCCUAGCACAGAGACGCUUCAAGCUUUGCAGCCUCCCCAGGUUUUGUGGCAAUUUGUGG
RNAcentral lists this long non-coding RNA (97260 nucleotides) under Vitis vinifera (wine grape). RNAcentral's name for it is "long non-coding RNA (VVIN_LNC006323)". The record is from RNAcentral. Lineage: Eukaryota; Viridiplantae; Streptophyta; Magnoliopsida; Vitales; Vitaceae.